ACGUACAAACUUGUCGAAAUUUCAUCAGGUACAACCGUGUAGCAAUUCAUACAACCCAUGUAAUAGUAAUUUAACAUUCAAUUCAUGUAACAAUAAUUUGCCAUUCAAUUUCACAUGACACAACAAGCAUCACAUUUUCCAUAUCAUACACACCAGCCAUCAACUUCUCCUAAACAUAUUAAAUCAUACAAUUUAUGUCACAACAAUAGAAAAUUACAAUUCAAGUAUGGUAUUGCAUUAUUAUUAACACACGAACUUACCUCGAAUACGAAAAUGGCCAUUUUUACCAUUUUGUCCACAACUUGGUAUUUUGCCUAUUUUAGCCCGAAUUUCAAUUUUCCUUGCUCUAUCAUUACAAAUAUAGCCUAAUUAGGACUCUAAUUAUUCAAAUUUACCCAAAAUCAUAUUUUGACAAAAUUAUAAUUUUAUCCCUAAACUUUGUCAAAAUUACAUUUUUGCCCCUAGGCUCGUAAAUUAAACUUCAUCCUAUUUUCUUAGGUUUUAUGACAUGCUAAUCAUUUUUCCUUUCUAUAGCAACAUCUAAUUCACACUCUAACAUGUACUUAUGAACAUUAGAUAUUUUUACCAAAUCUGUCGUUUUACUCGUUUUCACGUAAAAUCGCUUAGUAAAAGUUGUUUAACACAAUUUCAAGCUUCAUACUCUACCAUAAAACAUCAAAAUAAACACAUUUCACCUAUGGGUAUUUUCCAAAUAUAAACCCUAGGUUAAAUUAUUGCUAGAAUAAGCUUAACCAAGUUACCGGGAUUUCAAAAAUGUAAAGAACUUUAAAAACGGGGCUAAUGGGCACUUACAAUCGAGCUUGGGAGUUUGAAUAAACCUUAACCAUGGCUGAUGCUGGUAGAAACGGUUGAAUGAAGAAGAUGAUAGCUAAUUUGGCUUAUUUCCCUUUUUAAUUCUUUUAAUUAUUAGUUUACCAAAAUACCCCUAACUUAAAAAUAUUUUAUUACACCCAUUUUAUGUCUACUUUUGUCCAAAAAUUAACCAAUGGUAUAAUUACCAUUUAAGGACCCUCAAUUUAAAAUUUCAUAACAAUUGGACACCUCUAGUAUAUAGAACUCAACUUUUACACUUUUUACGUUUUAGUCCUUUUGACUAAAUUAAGUGCUCGAAUGUCAAAAUUUUCAAAUGAAAUUUUCAAAAAAUUAUUCCAUGAAAUCGUAUAUCAUAAAAAUAUAAUAAAAAAUAAAAUUUUCAUCGUCGGAUUUGUGGUCCCGAAACCACUGUUUUGACUAGGCCGAAAAUCAGAGUGUUACAUUGGUUGAAGAAGAAAUCAAUGGCAGACGAAUGUUGAAUGAUGAUAGUGACCUAGUGUAUGUCUGAUGGUUUGACUGGUGGACGCCGGACGAUGGUGACUCAUAGUGAUAUUUUAGAUUAGGGAUUUUCAAUUUAAGGUUACGGAUUUUUUAGUCUGUGAGAUUUGAGUGUACCGUGUGCAUUAUUUUUAGGCUUCGGAGGAAUUAGGAUGUUAUGUUUUCUAUUUUUUUUAUGAGUCAAUGGAUUGUGUUUGUUUUGGGAGUGGGUUAGUGUUUGGGGACUGGGUCUAGGUGGGUAGUGGCCUUGUGGAUUAAUAUAUAAUAUUAAUUAUUAAGUUUGGUUAAUUUAGUUAAUUAAUCGAUUUCGAACCAAAUUAACUGUUAAUCGAACUUCCAAAAAUUAUUAAUCAACAUUCGAUCGAAUUAGAUCAGUUAACUGAUCUAUUAACCAAAUUAAUUCAUUUCGAUCGAUUAAGUUGGUUUUAAUCGAAAUUUACACACCCCUAGAUAUGUCAAUUGGUUAUUUUUUUAGGAUGUGUUUUAGUUUGAAUGGAAAUAGUGUAUGGUUAAUGGUUAUAUGAAGGCAUGAAAAUGAUAGUUUUACGUUAAGUUAUAUAUGUUUCAUAAGAAUGCCAAAUUUAGAAAUUCAAUUAGUAUAUUAAGAAUGAAAAAAUUGAAUGGUUGUACAAAGGUGAAUGGUUUAAGAAUUUACAAGUUAGAAAUGGUGUAGCUAUGUGUUUAUUUGAUGUAUGAUUGUUUGGUUGAUUGAGAAAUGGUUGAAUUGAAAUUUUAGGUAUGUUUUGAAUUGGUUUAUUUAGGUUUUAAGUGUGCGUAUAAGAACCAAUUGGGUAUGUUUUGUUUUGGACAUAGAAUAGAUGCCAAAAUGGAAGAUUUUGACAUAUUUGGCACUAAGGUAUCAAUACCCGAGUAAAUGUAUCGGUACUUAGCAUUUUUCAAUAAAUUUUUAAAAAUAGUAUCGAUACUGAACUGAAGUAUCAAUACUCUAUAUUAGAGUAUUGAUACUUUACAAGGGUAUCAAGACGAUUGGUUUUUGUUAAUUUUUGGUAAAACAUUGAACCUGAAUAUGGUAAUGAUAUCAAGGUAUUAGUAUUAGUGCCCAGUGGUAAGUAUCGAUAUUGUAAGCAUAGUGUUGAUAUAUACCUUUUGAUUUAAAUUGAUUUUUCAUAACAUCAAAAUUAAGAAUGGUAUCGAUACCUAUCAUGGGUAUCGAUACCUGUUUUGAAGCUUGGAAACUUUACAAAUUUGGUAUUAUUUCAUGUUUGGAUUAGUAAUUGAGUUUUCGUAAGCUCAAUUGAGUCUUGGAAAAGUUUGUUUAAUGUAUAAUGAUCGUAUAAUAAAAUAUUUGAGUUUUUUAAGGAUUUAAAUACAAUGUUUUCGACGGUAGUUGCUCCAACAAUGGAUGUGACAUUCUAUUACUCGGACCCAACGAUCAAGUCCGGUACUGAGGUGUUACAGGAUAACUUUUUUUAUUAUUUUAAAUAAUGAAAAUAAUUUUAUUUCAAUUCAAAUUAUAAUUUAAAUAAUAUUUUUAAUUAUUCCAUUUUUUUACUAUAUCAAGACAAAUUAUUUGUCUUUAGACCAAUAUCUUAGUUCACAAUUAAAAUUUUUUAAAAGUGAAGUUGUAACACGCCUAAUCCGUCUCUGUCGUCAGAUUAGGAUUACGGAGCAUUUGCAUACAAAUUACAACAUUUAACAUCAUAAUAGAAACUAUUAUAUAUCUUAAUAUAAAUAACUAAGUACUUAAUAUAAUCAUAAUACAAAAAUACAUUUGGGCCUUAAAUCGAGCCUUCAGGGCCCUAAAGAUAACUUAGGAAGGUCCGAGGAUACAUUUGAAAGAAAAUAGAAAAAUUUGGUAAAACAUGAAAAUUUGGGAAAUCAAGGGUCACACGGCCGUGUGACAUAGCCCAGACCGCGUGGACAUUCAAAGUCUAGACACACGGUCGUGUCCCAGCUCAUGUGUCCACCCGUGUGAGUAUUCGAAAUAGGGUUAUACAUUCGUUUCGCAGGUCGUGUGCCAAACCAUGUGCAUUCGAUGUUGAGUCACACGGUUUUGUUGUAGGUCGUAUGCCAGACCAUGUCACACCUGCACAUAAAACAAUAAUAGCACACAACCAUGUGGGGUGGCCGUGUUCCGUGUAGCUACCCGUGUCCCAGGCUGUGUGUAGCAUAAAUUGCCCUUAAAACAAGCCCGUUUAAGCAUCAAACCUUGCACACCAAAUCACACCAUACCUAACUUAUUCCACAUUGUUUAUAGCGCAUUUAAGGAUACUAGAAACAUGCCAAAUCAUCCAUCCAAAUCUAACCAAUAUGCCAUCUAAAGGCACCUUAAUUCAUACUUCAAUUCACUCAUUCAAAGCUACAUUUCAUACCAUAACAUACAUUACAUUCAUCCAUGCAUUAUUGAUCUACCUCAUUCACAUAUCAACAAGACAUAGCAAUGUUUUUACAAUGCAUAUAAAAAAAUGACCAAAAGACAUUUUAAACACACUUAAAACAUACCAAUUUCAUCAACCUAUAAGGCUAACCAAUGUACCAACAAAAGGUACCACAAUCACAAAUCAAACAUAAUUUCAUUCAACCACAGUUUGCCUACUUAAAGAAAAGGACAUACACAAGUCCAACAACAUCUAUUUACAUCAUCAUUUUCAAAACAACAACUCAAAGACAUUAUACCACAAUUAAGCUAAUCACAACUCAAAAUAACCAAAAGACCAAGACCACAUUUUGUAACACCCCUUACCUGUACUCGAAGCCGGGAUAGGAUACGAGGCGUUACCGAACACAUGCACAGUCAUUCAUGCAAAAUUGGGUUAUAAAAUUUCAUUCAACUUAAAAUGAAUCAAACACAUGUACAAUGUCCCUUAUACGGGCCUACGAGGUCCAAAAUAUGCAUUGGAAAUGGUCCGCGACUAAACCGAGAAUUUCUAAAAAAUUUACAACACUUAAGAAAUUUUCAAUGUUUGGAGAGUCACAAGCCCAUGUGGCUUGGGACACGCCCGUGUCCUCAGCUCGUGCAACUCUUUGUUUAUGAUGUCAUCAACAAAUAAGGGUUACACAGCCAAGUCACACGGUCGUGUCUCUGCCCGUUUGGCCGAGAAAAUGACUAUUUACCAAGCCAUUUGUCACCAUUAUUUGCACAUACUUAAACAUAGCUUCAAUAGUACAUUUCAUGGCAUAAAUAAACUACCAUCAAGCAAUAACAUAUCAUUUUCAUAUGAUCAUCUAUCAUGCAUUAAACAUCAUGCCUUACCAAAUCAUUUUAUGCUAAAUUCACACCCAAAACACAUUAACAUAUGAAUAAAUUCAUAUCCAUUAUAUAUAUCAAGCAAAUAUAAACCACAUCACAAAACAUUGCCAUAAGCACAUGCAUAAUUAUAUGGGCUUUGAUAAACCGUAAUUUAUACAUAUUUUUUCCCCAUGCUUAACACAUUUUAUGGAUGAUUUUUCCUUAGAAUUGGUGAAUUUGAUGCUCCUAAUGCCUUAAUUUCAUGUUUUAUAUUUAGGUGAGCAUAGUAGAGCGAAAGGAAUGAGAAACGAGCCAAAAACGGAGAAAAUGGGCCAAAGUACGAAAUCAACACGGCCUGGACUUCCUCACACAGGUAGACCACACGGCCGUGUCAAUUUGGUAGAAUCGAAUCAUGACUCACACGGGUAGACCACACGCCCGUGCAUAUUUAACAGGCUUGACCACGACCUGAAGUAAUCGUACACGGACGUGUCACACGGGCGUGUCCCUGCCGAGCCCAAGUUGAGUCCAAUUCGGAAAAGGCUAAUUUUGAGGGCUUUUAGGCAUUCUAAAGCCUAUAAAUAGGCGCUAAAGGAAGAGGAAAAGGGGACAUAGAAAGAAGGUGGCAGGGAACUACUCAAGGGAAGCCGAUUGAUCCAUCUCAGAAGCUGGAUUCACCAUCAAGACUGAAGAUCUCCCCUCAAUUUCCCUUCAGGAGUUUUGGGUUUUCUUUAUGUUUUGUAUUCAUUAUUCUUCUGAGAUGUUUUCCUUUUUAGUUAUGAACUAAAUCCCCUAAAUACCUAAGGGGAAUGAAACCUAAGACGAAUCUUGUUAUUAUUUUCUGAAUUGUAUGAUAAAUAUUUAACUUGUUCUUAAUUAUGUGUUCUUAAUUCUUGUUUUGAUAUCCAGGAUACUGAUUCAAGAUAAACUCUUAUUCAGAGGAGGAAUAGACCCUGUCUAAGGUUACAUUUGUCAUAAUUAAGCGGAGUUGAUUGCGCGCCUAGACAUAGGGUGGCAAGAUUUUGCUGGAUUAGGGUGAAACCUAAUAAGGGGAUCCAUAAAUCGAGUUAAAACAACCCUAGAGUACUAAUUAGAGAAAAGUCUCAAUUAUCCAAUCUAGGGAUUAGACGUUAUUAGUCCUGAAUAGGGAUAAUAACAUAACUUAGGGAUCUCUACGAGACAAGUUAAAUGAAUAAAUCGUCCGAUUUGGAGUCAGAAUAACAAGUGAAGUCUAGGUGGAUUAUUCCUUAGGUAUUGUCUUAAUUCAAUCAUUUUCCAAAAGUAAUCCCCCAAUUCUAUUUUCUGUGAAUUCUUAGUUUAUAUAAUUAGUUAGUUAAAACAAAACCCCCUUAUUCGUAGGCUAGAUAAUAAAAGGGCAGUCAUUACUAGUACAUUUAGUUCUUUUGGGAUCGACAAUCCAGUCUUGCUAAAACUAUACUAUUGUUUGAUAGGUACACUUGCUUACAUCGUGAUAAUAGUUAGUUUCAAGAACGAUUCUUUAUAAAUAUUUAAAACCUGUCACACGAAAAUUGCGAUCAAGUUUUUGGCAUUGUUGUCGGGGAACUAAGAUAUCAGGAACGCUCGAUUUUUAUUACUUUAGCCAUUUAUUUUUCUUGCAAGUUAAUUCUAUUUUAUUUUUAUUUAUUAAUUUACAUUUUGUUUCUCUUGGUAGGUUUUUAUAGUUUAUGACUAGAUGAAACCUGUCAGGACCACUACUUUUUGACAAGAAAUCGAUCGCACAGUUCACAGAAACCAAAGAGAAAUAAGGUGAAGCUUAAGAUACACAGAGAACGAUAGUCAAACCCCAACCGAGGAGAUGGCUAAAAACCAAGACAAUCAGCUACCUCCUACGAUACCCGCUGAACUAGCCAAUCAGAAUCCUACUCCUCGUACUAUGUAUGAUUAUGCUAAACCUAAUUUAACAGGAACUGAGUCAAGUAUAGUUAGGCCUGCUAUUGCUGCAAAUAAUUUUGAACUAAAACCUAACACUAUUCAAAUGAUACAGCAAUUUGUUCAGUUUGAUGGUUUGCAGGAUGAGGAUCCGAACACUCACUUGGCAAAUUUCCUAGAAUUCUGCGAUACAUUUAAAAUUAAUGGCGUUUCUGACGAUGCCAUUCGUCUUCAGUUAUUCCCUUUUUCAUUAAGGAACAAAGCUAAACAGUGGUUGAACUCGUUACCACGAGGGUCAAUUACUACUUGGGAACAAAUGACCGAAAAAUUUCUAUUAAAAUAUUUUUCGCCGGCUAAAACGGCCAAAUUACGCAAAUUGACUUAGAAAAUCCUUACGAUGCAUGGGAGAGAUACAAGGACUUACUGAGAAGGUGCCCUCACCAUAGGUUAUCGCUUUGGCUGCAGGUUCAAACAUUCCAUAAUGGUCUGAAUCCAUCGACUAGGUAAAUGAUUGAUGCAGCAGCCGGGGGAACCAUCAACAACAAAACACCUGAAGAGGCUUACGAAUAAAUUGAAGAGAUGUUACUGAAUAACUAUUAGUGGGAAGUCAUGAGGACUAAGCCAACUAAAACAGCAUGCGUUUAUAACGUCGAUUCUGUUACUAUGCUGUCAAACCAGGUAGAACUUCUAAAUAAAAAGAUUGAUGGUUUACUUGGUUCUACUCAGGUACAUCCAGUAAUGAGGUGUAAGACGAAUAGAGGAGGGGCAUGCACAGAGUAUCAGCCCUUCAACCUCAGCAUCGAGGAGGAAUAAGUCUAAUAUAUGGGUAACAAUAACUCUAGAUCCCAAAAUAACCCAUAUAGUAACACUUAUAAUGCAGGUUGGAGGAACCAUCCCAAUUUCUUGUGGGGCGGUCAAGGACAUCAAAGACCACAACAUCCUCGGUGUCAAAAACCCGUUUCCAGAACACUGAGACAACACUUAAAAAUCAACAAGCACCGAUCCAAGGGCUCGAAACUCAAAUAGGCCAGCUUUCCAAACUAAUCUCUGAACGACCACAAGGUAGCUUGCCAAGUAAUACUGAACCCAACCUAAGGGAACAACUCAACGCGAUUAAUGUUCAAGAUGAAGAAAGAUUCGUUGAGCCUGAGCCAGAAUCGAGGCAAUAAACUAUGGUGAGUAGAGAUCAAGGCGAGGUAGGUCAUAAUAAAAACAAAUCAGUGAAUGUUGAUUAUAAACCUCGUGUGCCAUACCCUAACGCGACAAGGAAAGACCGCUCAGAUGAACAAUUUGGUAAAUUCCUUAAACUCUUAAAAAAUUACAUAUUAACUUACCAUUUAUUAAAGUUCUAUCACAGAUGCCAAACGCAAUGAAAUUUUAAAGGAGCUUUUAGCAAAUAAGUGGAAGUUGGACAAGGCGUCGCAUGUGGAGUUGUAAUAUCCUGAUUUUGGGCCUAGUCAGAAUAGUGGUUUCGUGACCACAAAAUUCGAGAUAGAAAUAAUUAUUUUAUGAUUAUUUUGAGGUCUAUGAUAUGAUUGCAUGAUUGUGUGAAAAUUUCGUGAAGAAAUUUUAUGCAUAAAUUGCUUAAAUUGAAAUUAGGGACUAAAUCGAAUAAUUUGUAAAACUUGCAUUCUAGAAGUUUCUAGUAUGAAAUUGUUUUGAAAUAUUAAUUAGGAGGUCUUAAAUAGCAAUUUUACCAAUUUAUAAGUCUAUGGAAAAAAUUUGGACAUGGAUGAAAUUUUUGGAAAGUUUAGUAGUAAGGGUAUUUUGGUCAUUUAGGGGUAAAAUGAAUUAAAAUACAAAAUUAAAAGCCAAUUUUGCUCAUCUUCAACCCCAUGGCCGAAUAUAGCAAGGAGAAACCAUGGCUAGGGUUUUUCAAGCUUCCAAGCUCGAUUGUAAGUCCGUUCUAGCCUCGUUUUUAAUGAUUUUUACGUUUUUAGAGUCCCGGUAGCUCGAUUAAGCUUAUGCUAGCAAUAAUUCAACCUAGGGUUCAUAUUUCGAAAAAUACCCAUAGGUGAAAUUUGUGUAUUUUGGUGUUUUAUGAUAGAAUAAGAGGUUUUAAAUUAUGUUAGACAACUUGUGCUACUCGGUUUUAAGCGAAAACUAGAAAAAGGGCUUAAUCGGUAAAAAUACCUAAUAGUCAUAAGUACAUGUUAGAGUGAGAAUUUGAUGUUGCCAUAGAAGGGAAAAAUGAUCAGCAUGUCAUAAAACAUAAGAAAAUAGGCUGAAGUUUAAUUUACGAGAUUUGGGGCAAAAGUGUAAAUAUGCAAAAGUUUAGGGGCAAAACUGUAAUUUUUCCAAAAUAUGAUUUUGGGUCAAUUUGAAUAAUGUGAGUCCUAAUUAGACUAUAUUUUAAAUGAUAGAGCAAGGAAAACUAAAAUUCGGGCUAAAAUGGGGAAAAUACCAAGUUGUGGAUGAAAUGGUAAAAGUAGUCAUUUUCGCAUACGAGGUAAGUUCAUGUGUAAAUGUAGUAACAUAAUUGUCAUUUUAAGCAAUUUAAUGUUGUUUAUAUGAUAUGAUGCUGAUUUUUAUCAUGAAAUAUUAUGCUUUGUGGUUAUUUUCGAAUAAAAUGCAAAUUAUGUAUAUUAAUUGUUAAAUAUAAAGUACUACCGAUUAUUGGUUUCGGUAUUUUACGGAAGAUGGCAAGGAGAUGUGUUCGAGGAAAAUCCCGUUUGAACCUUAGGAAUAGAUUAGGAUACAAGUGACAUGUCACUAGGAUGGUUGAGCAUCCGAACUCGUUGAGUUGAGUCCGAGUUCACUUAUGGAUGCGAAUGUCCAAACUCGUUGAGUUGAGUCCGAGUUCGAGAGAUGUAACUAGGCAUCCGAGCUCUUUGAGUUGAGUCCGAGUUCACUUAUGGAUGCGAACGCCCGAGCUCGUUGAGUUGAGUCCGAGUUCACUUAUGGGCGGGUUACAUGGUAGCUUGGCUACAUAUGUGGCACUUAUGUGCAAACUUUCCAUGUAUCCGAAUUAUAUUCCGAUGUGUUCAACGGGUAAAAUUCUACUCAAAUGGAGGAAUACUCGAGAUGAAAGGGGCGUAUUGGUAAGUGUUGUGAAAUGAAUACUUUGAACAGGUAUGUACUUAACCCUCGGGUUGAAAACUCGAUAUAACAACAAUAUGGUAAGAUGAUAAAUGAAAAUGUGAUAUGAAUGUCUCGGUGAUGAUUAUGCAAAUGAUGUUUUAUGUUUGCUUAUAUAGUUGUGUUACUUGCUAUUUGCAUGUGAGCUUACUAAGCAUUUAUGCUUACUUCCUCCUUUUCAUUCCUUGUAGUGUUGACAAGCCAGCUCGGAAAUCGGGAACGGUCGGAGGCAUGCUCACACUAUAUCCGUAUACCAUCUUGGCAUAAUGGCUUGCAUAUUUUGAGUAGCAUUAUAAUCAUUUUGUAUAUAUGGUCUUAUGAUAUGGUUAUUGAGUGGUAUGGAAAUGCUUGGUAAUGAUUAUCCUUUGGAAUGGCUAAUCAUGAUCAUAUUUGGUGUUAUGUAUGCUAAAUUACUAGCUAAUCCAUGGAAAACAUGAAAUAGGUAAAAUUUACCAUAAAAUAGAUUCAGACAGCAGCAGUGACGUGAGUUUGAAAAAUCAUUAAAAAUAGUAGAGAUACAAUUAGAUGGUGAAUAAAAUAUGGAAUUGAAUAAUUAUGAGUCUAUUUCAUAUGAAUUGAACAAAACAGGUAUAUGAGUUAUAUUUUAUGAGAUGUUUUAAUUUUUGUGAAAUAGGGCCAGAGCAAUUUCUGGAUCCCCUGUUCUGACUUUGGAAAUUCACCAUAAAUUGUUCAAAGAUAAUUAGAAGUCAUGAUUUAUAAGUACAGAUUCCUAUUUGAGUCUAGUUUUAUUAGAAACAAACGACAUAGUCAUUGAAACUCUGUAAAGGGAGAUAUCUGAUUCGUAAUACACAGAGGUCAGAGCAAUCGAAUCCUGAAACAGGGGAGACUUUAACUAAUAAACUGUACUAAUUGGAUUGACCAAAAAUUCUAUAAAAAAAUUAGUAAAUAGAUAUAUGAGUCUAGUUUCAGUGAAAAUUUAUGGAAUUGGAUUUCGAGUUUCAUAACUCGAGAUAUGAAUUUUUAAGUGACUAUGACGCAGAUUGUUAGCUUGACUGAAAAUUUUAAAAAUAAAUUGUUUGAGCUGUUUAAGCAAUGAAUUAAGUCUGUUAACACCUCGUGUUCGACUCCGGUGACGGUCUCGGGUACGGGGCGUUACAGGAGCUAAACGCAGUUUGCUCAGCUAUUCUACAGAAUAAACUACCCAACAAACUAAAAGAUCCAGGGAGUUUUACGAUUCCUUGCUUAAUUGGUAGUUUAGAUGUUAAUAAUGCAUUAGCUGAUUUAAGGGCUAAUAUUAACGUCAUACCUUACAAAAUGUUUAAACAAUUAGGACUUGGGAAACCCAAACAGACUAGGAUGAGCAUUCCAUUAGCAGAUAAAACUAUAAGAUUUCCUAGGGGUAUUAUUGAAGAUGUGCUAGUUAAAAUCGAUAAAUUUAUAUUUCCCGUUGACUUCAUUGUUCUAGACAUAGAGGAGGAUAGCAACACUCCUUUGAUUUUAGGAUGACCCUUUUUAGCAACUGCUAAAAUGAUUAUUGAUGUUGGCACAGGUGAGCUCACACUCCGUGUGGGAGACUAAACAAUCACUCUUCAAGCUCGCAAUUCUCGCAACACAUCAGAAAUUGAAGGUGAUCGUCUAAACCAUUCUACUAAAACUGAUAAUCCGGUGCAACCUACUGUGCAGGAAAUGAGUCUGAAGUAAGAACAUGAGCCAUUCUCAAGCAAUAGUAGAGGACCUAUUCAUGAAGAUCGAAGGCUACAAAUCGAGGAGCUAGAUGAAUGGCGGAUGCAUAAACCGAGAACACACGAUAAACUAAACCUACGCCAGAACAAGCUCAAUACCUUCCCAAAUCAACUUAAGGUUGGAGAUAAAGUAUUAUUUGAUGCCAUAGAUCCUCACAUUGUCACUACCAAACCGAAUGAAGAAAUCCCUCUUACGGUACUUAGCAUUUUCCCAUUCGGUAUAGUCGAGGUAAGUCAUCCUAAGUUCGGCACUUUUAAGGUAAACAACACCCGUAUAAAACCUUAUUUUGAUAAGAAUGAUAGCAGGAAUGAGGAGUAUAAACUCCUCGAACCACCAUGACCGUUCAAUGGAGAGGUAAGUCGAGCUUAGACUAAAAAUAAGCACUUCUCGGGAAGCAACCCGAUCACUAACUGUAUAAACUUCUUUCAAUUUUAGUGUUUGACACCUAACUUACUAAUGGAACUCUUGAAUACAAGUUUACCACACAGACACGGCCAAGCACACGGGCGUGCUUAGGGCCGUGUGAAAACAAGGCAAAGAUUUCCCCAACACGGCUACGACAAAUCACUACAGUCGUGCAACAUGACCGUGGGCGAACCUGCCAAAACAGCACGGGCGUGCGACACGCCCGUGCCAAGCAACUGUGGUCGAACCUUUUAAAUUACCACGGGCGUGGGGAUACAUCCACGGGUAUGGGAGAAGCGAACAAUGCCAGACACGGCCGUGCGCACGAACAUGCCCAAGGAACACGGGCGUGGGACAAUUGUCAGACGCGCCCAAAUUCAAAAUUCGUGAAUCACACGGGCUGAAAUUGGGGAACACGGGCGUAUUACCUGUCCGAUUGCCCCAAAAUCUAUAAAUAGGAUGCACUAUUCAUUAUCUUCUUCACCCAGUAAACCCCAACCCUAGCCGUUGAAAGUCCACACGCCCUCUCUACCACGCCCGUGCGCUGCCUCCAACUCCAUUUUUGACGCUCAUUCUCCCCUUUCUAGAGUUUGUUUAUUCUUUUCCCUUUAAUUGCACUCAUUUUUCAUGUUAAGUUAUCAUAGUACUAUGCAUUUUUUAUGUUCUUUUCAUCCCUUUAUCACUCAUAUUUCAUAUCUAGAAUAGUUGUUAUCUUUUCAUGUUCAAAUUCUUACUCAUUACAUGAUUUCUCUACUCCUUUUGAUUAGUUAAAAGUAAAUAGUCAUGGAUAGUUGAAAUAUUCAUGCCUCUUAUGUUGACAUUUCUGCUCAUUCAUAUAGUAUGUUGUAUUCCAUUCUUUGCCAUUUUUACUCAUAUCACCAUGCUAAUGCCACAAAAGUAUGCCAUUGAACUUAUUGUUUUAGUUAAACUUAGUAGUUGUGGCUGAACAUAUUUAUAAAUUUUUCCCUCCUCGAAUGUAGUCGCAUUUUACCCCGUCUACUCAUCAAGACAAAUUGGUGUUUUCAGUUGCAGGUACCAUGUCAUCUUCACGUGGUAAAAAGGUCGCUGUCCCUGCUUCAAAGAAAAGGAAGGGAGCGUAAUCUUCCUCGGGUCCUACCGUAGAAAUUUGCCACCCUUUCAUGCAAUUCCCCAUCGGGCCCCAAGAAGAACAUUUCCAAAUACUCCCAGCCCUACCUUUAAUUGCGGGCUGCUGCAUCGACUGGGCUACAGUAGGACAAGUUCAGUUGGCUGAUACGAUUUGGGCCCUCCUAGCCACCGACCCUUGGGAGAUUUUCUUUGAGAUCAUCGAGCCAACAUAUCUCAAGUUCACGAUAGAACUAUGCUCAGUGUUCCAUCUUCAGACCGUAAUGACGAACUAUGAUGAUCCCGGCACGGUGCAAUUUUGCCUAGGCGGAUUAGUCCGCCAGCUCAGGAUCCUAGAAUUCGGUACGGCAUUGGGUUUUUAUAUAGAGGAGUUCAAUGAGGAGAAUGACUUAGAUACUCUCAACCGCCAUAUCCAUCGUUUUCCUUCACGGUGCUGGGACGCACUAGUACCAGAUCCAGCCACCUAUAAUCCUAGUUGCUCUAAGGCAUCGGUUCUCCCUCCAUUUCUGAGGUACCUUCACGCCAUUUUGGCCCACACGAUUAUAGAAAGGCGAAAAAGCACUGGCGUCGUCAACACUCACGACGCCUACUUUCUAUGGUGUAUGUCGCAUGGGCACGUCAUCAAUCUUGCUUAUUUCGUUGCCCUCGCCAUUCAGCACCAGACAGAGCGGCAUAGGAAGGGGGUCAUCUCCAUUGGCCCCUAUGUUACUCGGUUGGUUUGACACUUCAGGCUCCUUCGUACCACGGCCCGAGAAUCAUCCUUGACCCUCAUUGGCCAGAUGUCUCCACAAGGCAUCUCGAGCAUGCUAAGCAUGAGGAUGAUCAAAAAAUGCCGAAGAAUCUACCCUCCUCAAUAUUGUCUCGCCCAAUCUACCGAGGAGGAGGUCCCGAGGACAUUACUGAUGAUGUUCCCCCAUAGCACGAGGACCCACCGUCUCAGCCACCACCACCCUCUUGUCCAGUUCAUGCGGCGACUUCAUAUGCUGACAUUUCUGAGCACCUCACUCGAUUCGAGCUACAGUGUUUUCAACGAUUUGAUAACAUUGAUGCUACUCUACAACAGAUCUGUCAGCACCUUCACAUCUCAUCGCCACCCCCACCUCGUGAACCAUCUAGAAAUGAAGAUGUUUAAAACCUUUUAUUUAUUAUUUUAUGUUUUUACUUUUAUUUUAUUUUAAGACUACCUUUUAUUUUUAUUUCAUCUUAUUUUUAUUAGGAUUUAUAAUUUUUAUUUAACAAUUUUGAAUUUCGGCUAUUUCUUACCGAGUAAUCAUUCUUCCUUAUAAAUUUUCUAAAAGAGUUCCUAAUGCUAUCACAGUUAUAAACAGCUCCGAAGCUUAUCAUCACAUAGGAACUCAAAACCCUACCGAGAAAGGUUCUCUACGACUGUCAUGUCCUGCUAGACCACGACCAUAGCCACCACUAGAAAUAAUAUUCUUUUGGCGCAUGACUUAUAGACUAAUGAACCUCUACCACCGUUGGAGUAUCCUCCUCCACCCUUACGCCGAUUAUUCUCCAAAACUCCAGUUCAAGGAAAUUCAUUCAUCACUCAGGAAGUUUUACUUCUCUCCCCAACUUAUUUUUAUAUUCUUUUCUAUAUAUCUAUCUUUGUACAUUGAGGGAAAUGUACAUCUUAAGUGUGAGGGGGUAUUUAUUUCAUUAUCAGAAAUAUCCCUGAAUGACUGCCUUGUUCUCUUGAAAAUCUCUCAUAUCAUAUUUAGGAUAAAUUUUGAUUGAUUUAUGAUUUUGAUUGAUAUAUCUUGAAUUAAAACAUAGGCAUUUAUGCAUUGAUUGUUUAAACUUUACGACAUUAUAGAAUCGAGCAUGAUAAGUUGAUUUUUAAGAAUUUAAAAAUUUAGGUUGUUUCCCCAAAGUUUAGGUAUUACUUUGAGUUGGAAUUAACAAGUUUUAAACAUCAAAAAGCUAUAAUUUUUGUGAGAUUUUUGAGCCUUUUGAGCAUCUAUUAAUUCUUUCAUGCUCACUUUUAUUAUUACUUUGAGUCCGUCAGUAUUGAACUGUUAUUCUAGAACUUGCUUGAUUAUGCAUGUCAAGACCACAACAUUUGAUUUGAUAUGUCAAAAUGAUUAAGGCACUUAGGAUUAACCCACUCAUGCCAUGAAAAGCCUACCUCCACAAUUAACCACUAGUGAACCCCUUUGAGCCUAACAACCCAUUUUUUGUAUUACCCGUAAUAUUAACCCUUAACCCAUUAUUGUUGAAAUCCCCUAAAUUAAAUUUGAUCCCUAUUUUUUUCGAGAUUUGAAUUGAAAUAGUUUCUCAGCUAUGUCUUGUUCUUAAUAGUUAGUCUAUGUUUUUUAACUUGUUCUUAAAAAAAAUAAAAAAAAAACACAAAAAUGUAUGUAUACAUAUUAGUAGUAGUGAUCUUUUGAGCAAAGAAGUUAAAUUCCAUUUUCUGAGAAUAAGUUAUGUUGUACGCAAUUAAUGAGUAGUCAUUUUUCUAGUUAGGUAAUUUUUCAAUUCAAUAUCGAUUCUAAAUUUUUCUUUCAGCUUGUGACCACACCCCCUAACCAAGCCUCGUUACAACCCUCUAAAGACCUUUGGAUUCAUGUAUCAUCUCAAUUUAUAGUGGUGGAGAUGUGAUUUUCAUGCAAGCCUAUGGUAAUAACUUUUCAUAUUGACUAAUGAGUGCUACAUUCAUUGUCCUUAAAAACUUUGAGUGAUUUGAGUGAAUCUUUAGUGAGGAUGUUAAACUCCGUGAGAUUUCGAAUCAAGGUAACCACUUAGAUAAGGGGAGACAUCUGUGUUUUCAGGAUAAAAUGCUCAACUUGGAAUGUUUGAAGCUCUGAUGUUCUUUCAGUUGAAUUCUCAAUGUAUGAUUACCUGUGGAUUAUUUUGAGAUAUUAUCGAUAGAGGUUAUAAGUUGAGAAGAAUUUAUUUUGAUUAUGAGUUGAGGAUUUUGCUUGAAGACAAGAAAAUGCUUAAGUGUGUGGGGGUAUUUGAUAAACCGUAAUUUAUACAUAUUUUUACCCUAUGCUUAAUGUAUUUUAUGGAUGAUUUGUCCUUAGAAUUGGUGAAUUCGAUGCUCCUAAUGCCUUAAUUUCAUGUUUUAUACUUAGGUGAGCAUAAGAGAGCAAAAGGAAUGAGAAACGAGCCAAAAACGGAGAAAAUGGGCCAAAGUAUGAAAUCAACACGGCCUGGACUUCCUCACACAGGCAGACCACAUGGUCGUGUCAAUUUGGAAAAAUCGAAGCACGACUCACACGGGUAGACCACACGUCCGUGCAUAUUUAACAGGCUUGAGCACAGCCUGAAGUAAUCGCAAACGAGCGUGUCCCUGCCGAGCCCAAGUUGAGUCCAAUUCAGAAAAGGCUAAUUUUGAGGGCUUUUAGGCAUUCUAAAGCCUAUAAAUAUGCCCUAACAGAAGAGGAAAAGGGGACACAGAGAGAAGGAGGCAGGGAACUGCUCAAGGGAAGCCGGUUGAUCCAUCUCAGAAGCUGGAUUCACCAUCAAGACUGAAGAUCUCCCCUCAAUUUCCCUUCAGGAGUUUUGGGUUUUCUUUAUGUUUUGUAUUCAUUAUUCUUCUGAGAUGUUUUCCUUUUUAGUUAUGAACUAAAUCCCUUAAAUACCUAAGGGGAAUGAAACCUAAGACGAAUCUUAUUAUUAUUUUCUGAAUUAUUCUUAAUUAUGUAUUCUUAAUUCUUGUUUUGAUAUCCCAGGAUACUGAUUCAAGAUAAACUCUUAUUCAGAGGAGGAAUAGACCCUGCCUAAGAGUACAUUUGUCAUAAUUAAGCGGAGUUGAUUGCGCGCCUAGACAUAGGGUGACAAGAUUUUGCCGGAUUAGGGUGAAACCUAAUAAGGGGAUCCAUAAAUCGAGUUAAAACAACCCUAGAGUACUAAUUAGAGAAAAGUCUCAAUUAUCCAAUAUAGGGAUUAGACGUUAUUAGUCCUGAAUAGGGAUAAUAACAUAACUUAGGGAUCUCUACGGGACAAGUUAAAUGAAUAAAUCGUCCGAUUCGGAGUCAGAAUAACAAGUGAAGUCUAGGUGGAUUCUUCCUUAGGUAUUGUCUUAAUUCAAUCAUUUUCCAAAAGUAAUCCCUCAAUUCUAUUUUCUGUGAAUUCUUAGUUUAGAUAAUUAGUUAGUUAAAACAAAACCCCCUUAUUCGUAGGCUAGAUAAUAAAAAGGCAGUCAUUUCUAGUACUUUUAGUUCUUUUGGGAUCGACAAUCCGGUCUUGCUAAAACUAUACUACUGUUCGAUAGGUACACUUGCCUACAUUGUGAUAAUAGUUAGUUUCAAGAACGAUUCUUUAUAAAUAUUUAAAACCUGUCACACGAAAAUCGCGAUCAAGCUUACAACCAAUUAGCCAAUAAAGCCAAUUUGCAUGGCUACAAAUUACAUCCAACCUUUAGCCUUCACAAGCCAAUACAUUUAACCAAUUCAUAAUGACUCAUACAACAAAUAAACAAUUCCCUAUACAUGUCAUAAACUUAAAGGGGUUUGCAUUCACUUAUAUCCAACAUGAUAGCUUGAUAGUGUGAUAGCAUCUCCGGCCAUUUCCAACCUGAGCUAGCUAAAUUAACCUAUAAGAGAUGGGAAAAAAAAAAGGGGAGUAAGCUUUAAAACUUAGUUAAUCCAUAUGAAAAUAAUAAGCAUUUUAUUAACAUGCUUCUACCAAUUCUCACAACAUGAUCUCAAGGUAAAACAAUCAUAUUUGCACUUUUGACUUACAUUCAUGACAAGCUGUCCACUCGAGUCAUGGUCACUCAAUUAUUUAUAACUUGACCUACAGAAUUCUAAAUUAAGAUCCGUCAAAAUAAUUUUAACCUAGACUCAUAUAUACUUCUACCAUGAAAUUUUCAGAAUUUAUGGAUUAGCCAAUAAGUAUAUUUUAUUCUUCAAAGUUACCCCUGUUCUGCUGUUUGACAGUUUUGACCUUUUUUUACUAAAAAUUAAUUAUAUAUUAAUACAGGAUUCGGAUAAUGUUCUUGUCUAUUUCUCUUGAAAAUAGACUCAUUAAUAAUUUAUUCAUAUAAAUUAUAACCCAUAAUUAUUUUUGUACAAUUUUUAGUGAUUUUCCAAAUUCAGAACAGGGGAGUCUGAAAUCAUUCUGCCUUGUCUUAUGAAAAUUCAAAUAUCUCAUAAUAUGAAAUUCUUUUUCUUUCAAAGUUUCUUCUAUGUAAGACUAGACUUAAUAAUAUUUAAUUUCAUAUUUUAUUCAAUCUCUAAUUCGAUUUCCAAAUUUUUUGGUGGAUUUUCAAAGUCGGACUACUACUGCUGUCCAAAAUUGUUUUAGUGCAAUAUAAUGAUAACUAUCAUAAGUUCAUUUUCAACUAAUCAUGAACUCACCAUAUCAUGGAUUCCAUGUUCAAUUACACAAUUUAAGUUAGCAUGAUAUUGCAAAAAAAUUCAUAAUCAUAAUUUAUACAUCUUAGCUCAUCGGGGUCUCGACAUUUCAAAAUCUCAAUAACCAGAAGCUUAGCAUACUUAUCUGCACCCUUUCAACAUUUUUCACAUAUUCAUUCUUGUCUUUGACAUACCCGUUUGGGACUAUCAUCAAAUCAUUCUUUGAACUACCCGUUGAACACUCGGAAUAACAUUGGAUAUGCAAAAAACCUUGCACCUAAGUGUCAUACAUACAUACGUAGCCAAAGCUACCUCAUAACAUGUAACGCUCGAGAUGGAGCUACUCACGGGCCUGCUAGCAUAAGCUAUCAGUCAGGAUGUAACUACGCGGGCUGCUCACACAAGCUACCAGGUAUCCGACCCACUCAGGACUACCUAGCCACUGGUAGGACACACAAGACCAGUACCCAGAACCAAAUUACAUGUAUCUCAUACAUCAUGAACUAAGACCACUCAAUGAGCUCAGAUGUCACAUAUAUAUCACAAACUCGGACCGCUCAAUACGUUCGGAUUCCUGAAUUCCAAGUCACAUGUCACUUGUAUCCUAGACUAUUCCUAAGGUUCAAAUGGGGUUUCCUUGAUUAUCACAUCACAGUCGAACUUGCUCGUAAUUUCAUUUACGAUAUCCAUAAUACCAACCAUGUACUCAUGGAAUAUCGAGGCAUAUAAUUCAUGAUAGCAAUUAAGCAUUUAAAUUCAUAUAACAUUAAAGCAUUAAAAUAUGUAACACAUCACAUUAUUUACACUUGAACUUACAAUUCAUGUAAUAUCAAGCAUUAACAUUCAAGUAUAACAUUGCAUUAUUAUUAUCGUACCAACUUACCUUAAUGCCAAAAAUGGUGGAAAAAGGACUUAACUGUCAAAUACUUGUUUUCCCCCGAUCUAAGUCCGAAUCUCGUUUUCCUUUAUCUAUAAUAUCACACUUAGCUUACUGAUUAGUCAUAUUAUUCAUUGUGACCCAAAAAUCAUAUUAUGGCAAAAUUAUGUUUUUGCCCCUAAACUUUAUCACAUUUACAUUUUUGCCCCUAGGCUCGUAAAAUGAAAUUUAUUCAAUUUCUUUGUACUUUAAGCCUAGCCGAAUCAUUUUCACAACUAUAGCAGCCCAAAAUUUCCACUAAAUCACACUUUUAUGAAAAAUUUUAUAACUUUUACAAAUUAAUCCUUUUUAGCGUUUUCACCGAAACUACUUAGUAAAAGUCGUUUAACACACAAAAAACAUUCAUAUCCCUCCCUUAAACAUCAAAAUACACACAUGUAGCACAUGGGUAAAUUUUCAAACAUCAACCUUAGCUCAAAUAAAUGGUAGAAAUAGCUAGAUCUUGUUACGAGGAUUUCAAAAACGUAAAAAUCAUUAAAACGGGGCAAGAACGGACUUACAAUAGAGCUUGGAAGCUUGGAAAACCCUAGCCAUGGUUUCUCCAUGCACGUUUCAAUCAUUGCUUGAAGAUGGAAAAAAAUUGGCUUUUAAUUUUGUUUUUAAUUCAUUUUAAUUACUAAAUGACCAAAAUGCCCCUAACAUAAAAAUAUUCUAUUUCACCUAUUUCAUGUCCAAUUUUGUCCAAAAAAUUUUCCAAUGGUCUAAUCAUCAUAUAAGUACCUCCAAUUUAAAAUUUCAUAGCAAUUAGACACCUCUAACUUCUAGAACUCAAGUUUUGCACUUUUUUACAAUUUAGUCCUUUUGACCAAAUUAAGUUCCCAAAUGUCAAAAUUUUCGAACAAAAUUUUCACUAAAUCAUCUUGUAAAAUUUUAGACUAAAUCAUCUUGUAAAAUUUUAGACCAUAAAAAAUAUAAUAAAAAUAAAUUUUAUUACGUCGAAUUUGUGAUCUCAAAAUCACUGUUUUGACUAGACCCUAAAUCGGGAUGUUUUAACAGUUAACCCUAUACAUGCCAUUUAUAACCACUUGCUAAAUAUUAACCAAAAACUACCAACAUGGUGAUUGGAUAGUGUGAUCGUGCUCUGAUGCAAUUCCAACUAAUAGAACUUCCACAAAGUAAUUACAUAAGCAAUUAGUGCACAGUAAGCUCGUAUAAAAGAAACUUAAACUUACCGAACAUAAAAUGAUUAAAUCAUUCAAUCAUUGAUUGCAAAUCAUAUAGAUACUUUCCUUUUGUAACACCCCUUACCCAUAUUCAACGUCAGAAUAGGGUUACGGAGCAUUUCCGGACUUAUAACACAUACAACCAUAAUUUUCUCACGCAUUCAAUCAAUUCAUACAAUCAUCAUUCAUUCUCAAUCAAUUUUUCCCUUAUAAUAGCCUACGAGGCCUUAAACAUGCUUUAGGAGUGGUUCGAGACUAAACCGAUAACUUAUAAAACUUUUACGAAACUUUGAAUUUUUUUCUCAAAACAGAGGACACACGACUGUGUGGGCAAGCCGUGUGUCUCACACGACCACUAGACAUGCCCGUGUCACUGGCCGUGUGAAAACAGAGGUACAUACUAACUUGGGUCACAUGGCCAACCACACGUCUGUGUGUCUAGCCCGUAUGCCCUUCGAAGUGGCCACACACGUUCGUGUGCUAGGCCGUGUACUAGGCCGUGCCAAACCUGUAGGGUAUAUUGACUUAUGCAACACGGCCAAGUCACAUGCCCAUGUGCUAGGCCGAGUGCCAAUUAGGAGGGUAUACUGACUUGUACCACAUGGUCAGUCAUACGACCGUGUGUGAGACCGUGUGGAGCAUACUGACUUCACUUUAAUUUCAAAACCAAGGGACGCACAACCGUGUAACAUGACCGUGUGUCACACACAGUUGAGACAUACGCCCGUGUCACUGUCCAUGUGGAUAAAAAAUAAGUUAUUUACAAAGCCAUUUUGCCACCCUACUUUUACAUACUUGCACAAGCAUAAUUUGCAACAUUUAUAACUCAAUAGGUAGCUAAUCCACAACGUUUCAUACACAUUUUAUACCAAUCCGACAUAGUAUACAAAUAUUUAAUUAAUAUCAUCCAUUUUCCAUUCAUAUGCCUAUCACAUAUCAAGACAACAUUGCAUAUUUCUAUUCCAUUUACUAAUUGCCAAAACAUACCAUAUUUGAAUACUUAUACACAACCAAAACAUUAUACCAAUUUAAGCCAAAUCACAUGACUUUAACAUAUACCUCUGUCUGUCAAUUCUUACAACCGAGCUUUCAACUCUAUUAAUUCUGUUGGAUCUAUUCUAUAUAGAUCUAUCGAUAUCGAUGUUGUUCCCGGUAUUAAUUCAAUACCAAAUUCAACCUCUCUGAUCGAUGGCAAACCCAGUAAUUCUUCUGGAAAUACAUCCAAAAACUCACAAACAACAGGUACAGAUUCAAUAUUUGAUUCAGAUACUUUUGUAUCCAGUACGUAUGCAAGAUACGUAUCACAACCCUUUUUCAUACAUUUCUGAGCUAACAUAGAUGAUAUCACAGUAGGUAACUCACUCGAAUCAUUAAACUAAAUCCGAAUAAUUUCACCAUUCUGACAUUUCAAUUCGAUAAUAUUUCAUCUACAAUUCACAACUGCAUCAUGCAUAUUCAACUAGUCUAUACCUAGAAUCACGUCAAACUCAUCGAAUGGUAAAAGCAUGAAGUCAACUAGAAAACAGUAACCCCGAGUCAUCAAAGGACUUACAAAUUUUUUCAACUGAAGCAGACUUGCCUAAGCGGUUCAAUACUUUAAUUACAAACUCUAUAGAUUCGACAUGUAAACUCUUUUUAAAUACUAAAUUCAUAAAAAUAUAUGAAUGGGUUGAUCCAGGAUAUAUCAACGCAACUAUAUCAGUAUCGAAAAGAGAAAAAGUACUAGUAAUAACGUUUGGCAAUGAUGCCUCCUCCCAUGCACGGAUAGCAUAAGCUCUGGCAGGUGCUCGUACCUCAGACCUCACAGCAGAAUCUCUUGUAAGACCUCGGUUACCACUCAUAUUUCUAGCGUUUUGGGGUGGUCUCCCUCUAGUAGCCGUAUUACUUACUUUCGCCGGUUGAUCUCUUUCAGCUAUAGUCUUUUCUGGACAGUCUCGAAGAUAAUGACCAACUGAUCCACAUUUACUCAUUAUCCUACAUUCACCAUAAUGUUGCUUAUUGCAGUGCUUACAUUCAGGUCCAACAUUUCUAACACUACCGACACUAGCAACAAAUGUCGUCUGAGGUUUAGAGUUGAAAUGUCUCGCAUCUUUAUAUCUGAUCAAAAUUCCUGCAGAAGUAGUAGAACGAGGAUGAUAUUCUCUAGAUUUUUUUGAUACUGACUGAUGUAAUUUGCCAGUAAAUCUCUUUCUAAAGUCUCUAGCCUAAAAAUUGCCUUUUCUUUUCUCUUUGCUAAGCUCUUCGGCUUUGCAAGCUCCACCAACUAGAACAACAAACUCUUUCAGCACAAGAAUCCUAACUAACAGUCUAAUUUCUUCAUUUAAUCCAUUUUCAAACCUUUUACACAUUAUAACCUCGAAAGAAACACAUUCACGAGCAUAUUUUCUGAGUCGUACAAACUCUCUUUCAUAUUCUGUUACCGACAUACGACCCUGUUUUAAUUCAAGAAAUUCAUUUCGUUUAUGAUCAAUAAACCUUUGGCUGAUAUAUUUCUUUUUAAAUUCAACUUGAAAGAACUCCCAAGUAACUCUUUCUCGCGGAACUACAUAUAUCAAGGUACUCCACCAUUGAUGUGAAGUGUCUCCCAAUAGUGAUACAGCAUAUUUUAUACAUUCUUCAGGUAUGCAAGACAAUUCAUCAAAUACCUAAAUCGUGUUCUCAUGUAACAGUCGGUUUAGACCCUAGUCGAAAUAGUGGUUUCGGGACCACAAAUCCAAGUUAUAAAAAUAUUUUAAUAUUAUUUUCUGUUCUUAUAAUAUAUGAAUUGAUAUCUGUGAAAAUUUCGUGUGAAAAUUUUAUCGUUUGUGUGCCUAAUUUAGAAAAAGGACCUAAUCGCGUAAAAUGUAAAAGUGGCUAGUUAUUUGUUAAAAGUGCCUAUUUGCUAUGACUUUUUAAUUGUAAGGUCCUUAUGUUUCUAUUAUGCCAUUGAAAAGGUUAAAGGACAUAAAUGGCCUAAUGUUUAAUGAGUAAAUGGUUUUAUAAUCAAGGGUAAAAAUGUAAACUAUGAUUAAUGAAUUAUAAUUAUAAAAAAAAAUAAUAUGGUCUAAUUCAUAUUUCAACAACUGAAUAGCAAAAGAAGAAGAAGCCAUUGAAGCUUUAUAACAUUCGACCAUUGCAUGAUUAAUUAGGUCAAUCCAUUUUGCUCUGUUUUUGAUAAUUUUUAUGUUUUUGAGAUCGUUGCUUAGUAAUCUUUCAAGCCCAUGCCUCAAUUUUUGAAUUUGAUGAUGAUUUUGAGUUAUGUCAUUAUUGAUAAUGUGAGUAUUAUGAAGUUAGAUGAUAGAAAAUGAAAGAUAUGUGUUAGAUUACUAUGUUUUGUAUUGGGAUUUUUGAUGAAUUUGAGUAAUUUAGACUAAAAUGUGAAAUAAAUGAAAUAUAUAGGCUUAUAUGGCUAGAGUAAUAUUCGACCAAGCAUAUGUCUAAAGAAAUUCUGUGUAUUUUGUGAUUUUAUGAAUUAGGGACUAAAUUGUUAAAAUGUGAAAAUGUGAGGGCUAAAUUGUAAAAUGCCCUAAAUAUGUGUAUAUGGAUUUAUUUGAAUUAAUGUGAGAUUUAAUAAGUCAAAUUUUAAUGUGUUUAUAUCAAGAACCAAAGAAAAUAGAAUUAGAUCGGCGAAAGUCGUGUAGCACCCCUACCCGUAUCCAUUGCCGGAAUAGGUACGAGGCAUUACCGGAGUUUACUGAACAUUUUCAGAUAAUUCUAAGUCAUUUAUUAUUCAUAUUUUGAAAAUAAUCAUAACGUCUCUUUAUUGGGCCCUCGAAGCCCCAAACAUACAUUAAAAACCAACCAGAAUUAAAUCGGGAUCAUAAAAAAUUUCGCAAAAUCUUAAAUUUUAUUUUCAUCUAAGUACUUACCAUUUCAAUGCUUCUUAUAAUUAAACAUGUUACCAUUCAAUCAAUAGCUUGACCUUUGUCUAAGCAUCAAGCCACAUCAUUGUUAGUAUACUUGCACAUAUUUCAUAUAAAUUCAACAUUGAUAUACUUAUUUUCUCGACAUGUCACACUUGAGUUUAAUAAUUAUCUUUACUUAUAUAAUUUCCUUGUAUCAACAUAUCAAAGAUAAUCAUAUAUGUACAUGUCAUGAAACAUAUCAUUCUCUUACCAUUUCUUCAUAAGCAUAUAUCAUUCAUUUCAUUAUAUCAAUAUUUCAUGCUCCAUCAUUUCCAUAUAUUUUAUGUAUAUUUAUUCCGGUAAUAGCUUAUAUCAAACUUAACAUAAAUUAUAUUCCAUGUACUUAUACUUAUUUCGCUUAUCUAUCUUUAUAAUUAUUUCAUAUAACCAUUCGUCAUCUGAUACAUAUUACCUGAAUAUCAAUUGUUCAACAGAUGUCAUAGCGUCUCCCAUCCACGGUCUUAUUUAUCUUUGACAUGAUGCCAUAGUGUCUUUCAACUAUGGUCUUACUCAUUUUCUGUCAUGUUGCCAUGGUAUCUUUCAACCAUGGUCUUACACAUUUCAUAUCAGGUUGCCAUGGUAUAUUUCAACUAGAGCUGAUCAUGGGCUGGGCGGCCCGACCCGGCCCGAAGGCCCGUCCGAAAAAAGUGAGGGUUUGGGUAAAAACAUAGGCCCGAAAAAUGGGCUUGGGCAAAAAAACGAGGCCCGUUUAGAAAACGGGCCGGGCCUCGGGUAAGAGUUUUUUUGCCCGGGUCCGGGCCGGGCCUCAGGUAAGAGUUUUUUUGCCUGGGCCCGGCCCGGCCCGGCCCGAAUUAUAUAUUAAUAUAUAUUUUUUAUUUUAUUUUUAAUUAUUUUAAAUUUUUAAUAUAACUAUUUUUUAUUAUAUUAUUAAUUUGUGUAUUGUUUUAAGAAUUGUUUUAGUAUUAUUUUUAUUUGUUUUAAUAUUUGUUUUUAUGUUUUAAAAUAUAUUUGAUUUAUUAUAUUUUUAAAUUUUUUUAUUUAAUGAAAUAAAAAAAAUUAAUAUGGGCUGGGACGGGCCGGGCUCGGGCUUAGUAAUUUUAUUUUGGGCCGGGCUUGGGCAAAAUUUUAGGCCCAUAUUUUGGGCCGGGCCAGGCCUGGGCCUAGUAGACGGGCCUAAAAAUUUGUAUGGGCCCGGCCCGAACCCGGCCCGGCCCAUGAUCACCUCUACUUUCAACCAUGGUCUUACACAUUUCAUAUCAGGCUGCCAUAGUAUCUUUCAACCAUGAUCUUACACAUUUCAUAUCAAGCUGCCAUGGUAUCUUUAUAAAUAAAUUUGAUCAUCAUUUUCAUUCAUUUCAUAUUCUAAUGCAUUUAAUUAAUGCUCUAGGUAAAAUUACCAUUUUGCCCCUAAACUUUUAAUUAAUGACGAUUUCAUCCUUAGGGUCAGGAAAAUAAAAUUCUUGCAAUUUAAUUCUUAUUUUUAGCUAUUAUUCUCAUACAUAUUGAUAACAGUCCAUGAAUUCUAUAAAAUAUCAGAAUUUUCCAUAAUUUCAACACUUUUCAAUUUAAUCCCUAAAACAUGUUUUCCCCCUAUCUUGAACUAAAUUAAUAAUUUUAUUCAAUUUUGUAAUUUAAAUAAUAAAAUAAUCCAUUUCAUGCAAUUUGGUCAUUUCUGAAAUUUUUACAAAAUUGCCCAUAAAGUUUUAUUUUUAUUCAAUUUAGUCCCUGAGCCUAAAAUAUGCAAAUUAGCCAUGCUAAAUGAAUAUUCAUAUAUGUUUUCCUCCUCCUCCUCUCCAUUCCACAUCCUUAAUAUAUAUAACACACUUGUAAGUAACAUUAUCUAUAUAUAUAUAUAUAUAUUUAUGAAUAUUCAAGCUGUUCAUCUGUGUCUUAGUCACUAAAUUAUUUAUAUCUGGAGCUAUAGAGCUCCAAAUUAAGAUCCAAAACUUUUUCCUAAAACUAGACUCAUAUAUAUUCUUUCCAUAAAUUUUUCAGAAUUUUUGGUUUAGCCAAUAAGUACAGUUUAUUCUUUAAAGUUACCCCUAUUCUGUUGUCUGACAGUUCUGAUCCUUCUUUACUAAAAAUUAAUUAUCUCCUCGUACAUAAUUUUAAUGGUAUUCAAGUUUAUUUACAUUGAAAAUAGACUCAUUCAAGAUUAUAAACAUAUAAAUUUAAGCCCCUAAUUAUUUCUAUCCAAUUUUUUAUGAUUUUCCAAAGUCAGAAUAGGGGAACCCGAAUUCAUUCUGACCUUAUCUCACAAAAUUCAUUAUAUUUUAUGAUUUAAAAAUCAAUUACUUACACUGUUUCUUCUAUAAGAAACUAGACUCAAUAAGAUUUAAUAUCAUAUUUUAUUCAUCCUAUAAUUAGAUUUCUACAAUUUUUGGUGAUUUUUAAAAGUUAGACUACUGCUGCUGUCCAUAACUGUUUUAGUGCAAGAUAUUAAUUACAAUGUUAUAACACCCUUAUUUUCUUUUUCUACACCAUUUCUCAUCACUUUCUCUUAUUUUCUCUUCACUAACAUAUCAAGAACAUAGGACCUUAUGUAAGAAAACUCUACUAUAACAUUAUUUCCAUGCUUUGUUAAUAAUAACAAACUUAAAAACAUAUUGAAAUCUUGAUGUACUUACCUUUUCUUAUUGACUUCAAUCUUUAACUUGAUUUUUCUCUCUCCUCCAGUUUCUAUUUCUUGAAUCCAACUUGAUAUUCUUGCUCCCCAUCAUCUUCUUGCUAUUUUUCUCUCUUGAUGGCUAUGGAAAUUCUUUCAAUUUUUAGGUGAAAAUAAUGAAUUUUUGGAGGAAGGACUAAAUUGUAAGAAAAGGAAAACUUUCUUUCUUCUUUUUCUUCUCAUGUUAGUUGCAUGAGAAUGGUGAUCAUCCUCCCCUUUCUUUCCUUACAUAUAUAUAUAUUAAAUAAAAUAACAAUAAAAUAAUAAAAUAUCAUUUAAAAAUCAAUUUAAAGUAUUAAUAAACUAAUAUUUAUUUAUUUAAUUUAUCUAAAAUAUCUCCAACAUCAUCAUUGUCUCUAGAUUUCUCUCUCUUCCAAUUGACCAUUUUGCACUUUGUGAUCUUUUAAAAUUCCAAUCUUGAGUUAUCACUUAAUUUGGUAAAAUUGUAAUUUAAUCCCUCAUAAUUCUUCACCUAUUCAAUUUGGUCCUAAUUCAUCAAUUUUCCUUGGUUUCUAGAUCAUUCCACCCUUAAAAUAUUUGCACUAUUAGUCCUUCAACUUUUCAUAUUUACACUUUAAUCCUUCAAAUUUUGAGUAUUUACUCUUGGGCCACAAAACUUUUAUCACUUUUACAAUUUAAUCCUUUCUUGAAUCAAUAUGUCAUAAUAUACUUCCCAAUAUUGACAUAACUCAAAAUUUCCCUUUUUUGUCACUUUAUUUCCUUAUUUUACUAUAUCACGGAUAAUAUUUUACUAUAAAAAUUUUCGAGGUAUUACAAGUCGAAAGUCGUUGAAUAGUCGUCCGUUUCCGUUCAUUUCCGUAUGAGGUAAGUUGAUAUACAAAUAAAUGUGUUAAAAUUAAUUAUUAUUGCUUAUAUGAUAUUUGAAUUAUGGUGAAUGGAUAUGAGAGCUGAAUAUAUGAAAUUCCAGAAAGUUUCGAUAAUGCGACGACGUCUGAAAGCCCCGUAUGAACCGUAGGAAUAGUUAGGAUACAUAUGUCAUGACAUAGCAUUCCAAUAUGUGAUUUCAUGUAAGACCACGUCUGGGAUGUUGGCAUCGAUUUGAGAUUUAUGUGUAAGACCAAUUUUGGACAUCGGUAUCGUAUUUGAUUUUGUGUAAGACCCUGUUUGGGAUAGUGACAUUGAUAUUUGAUUACAUGUAAGACCAUGUCCGGGGCAUUGGCAUUGUACGAGCUUUCUGAGCUAUCCUAGUAUCCUUAAUGAUUUUGAAUAGUUCAACGGGCAUUCCAAGAAAAUGAAUGACUAUGUGCACUUGUAUCCGAUUCAGGUACGUUUGAAAUGUAUAUUAAGAUUGAGAAUGAAAGGUAAGCAUAUGUAUAUAUGUGGACAUAUGAAAUAUGUAUGAGUUAUUUGACAAUGAGAUAUGCAUAUGUAGUUGAAUUAUGAACAAUUGAGCUAUAUAAGAAUUAUAGAUAUGUGGUUAUAUUUUUCCAUGAACUACAUAAAUGAAAUGGUUUGGAAAUAUGUUAUGUGAUGAGUUUAUUUGUAUAUGGCUUACUAAGCUUUUGAAAGCUUACUUGGUGUGUGUUUUCAAUUGUUUUUAGAUAUCAAAGCUACUGAGAGCUCGGGGAUCGUCGAGGAUCAUCAUCACACUAUCAAACUUAAUUUUUGGGACUUUUUGAAAAUGUAUAUAUCAAAGUAUGGCAUGUAUAGGAUAGAGAACUUUGAAUGUGUUUUGAGAUGUGUAUAUCUAGCCAUGUGAUAUGGCUUGGUUAUGGAUGAAAUUAUGUAUGAAUUUUGGUAUAUGUUGUGUUCAAAAAUGGUAUGUUUUGAUGCGCUCUUGAAUGACCAAAUGAAAUAGCCAAUUUUGGUAAGUUUCAUGAUUGAUUUGGGAAGUUAAUAUGAUGUGAAAUACUAUGAAUUGAAAUGGAUUAAUAUGAUGUAUAAAUCAUGUGCUAUUGAUAUAAAAUUUGUACUUUGAAUUGGUAUAUUUGAGUUGGAUUUUGAUAUGGGAAAUGAAUGAUGAUAUCAUGGGUCAAUUUUUGUAUGAUUUAGUAUGUUUUUGGCCGCCUUUGGGACAUGGAAUGUGCUUUGUUUCAUGCUUUAAGGAUGGUACAAAAUGAGUGGAAAUUUGGCUUUACAAUUAGCCUAUUUUUGUCCACACGAGCGUGGGUCUCAGCCAUGUGUGACAUACGGUGAUGUUACAAGGCCGUGUGUCCCCUAGGGUAUCCUAUGAUUUAAAGUCAGUAUACCCUACAGUUUUGACAUGGUUUAGACACACGGGCGUGUCUAUCGGUUGUGUGUGGCACACGGGUAGGCUCGUGGGCAUGUGGUAGGCCGUGAUCCAAGUCAGUAGCCUCCCUAAUUUUCACACGGCUUAGCACACGGGCCUGUCUUGUGGUCGUGUGGACAAGUCAGUAUGUAUGCCCUGUUUUGCCAUGGCUUAGACACACGGGCGUGUCUAAUGUCAUGUGAGGCACACGGCCUGUUUACACGGGCGUGUGACCUUUGUAACUUAAAAAAAUGUUUAAGUUUUGAAAAAUUUUGUAUCUACUCGAUUUAGCUCCGAUCUCUUUCUAAAGCUUGUUUAAGGUCUCUUUGACAUAAGAAAGGGACUUUAUGUUGAUGUUUGACUAUGAUGCUAUGAUGUUUGUGAAAUGAAUGUGAAAUGUUCCAAUAUGUCAGGUAAUGCCUUUUAACCCUAGUCUGGCGAUAGAUACGGGUUAGGGGUGUUACAUCUCAAAUCAAAACUCGGCUCUCUCAGGGUCAUUGUUAACAGUGGCUCUGAAUUCCUCAGCCCUAUGCUUCCUUAUCUUAUCAACAAGUGGUUUAUUCAAUCGCAAAGGGUCCAUAUGGGUCUAGAAUGUAUUGUGUGAACCACUCAUUCAUCAUCUGGAAAAAGGCUUCUUUUGUCUCUCCUCCCUGACUGCCCGUUACGGGUCUAGAAACAGACGGCGCUAUCCCUUAAGCAGGAGCAGACGCAUUACUCUCAACCUCAUUAACUACAGCUCGAUCAUGAUCCAUUUACUAUAUAAAAACACAUUUCAAAAUGUCAGUAGUCAUCACACUAUCACAUUUUAUAUGACAUGUAUAGCUAGAUUCACAUACGUUACGUUAUUCCUAGAAUCGGCUAAACAUUAGCUUUGAUACAAAUAAAUGGAAACCCCUCACCCGUAUUCAAUGCCGGAAUAGGGUUACGGAGCAUUACCGAACUUAUAACACAUAUAACCGUACUUUUCUUAUACAUUUAAUCAAUUCACACAAUCAUCAUUCAAUCUCAAUCAAUUUGUCCCUUAUAAUAGCCUACGUGGCCUUAAACAUGCUUUAAGAGUGGUUCGGGACUAAACUGAUAACUUAUAAAACUUUUAAAAAAUUUUGAAAUUUUUUCUCAAAACAGAGAACACACGCCCAUGUGGGCUGGCCGUGUGUCUCACAGGACCACUAGACAUGCUCGUGUCACCGACCGUGUGAAAACAGAGGGUACAUACUGACUUGGUCACACGGCCAACCACAUGCCCGUCUGUCUAGCCCGUAUGCCCUUCGAAGUGGCCACACACGUUCGUGUGCCAGGCUGUGUACUAGGCCAUGCCAAACCUGUAGGGUAUAUUGACUUAUGCAACACGACCAAGUCACAUGCCCGUGUACUAGGCAGAGUGCCAAUUAGGAGGGUAUACUGACUUGUACCACAUGGUCAAUCACACGCCCGUAUGUGAGACUGUGUGGAACAUACUAACUUCACUUUAAGUUCGGCACCAAGGGACACACGGCCGUGUAACAUGUCCGUGUGUCACACACGGCUGAGACACACGCCCAUGUCUUUAUCCGUGUAGACAAAAAUAGGCUAUUUGCAAAGCCAUUUUGCCACCCUAUUUUUACAUACCUGCACAAGCAUAAUUUGUAACAUUUAUAACUCAAUAGGCAGCCAAUCCACAACGUUUCAUACACAUUUUAUACCAAUCCGACAUAGUAUUCAAAUACCUAAUUAAUAUCAUGCAUUUCCCAUUCAUAUGCCUAUCACAUACCAAGACAACAUUGCAUAUUUCAUUUAUUACUUGCCAAAACAUAACAUAUUUGAAUACUUAUACACAACCAAAACAUUAUACCAAGUUAAGCCAAAUCACAUGACUUUAACAUAUACCACCGCAUGUACCAAAGUCACUAUCUCAAGUAACUAUAACUAUCAUAUUUAUAACUAGCCUAUACAUGCCAUAUUUACAUAUAUCCAUAAGUUCAAAGGUACCAAUUGGCAACUGGAUAGUGUGAUUUGUAACUCCAACUUAAUCCGAAUCGAACGAGCUAUCGAACCUUUGUAAAACACGGAAAAGAAACAAAGUAAGCUUUAUAGCUUAAUAUGCCCGUAUAAUUCAAAAUUUAACUUACCAUUUAUACAUAAUCAAACAAUUAAGCAAAGUGUAUCAAAUUCACUUGCCAAAUGCCUAUACAGAAGCAUUCAUAAAUAUGUUAGUCUCAUAAGUACAUAUAACCAACCUUUAUCUCAAUUUCAUACAUCAAUAUAUUAUAUCAUACCAACUUCAUGUAACAUGUAUAACAUAUGUAACAAUGCAUCCUAAUUCAUAUAAUCGACAAUCCAUUUAUAUAACCAGUAAUUCAUCCAUAUAAUCAUUAUCAGAUUUAUACCCGUUGAACCUAUUAGAAUAUCGAUAGAUACACGGCUGAUACACACUUAAUCGAUAAUCCUUCAAUUCAUCAUCGUAUUUUCUCUUUCGAGCUAUGAUCGGUAAGCUCCUUCUAAGCUGAUGAACAGUAAGCUCUAUCGAGCUGAAAACAGUAAGCUCUGACAAGCUGAGAAUAGUAAGCUCUUACGAGUUGAUAUAUCAGUAAGCUCAUACGAGCUGCUGUGGGUCCAAAACAAAUGCAGGAUCUCGACCUAAACGAUAACCCUAGUGACAUGUCACUCGUAUCCUACGAAUUCCUACAGUUCAAACGGGGCUCGGUAACCAUCAAACUAUAUCAAUAAGGCAUUCAAAUUUCAAAUAUAUCAUUUAUUCAAUUACAUACAUUCAUUUCAAAUAAUUACAAGUAUUUAAAAGUUCGAUUCUAAUUAUAAAAACUUACCUCGAAUUGCUCAGAUAGAAAUAAUCAACUAUUUGUCCACUUUUCCUUUUCCCCGAUCUAAUCUCGAUCUUGACUUUUCUUGAUCUAUAUAUUAUCAAAAUUUUCACAUUCAAUAAUCAGACUAUUCAAUUUAGCCUAUAAUUCAUAUUUUGGCAAAUUUACACAUUUGCCCCUAAUAUUUCACACUUUUACAAUUUAGUCCUUAUCACAUAAAAUUUCAAAUUCAUGCAAUUAAUCACAAACCCAUACUUAGCCAAAUUUUAAUGAAGUCCCUAGAAGGCCAUUUCUUUUAUUUAUCCACACUUUUACCCACAUAAUUUUACAUUUUUACAAAUUAAUCCCUUUCUGACAUUUUUGUCAAAAAUCACUUUACAAAACUAGUAAAUCUAUUAAUAAACUUUCAUGAUCAAUCAUCAACAUCAAAUUACUCAAGAAUUAAACAAUGGAAACAUGAUAAAUCUUUAACAAUUUUGAAAUUUAAGGUAGCGGCUAGCUAAAAUACGAAGUAACGAUCUCAAAAACGUAAAAAUCAUUAAAAACUGAUAAAAAAAUCACUCCCUAAUGAACUAGGAAGCUUGGACAAAUACACAUGCAUCCAUGGGGUUUCUUUCUUCUAAAAUUUCGGUAGAAAUGGGUUAACAAAGAUGAUAACCUUAUUGUUUUUAUUAUUUUACUUACUAAUUCACUAAAUUACUUUAAUAACCUUUGUUAUAAAACAUUUAAAUUACUUAAACAAUGUCCAAGAAUGUCCACUUACAUUAUAAAUGAACUAAUUACAACAUAAGGACUUUCAUUUUAAUAAUCCAUAACUAUUUAAUACAUUUAACUAAUGGAACUCCACUUUUACACUUUACGCGAUUUAGCCAUUUUUAUCAAAUUAAGCAUUCAAAUGAUAAAAUUUCUUUACAAAAAUUUCACACAAUAAUUCUAUCAUGCUGUAAACUUUAAUAAAAUAAUAAAAUAAAUAUUUUUGCUUCGGAUUUGUGGUCCCAAAACCACUGUUUCGAUUUGACUAAACUUUAAUAAAAUUAAUAAAAUAAAUAUUUUGACAUGUGUUCAAUUAGUUCCCUUCUCAAUCCAUGUUUUUCCUUUUCAUAUGUUCAUUAACAUGAACCAAUAUAUACAUACACAUUUCCAUUUUAUGAUUUCCAUUCAACUACAUAUAUUACAUUUCCAUUCCAUAUUCUCAAUAACAUAGCUCAUUUCAUGUACACUAGCUCAUUUCAUAUACACACCUUUUCGUUUUAAACUUUAAUUGCCAGUUGAACCAAAUAGAAUAGCAUUGUCUACUCGAAAAAUACUCGUAUAUCCAUUUAAUUCCCUAUACACCAUAAACAUCGUUAGUUAACAUAAUUAUAGACAUAUGAAACAUAUAAUUACACCAAGGCAGAAAUAUUUAUUACAAACUAUAGUAGUUAAUACAUUCAUCUCAUAUUCAAUCUUAUAAUACAUAUAUCACCCAAAACAUGUUACCUGAAUAGAAAAUGGUUGAAGGAUCUCAUAGUGUCUUUCAACCAUGGUCCUAUUCAUUCUCGACUUAAUGUCAUAGUGUCUUUCAACCAUGGUCUUAUAUAUUUUACAUCAUGUUGCCAUAGUGUCUUUCAACCAUGGUCUUAUUUGUCUGAUUCAUGAUGCCAUCGUCUUUCAGCUAUGGUCUCACUUGUUUCUGAUAUGAUACCAUAGUUUUUUUCAACUAUGGUCUUAUUCAGUUCCGGUAUAGUGCCAUAAUGUCUUUCAACUAUGGUCUUAUUCAUUUCUUUCAAGCCAACAAAUUUGAUUCACGAAUAUACACAAAUAGAUAAUAAUUUAUCAAAACAACAAUUAAUUGAAUUAACCAAGUUACGAGUUUACCUCAAUUGAAACGGUUACUAAAAUGGAGCCAACAACUAGUUCGAAACUUUAGCUUUUCCUCGAUUUAAAUCUAGUUACAUUGUUUCUUAAUAUAAAUAAUAAUUUAACCCAAUUAAUACAGUUCCAGCAUUCUAACAAGUAGUUUAAUGCAAUUAAACCUUUCCAAUAUCAAUUUACAAAUCUACCCCCAACAUUUUAAAUUUUAUACAAUUUAGUCCCUAAACUCGAAACUUGUAAAUUUACAAUAUUUAGCUAAAAUUCAUGUUAGCCAAUUUUUACCUAGUCUUAUCACAACCCAUAUGUAUCAUCAAUUCGCAAUAUUUUUGUUGAAUUUUACCAUUUUCAUAAUUAAGUCCUUAAACCUUAAAACUAUCAAAAAUCACUUAAAAAAUAAGCUUAUUCAACAACCAAGCUUAUUAUUAUAUAAUAAAAUUCAAAAAAAAAACAACAAAACUCAUUCAUGGUAAGUCCUUAAACUUUUAAUAAUUUUACAAAUUGACUCCCGGGCUAGCUAAAUUAAGCUAAAUCAAUCACAAAAAUAUAAAAAUUACUAAAAACAGAAUUAAAAUCACUUACAUGCAAGUAAGAGUAAGAACCGAAUUUUCCAAGCUUAAUUCCAUGGUGUUUCGGCUAGAGCAAAACCACUUUGAGAAGAUGAUAGUCAUCUUUUCUUAUUUGUUUAUGUUAUUUAUUAUUAAAUUACCUUUUUAACCUUAAUAAUUUUGUUAAUAAACAAUAAGUCUUUGUCAAUAAAUGUUCGCUACACAUUAAUAUGGUUUAAUUACCACCUAAGUCCAUUUUUUUAUAUUUCUUUAACCAUUUAACCCAUUUAACUAAUAGAAACCCACUUUUGUAACAUUUAUGAUUUAGUUCUUUUUAAUUAAUUAACCAACUAAACACUAAAAUUUCUUAAUCAAAAUUUAAUAUGACCCUAAUAAAACUCUUAUGGGCUUGGUUUAGAGAAACGAGGUCCCGAUACCUCAUUUUUUAAAACCACUUUACUUUAAGGACAUCCCACUUGAACCUAAUUAUUCUUUCAAAUUAACAAAAAUCAUUAAAUCAAAUUUCAACAUAAUUCUAUAUUUGACUCGUAAAUAUUAAAUAGUAAAAUUUACGGACUCACUCGUCGAAUUUGUAGCCCAGAAACAACCGUUUUUGACACCACUGUAAAAACAUGUUGUUACAGAAGUGGAUAUCUAAAUAUUAACAUACGAAUCAUUGCCUUAAAAUAUUUGAAUAUAAAUAUUUUUUGGAUCCUUGAUAUUUAUGAUCACAAUUGCAAAUCAAAUAUUCGUAAAUAUUCGAAUGUCAUUGUUCUUCCUAAGUCCACCAUUAUUGUUAAGUGUUUGACCAUCUUAAAGAACUUUGAUAUAAAAUAAAGAGAGUAUGAGCACGAUGCUGGAUAAAACAAGUUUACUUCGAACAUUAAAUAGGGGCCAAGUCAAAUAAACAUGUUGUUAGUAAUACUAGAAAUGUACUAAAACAUGAUGUAUUUUAAAAUAUUAAAAAUUUGAUAUAAGAUUGAUUUAAUUUUUAUUAAAAUAUUUUUAGAUUUUUUAUAAAAAUUUAUUGUAUUUUUAACUAAAUACUAUUGUUAUAAAAAAAAUUUAAUAUUUUAAAUGUAAUUAGUGCAGGUAUACUUGAUUUCAAGUUACAAUAAUUUUUAUUAUUUUUGUAACACCCCAAACUCAGCCUAGAAGUUUAAGCCGAGUCUGGACAAGUUACACCAACGUAGUAAAAACGUACUUCUUUUCAGAGUUUUAACUUUGAAAACCAAAAAUUCAUUUUAGUCUAGAUUAUUUUGUAGUUUCAUUUUAGACUUGGCAGAUACUAACUAAAUUAUAUAUUAAAAAAAAUAAGACAAGUCCAAAACAGAUUACAAAUCCAAAGAAUUAAAUUGUAGUUAUCUCAAUGCAAAACAAUUCGAGCUCUCGCAUGCCAUCCAAUCCUAAAUCAAAAUGUCUUUCUGAUAGAUAAAAGUAAGACAAUGGUGAGUCACUAAGCAUGCAUAUAACCAAACUCAAAUACAAAUAAACAGAAUGUAAUAUAUAAAUCAUAGUAACGCAAGCAUUUGAUAACAGUUGUAUAACCAGUAUGGAACAGAUCUAGAGUAUCACAGAGGUUUCAACAGAGGUAGUACAAUAGAACAAAGCAAAACAAAACAGAUCAAGACAACGCAAUUCAAAUAGAACAGAAUCUAAUAGAGCAAAACAAAAUAGGAUGGAACAAAGCAGAGCAAUACUGAAUAGAACCGAACAAAACGAAACAGAGCAGAAUAGAAUAGAACAUGUAUGUUUAUGCAGAUGCAGUGUUUUUCAAACAGAUCAGAAUGCAGAUUUAUUAGAAACAAUCGUCCCAAACUCCUUUACACACCAAAAUAAAGUUCUCUCCCAAACUCAUCCAUCCAAAACACACCAAUAAAGUCAUCCCAGGUUGACUGGCAACGAUAACCUGUCACCCCGGGUUGCCCAGCAACAAUGGCUUAUCAAUAUGCAGUUAAACUGCCAAUCAAAUAUAUGUGGUCAAGCCACUAUAGUACAGUCGAAUUGCCGGAACAGAAGUGUGGAUAAACCACCAGAUAGUGCAGAUUAUUAAAUUGCUAAAAACUUCCUCAUUUUUCUUCAACCCAAGUCCCAUGCAAUGUAUCAUGGCAUACUCAUGCAGAAUUAGAGUAAUAAGCAUGUAAGUCAUGCUAUCUCUUAAUAACAGAAUUAGUAAAAUGGGGGUCCAUGAUUUGUAAAACAAACUUAUCAAACCUCAACGGACCAUAUGAGAUUUGCCAUGAAGUCACAUGCAUGGUUAUAAAUCAAAAUCAGUAACAAUCAGUCUAACAUGUUCAGAUAUCGCAUAUUCUUCAUCAUAGAGCAACGUAGAGGCGUACCAAAAAACUUAACUGAAUAUAGGUCAUACCUGAUCAUUCGAACACAUAAACAAUAGCACAUUACGUUCUGGCAGAUCCUACUCAUUUAGGUUCAAACAUAACAAAUAUAAGUACAGAUCACAAGUUGUUUAUCAUCAAUCUAACAUGUUUAGGUAUCGUAUAUAUCAUCUAUAUAUCAGUCUUAGAGCAUCAGAUUGUCCUCUUACAAUCAAAUUCAGGUCAUAAAUACAUUAUGGAGGUCAGUGCUCAUGUUGGACAACAUUCACAGCCUCAAAAAAUAAGAUUCAGAUCCUAUUCAUAUACCACACAGCCUGGACACAUGUCUAUGUCUUUGCCCGUGUGGCUCACACGACAUGGGCACAUGCCCAUGUCGUCUACCCGUAUGGUUCUAAAUCAUAAAUAGUGAGUUAUAUGGCCUGGACACACGCCCAUGUCCUUGCCCGUGUGGCUCACACGGCCUCGGCACACACCCAUGUCCUUACCUCUAUGGCUCACACAGUUUAGGCACACGUUGAUGUCCUUGCCUGUGUAGCUCAAAUGGCCUGGGCACACGCCUAUGUCCCUAGCCGUGUGGCGUCGACAGUCUCGUUUUUUAACAACUAAAAAUGUAGAAAAGGAGGGGUUUCGACACCCACCUAAUAUGGACUUGAUGCAGGAGCAACAAGGAUGAAUUCCCAUCCCUAAACGAUAAGCAAUUGCUUAAUAAAAUGAUUAAUUUGCAGUCAAAUCGCUAAAAACUAACAUUCCAAAAUCACAGUUAUGCCGAAGAACUUUCGACACCAGAACUUUAAAUUGAACUUACCGGCCAACGAAUUGAACUAAAACGAAGAAAUCAGACCCCCUACAGAAUCAAUGUAACAUAACAUAGCACAAAAAGAAAGGAACUUAAAAUAGUAAAACUAAAUCAAUAAAAAAGAAAGCAAAAGUGUAACGUUAGAAAAAAAAUGAAACAAUGUGAAACAAAAAUAGAGUUAUUGUUUUGGGAAAGUCUAAUUAACUAAAAUAAACUACCCCACAAGGCAGUUCUGUAGCACCCCAAACCCGGCCCAGAAGUUAUUGCCGGAUCCGGCAAGCCACAUCAAAAACGUAAAAAAAAAAUUCCAUUCUAAGUCCAGAAAAUCGUACUUGAUGUUCAAAAGAUUAAUUCAUUAAAGGUUAAAGUGAAUGGAAGCUGCGCACCAGGUAGGAAACCGGAAAAGAGGUGGUGAGUCCAUCGGACUGCUUAAGUACCAAGCUCCCUUCGGAUCCAAUCCUAGACAUGCAUACCGCCAUUGCCACACCUUAACGUCAUGGAUAUUUCUAGGAAACCGAUUUGAUUAAGUUAUUUUUAGGAAAAGUGAUUAAUUUUGGAAAAUACUUUCAUUGCGGAAGCUUUGCUUGUUGUCGUGUUAUUUUGAAAUCAAUUGUUGUUUUUGAAAACGCGCCCUAAAGCUAUCCAAUUUCAACAGUUAAAAUAAGUAUUACCUAUCUUAGUAAUACAUAUUAAAACCAUCAAAAAUAAUUAAGCGGCCUUAUUAUAUUUAAAAGCCCAAAAACUUCAAACGUAAAUAAAAGGAUGUCCAGUUCACUAGAAGAAAAUCAAUGUCCAGUUCACUAGAAGAAAAUCAAACUUUCAGAAUGGGUGGCCACUCCGAAUUCCCUCACAGCUCCAAGCCCACUAUGGUUGGGGAUUUCCUGCGUGGAUGAAAAUAAAAGGGGUGAGUUUGGGGAAACUCAAUGUGCAAGGAAAACCCAUUCAAAACCCAAGUCAGCUCAACCCAUUGGGCCUAAGCCCAUUCAGGUAACAGUGGUACUGGGCCAGAGCCCUUUUCAGAUUACAAUAAACUGGGCCUUAGCCCCUUAUUCAGAUAACAGUAUGGCCCAUAGGCCCAUUUCAAAAUACAUGCAACAUCAGUAAACAUAUGCAAGCCCAUUUGGGUAACAGUGGUACUGGGCCAGAGCCAUUUUCAGAUUACAAUAAACUGGGCCUUAGCCCCUUAUUCAGAUAACAGUAUGGCCCAUAGGCCCAUUUGGAAAUACAUGCAACAUCAAUAACAUAUGCAAGCCCAUUUGGGGAGACUACUCAACCCACCAACCACUACACUCCACCCGUACCAGCCAUACACUCCAUGUGGGGAAUAGCUCAACCCACCCAGCCCAACACUCCACAGUUGCAGCCUUGCUGCUCAGUUAACAGUAAAUUGAGGCAAAGCCUCCAGUAUAUGGACAAGCCACUUUCAGUACUUCCUCCGUCAAUAUCCCAAUCCCAUGCAUCAGAUAAUAACAACAUGGUAUGCAGUAAAUAACAACAGUCAAACAUGCAUUUAGGUCAAUUUAACCCUAAGGGUAUUUCGGUAAUUUAUCUACUAGAGGUAAAACUGUAAAUUUUCCACUUUUAAAGGUAUUUCAGUAAUUUAUCUAUUUUAGGGUUUUUCAUGCAUAUUCCUACAUUUCACGUACUAACAGAAUCACUACCGAGGGUUCUUACCGAAUUGGGCCCGUUGGCCCAUCAUUCCAGUUUUGGCCCAUUAAGCCCAAAAAUAUCGAGGGCACAGAAAUCAUGCACUUUACAAUCCAAACAUUGCAGCUUACCAAAAACAUUAAUCGAUUUACCUCACGAGCAUUCGCACACUCGCAAAUCUACAAAAUACCGGUUUUCGACAUUUCGGCUUUUCAGCUUUUGCCGAUCUAGACUAAGAAAGAGGGUGUUAGUUACACACCUGUUUGCAACGAUAUGCUGACGAGAUCCACACACGAACCGCCUACAAUUGGAUUACUAAUACGUUAAUCUAACUAUUCAAAUACAAACUACGUAUUAACCCCUUACAAUAUUCGGCCAACCACACCUACAGGUCAUAGUAAGCUUAUAAGAAAUCAAUAAGUAACUCAUUAACAAAUUUUUGUCAAUGUUUACCACAUAAUCAUAAUUUCACUGCAAGCUGUCUUCCUGAGCAACAGUCACUAAAUCAUUUAUAACUGGAGCUACAAAACUCCAAAUCAAGUGCCGUUAAUUUUUCCUGAGAAUAGACUCAUAUAUCUUCUAUCCAUAAAAUUUUCAGAAUUUUUGGUUUAGCCAAUCAAUACAAGGUUUUUCUCAAAGUUUCCCAUGUUUCACUGUUUGACUAAUCUGACCACUCUUCAUUACGAAUCAAAUUUCUCAUUGUACAGAAUUCAAAAUAUGUUCUCGUUUAUUCCAUUUGAAACUAGACUCAUUAAGCUUUAAUUACAUAAUUUAUGCAGCUUCUAACUCAUCUCCCACAAUUAAUGUUUAUUUUCCAAAGUCACGUUACUGCUGCUGUCCCAAUCAGAUUUAUUACCAAAUCACUCUUUCACACCUAACUUGCAUGCUUGUUAUUUAAACAUGUAUAUCACUAAUCAAUCAUCACAUAUCUAUGAUUUUACUUAAGUAUAAUCUCCAUUUCAUCAUUUUAAAGCACAACAUGUUAGCCGAUUUUUCCCCUUAGCAUCUAAGGCACAUGCAUGCUCAUUUGUUUGGCUCAACUUCACCUAUCUUCCAUUUUUCAUCAAAAUAACAUGAAACAACAACCAUUUCCUUCAUUUUAAUUCAUGACCAAAUGCUCACAACACAACCAAAAACCAAAAUAUGCUUCAAGAGUUAAGGUAGAAUCAAGAAGAACUCAUGAACCUCAAAAUAAAAGCAAACUACCAUGAACUUACCUUCAAUUUUCUUCCCCAAGUGACCGAACAUUCAAGAGCUUUCUCCUCUCCCUUCUCUUCUCUAACUUUAGGCUAUGAUGAACAAAGAUGGACAAAACUUUGUUCUUUUCACCCCUUUUUUUUUAAUAAAAUUUCAUAUUUCAUCCAUUUAAUUCUUUAAUACAAAAGACAUGAAAUUCUUAUCAUGAAACAUUUACCUAACCCAUUAUCAUGAAACAUUUACCUAACCCAUUAUCAUGGAACAUUUACCUAACCUAUUAUCAAUUUGUAUCAAUUUGUACCAUAAAUUAUGGAUAUCAAGUGCACAUUUUGUCUACAACAACAUGAUGGCUGGCCACUUCAUGUAAAAUGGGAGGUUUGUCCUGCAAAUCCUCCUAUUUUGCACUCCUAUUUAUUUGGCCACUUCAAUUUAGCCUAUAGCAUUUUCAAACAUUUUCACAUAGGUCCUAUUUCAUAAUUUCACUCCCUUUUUCUUAUGGAACAAAAAUUAACUAAAAUUACCGGGUUCUAUCUUAAGCUUGGGCCUUCUAGAGGCCCACUAACAUAAUUAAACCUAUGCCAACAUUCACAGGAUUCCCGAAAAUUGGGGCGUUACAAGUUCAGUAAAAACAUCUCCCUAACUUUUGCCAAGACUCAAACCCAAGACUAAAGGGUAUGCAAACAUUUAACCAUUGACCCAACAAGCUCAUUCUUAUCAUUAGUUUAUCGAAAAUAGAACUUAUGCCAGACGAUCAAGAGUAAGGUUUUGAUAAAAAUAACAAAAUUUCAAGGAAUAAGGUUCAAACCCAGGACCUCUCACACAUGACCAUAACACUUAAAUACUAAAUCAAAUCAAUUUCCUUGUUAAAAAUUUCCAAAAUCUAAACUCAAAAUCGAAGGAUGACCAUACUUGGUUUCCAAUAUUCAAUUUCUUCUAAUCCGGUUUUCGGGAUGUUACAAUUUUUUAAAAUUUUAAUAAUUUUUUUACAAUCUUUUUCAAUUUCUAAUAAUUUAUUAUAAUAUGUAUAAUAUUUUACAAUUUCUAAUAAAUUUUAUAUUGUUAUAUUUUUAUUAUUUUUAUGAUUUAUAAAAAUUAUUACAUAUUUUUAAAUAUAUUAAUAAAUUUAGAAUUUUUAUAAUUUUAUUUAUAUUUUUUAAAAUUUUUACAAUUUUUAGUAGUAUUUUAUAUUUUUAAAUAUUUUUGUAAAGAACUUUGGAUAUUACGAAUCUACAAAUCAAAGUUCAAACAAUUUUUUUUCUAAUCUCCGAUACUGACUAUCAGAUCAAAUUAAAUCCAAUAUAUGUUGUUAUUUAUUUUAAAAUGAAAACUUUAGAAAUAAUUUAUUCUCUAUUUGGUCUCUCUUUUUUUCUUUUUCUUUUAAAAGUUCAAGAAAAAUAUAUUCGCAGUCAUCUGGAGUGGUUGGUGGUUGGUUUGAUCUUAAAAUUUAGCCCUAGUGCAGAGGUGAUGCAAUACUCAUGAGUUGGAAAUAGAACAUUGCUUGCCUCUAAUGAAAAUGAGUGAUUGUAGACUAAAACCUCAGUUUAUUGAAUUAUCAUCACCAGACCGGUUAUAUAAUAAAACAAAUCUUUUGUAGGCACAAAAUUAUUACUCUUUAAAUUACAGGAGUUAAAUGAAAUGAUAAGAGUUUUUCCUUCCUUAACCAAUGGUUAAGAGUUCAAUCUUCAUCCUUAAUAUGAAGCAGGCAUCUACCCCUUAAUAGGCCUAUAAAUCAGAGAAUUAAUUACUGGACUUAAUCUAAUAAAUACCUAACCUUGAGAAGAAAAAAAUAGUACUUCUUAGAACCUCAAUUAUACUUCAUAUUCUUAACUCAUCAACUAGCUUAUUUAUUUAAACACCUUGUCCUUCGGGAGAGUUUAUCAUUUUUAGUCUCUGCUAAAUAUUAAAAUUUUUAUCUAAGCUUUUAAUUUUUUGAAUAAAAAAAUAUUUUUUUCUCCUAAAAUUUAAUUAUUUAAUUUAAGUGCUUUUAAAAUAAAUUUUUUAAUUUAAACCUUCAAAAUUUUAUAAUUUUACUUCAUCCCUACAUAAAAGUACUCAAUUCAUUUAUAAAAAAUAUAAAAAUAUAUACUAAGCGUCAUAAGAUUUUCACUAUUUUUUUCCUUACUAAGGGAAGUUUUGCAACUUGCAAAACUAAUUAAAUAAAUAAAAAUCACUUCAACCGACCGGGCAAAAUUAUAUUAGCACCUGUUACCAAAUGAAAAUGAAAUUUGGGGAAUAAUAGUCCCAACUCUAGGUGUGGUAAUUUAAAAAAAGUUAAUUUCUGCCAUUAGUAUUUAUACUUUUUAAUUUUUGAAAUUUUAAUCCCGACAUUAAUAGUAGCAAUUGAAUUUUUUUGGUUAAAUUUAAUUACUAGUCAUGUAUUAUCCGUACAGUUGUAAAUUUAGUUCAUAUUCUUCUAUUUGAUCAUUUUAAAUCUUUAUACUUUUCGAAUUUUUAAAUUUUAAUAUUGACACAAACGACAGUUGUUAACCCAUUUAAUUGGAUUUUUAGUGAAUAAUAUGUGAAAAUAACAAGUUGAUAUAUUUACCACAUCAACUUUUGUAAAUAGUGGAACUUAAUAAACUUAAAAAAUAUCAUUUGUUAAGGACUAAAAUUUUAAAUUUUGAAAAGUACAAGACUAAAAAUGAUAAAAUUAAAAUACAAAGAUAAAAUCCACAAAUUUUGUAAAGUACAGAGACUAAUAGAAGAACUUAACCUAAAAAACAUAAGUAUAGCUAGAUAGCUAGACUUCGAGUUAUGCCCCCCAAAACAAUCAGCAAAGCAUAAGGUAGUGAGUGCUCUGGAUAGAGUUGGAGACUACAAAACAAAACUGUUAGCGUUGAUAGGAAAUUAAACUUGAGUGUAAAUAAAUAAAGUAAUCACUGUGCCAUAGAAGAAUCACGACCUUAAAAGUAAAUUUUCCCUGAUUGGUGUAAUCGUGUAGUGGACGUCACCUCUCAAGGUUAAUACAGUACUUCAAUAUUUGUCAUUUGAAUAAAGGCGGAACACAAUUGGUAUUGCUCUUCUCGAAAGGAAUCGAAACCGAAAAAACAAAAGCAGUUGGUUGAAAAUCUGAUCGAAAAAUAAGCUAGAAGAAAACUGACCAAACCACACCAGGUUCAAUUCCCAAGAAGGACGAGAGGGGUCACAGAUCGAGUCUCGCUUAAAAUUCAAUCUCCUAGAUAGGAUUUUCCUCUUGUGUAAUUUUGUGGAACACCAAAAUUUAGAGAACAGAAGAAUGAGAGAAAUUGUUUUUCUCUUGUUAUGUUGUAUGAAAAAUUAGGAAAAUGACAUCCUAAUUAUAUUGUUUUCUGAAGGGGUAAAACAGUAAAUUUACAUAAUCAAUUCUCUCAAAUAGUAACGGUUUAAAAAUAUAUUUUUUCUCAGUUUUUUUGCAUUAACAACGGAAGUGAGUUUUCAUCUUUUACAAUUGCAGAGCCGUCUUAAUGCAUGGCGCAUGCAGCAGCAUAGUUUUAUUUAUUCAAAUAUAUGAAGGAAUCUUCAUUUAACUUUCUCGGAAAUUCCCUCACCGGGAGUGUCAAAUCUAGAAUAUCAGUUAUCAGAUUUUCUGUUGCCUUCUCAGUAAACAAAACCACAGCACAUUAGGUUACCAGAAACAAUAAAACACAAAACACUAUUUUAUAUAUAUAUAAAGAUUAGCAUUCUAAAUUUUUAAAUACCCCUUCUGCAACAUCUUGUCUCUUCUGCCUGUAAGAAAUGAACACAAGCUGGCAUCCUAUUCCUCGUGCAUGCAUUCUUUUUUUUUUAUACCAGUUGAUGUCAUAACACCCAACAACUUACACUGACUUCCGAGUAUGUGUAUUCAAUAUGAAUAUGAUCCUUUUUUUUUAAAGCUUACUCAUAUAUCUGGAAUAUCGUAUUCUUGAUCUUUUAUCUAUUAUAUAUAUAUAUAUAUGUAGGAUAAAGAAAAUGAAAAGACGUCGGAAUAUCGUAAAAAUGGCUUGUCUCUAUCUCAUGCGGAAGGUUCCUACAGACAAAUUUGGUCCCUUAGCUGUUACCAAUUGUCCCAAGCCCGUACCGACUGUCAACGAUACUUCGUAGUCCUUUUCCCAUGGAUCUGAGAUCUAGUUUAGGAUAAGGUGUCGUUUAUGGUAUCAAUAUAAAGCCAGGUUGAAGAAGCAAUUGGCCUUCCACAGCCCCCCCCCCCUCCGUCAGCCUCAAUCCAUUCUUGUUAAUCUCUUUAUAUUUCGACAAUGGCAAACCUGAAUUUCAAUGCUCUCAGAGACUUGCAUAACUCAGCUAACGACCUCCUGCACUCACCAAUAAUCAAGCGAGCGCUUGUUCACCAAGGUCAAGAACAAUGGGUUCAUCAAGUGUCCGAAUCAUCUCUAAGGAUGUUGGAUGUUUGUGGCAUUUCCAGGGACAUUCUUUUACUUGUCAAGGAACAUGUACAAGACCUACAAUUCACUUUGCGCCGUGUAAGCACCGAUGAGGCUGAUAUUGGAACCAAAAUAGCAGUUUACAACCGAUACUCAAAGAAACUAAAGAAAGAGACCCUCAAGUGCUUGCAAUCAUUGAAAGGGAUGAGAAACAAGCCCAUCAUCACUUGUGACAUUGACGACAACCUGACGGUGGUUGUGGAUGUGCUAAGAGAAGUGAGUGCGACUGCCAUAUCUGUGGUGGAGUCGCUGCUUUCCCUCAUUUCUAUUCCUUGGUUGGAAAGAAGGUCAAGUAAAGGGUAUUUGGCAGCCAAGUUCAUGAGAUCGAGUUGGCGGAGAGUUUAUGAUGUAAGCGAUGAAAUGGCAGUUCAAAGCGCGAAUAAAAGAUUGGAGGCAGUGGAAAUAACGAUUGAGGAUCUUGAAGCUGAGAUAGAGUGCAUGUUUAGACGUUUGAUUCAGACUAGAGUUCUACUUCUUAACAUACUUACCAACUAAUUAAUCAACAUAUACACAAUAUAAAUAUACUCUCUCUCUUUUUUUUCUUUUUUUUUUUUCCUCUUUAAUUUCACUGUGAAUUGCCAAACUUCAUGGUUUUUACCUUAUGGAUCUAAUGCUAAUUAGAACUAAAUAGCUAGAUAGGCUGAUUUAGUAAUUGAAUAACCUUAUGCUGUUGUAUUCUUUCAUUCUUUUAAAUAAAUAACCCACUCCUGUGCUUUACAUUUUCAAAGUGAUUGUGUAUUUAAUAGAAAUUGAAACUCAAAGCUGAAAUAAAACUAACUAGGUCAAAAUUCAGUCAUGAUCCCAUUUAAAUCCUUCACAAACAUUUAUUCUCAAUAGUGGUUGCAACCCUGACUUGAAGUUCUACAACUCUUACUCUCUUUCAAAUUCAUCCCUAUUUAAAAUAUAAUAAUUCGUUGUCUAAUUUAAUUUAAAAAUUUUAUAAUAUUUGAUCCAAUUCAAUUCAAUUUUUGUUGCUUUAAACCAAUUCUUUUAAUAAAUUUAUUAAGCUGGAUUCAUUGAUACCGUGUGGAUCUUACAAACAUAUAUAUUUAUAUACGGUUUACGUAUGUUAGUUGCUAACAAAUCAUGCUUUGUUUACAAACAUAUAUAUUUAUAUAUGGUUUACGUAUAUGAGUUGCUUUGCCUACAAAUUUUGAGUUAAAAUGAACUUGGGAGACUAGAAUUUAAUUAAGAAUUAAAAACAUAAAUAUGUUAAGGUGAAUAGAAUCUAAUUUCGAUUUAUCCAAUUAUCAUUCAAAAUUAACUUAAUUUAUUCAAAUUCGCCUUAAAAAAAUGUAACACUAUCAAGCCGGAUCGAAUAGAUUUUAUAUAUUUUUUUACAAUCCCUACUUCUAAAUUACUUAAAUUUGAGUUCAAGAGUAAAACUUGCAACUCUUAGUUUUCUCCCUUCAAGAGUCUCGUUUUAAUUGAGCUAACCAGCAGUGGUUAAUUUAAGCAUAGUGGUAAUGUUUGAUUAAUCAUCUAGAAAUGGAUAAUUGAUUUGCACAUGUUUAGCUAUAUAUCAGGAUUCAGCCCCCCAAAGCAUCCAACAUAAUAAAUUGCUUAUAAAUGUUGACACAGCCUGGUUGGAUACCCAGCCUAAUGCAACAAUUGAUUCUGUACGACUAUGGGAAAUAAAUAAAUAUAGGCGGUGGUUCGCUGUCCCCUAAAAUGCGCAUGCAAUGGGGACGAGGAUGAUCAGGUUUAAUUAUUCUUGUUUCGUAUGCGUAAAUUGGCAGCUUAACAACUAAACAUAAUUGGCUGCCCACCAAUCAAAGCAGGUGAGGGCAGAAAUUUAGGUCGACUGUAUAACUGAAAGACAAAGUACAUCACUCACAAUCAAUACAACUAAUUUCGUAGAUUAAGGUAUAGUUAGAGUUUGUGGGUAUAGAUUUAAAUUUGUAAAUUUGAGCAUAAAAUAUUUUUAAACUUGUAUAUGUGGAGUACUGAUAAAGGUUUUGUAUGCAAAUUUUCAUCAAUCUCUUUAAAUUCUUGGUUUCUAAUGUAACACUAAUGAUAUAAGUAAUAAAUUAAAUUUAUUUAUUUAUAACAUAAAAUUUAAAAAAAAAACUUAUAAAACAUAUCCAAAUAAAAUAUAUCAACAAACUCAGAGUUAUAGUCAUACAAUUAUAAUAUUGUCAUAUAUUUUGGACUUGGAUUUUAAAUAAUAAGUAUUAUAUUUAUGUGGGUGAGAGUUUAUUUGAAUUUGGGUAUAAUAUAUUUGAGUUUGAAUUUAGAUAUAAAUAUUUUGAAUAUAUAAAAAAAUUAAUAAGGUUACACGUUUUAACCAUAAUCUCUCCAAUGGUCCAAAAUCAAAGUGAAUUUUUAAUCAUCAUCUUUUGCUUAUCCAUAGAAACAUAGACCACAGGUUUAAAUUUUAGGUUUAUAAAUUUAAUAAAAUAUUUUUAAUAUUGAAAACCUAAUGAAGAAAAUUAAAAAUAAUUGAAAUGUAAAUGUGAUAUAUAAUAAAUAAUAAAUAAUAAAUUAUAUUUUUAUUAGCUCAAAAGUUGUGUAUAGAAUAAUUACACGUUAGAUUAUAAUGUAAAGUUGCCAUAAUAAAUUAUAUUUUAAACUUGUUACUUAGAUUAUACUUGUAUUUUCUGAUUAGGUAGAUUAAGUCAUUCUUGGCUUUCAACCAUUUGACCUUUUUCAUUAUCUUCAACCUCGAUUUGCUAGUGCGUGGGCUCUAUUUGCAAAUCAAUGAAAACUUUUAGUAAAACUUUAGGGCUAGAAACCAAAGAUCAAUUUUUUUUAAAUAUAGAAUUUGUUCUUAAAAUAACUAUAUUUUGACAAAAUGUCGAUGUAAAGAAAUUUGUUAUUUGACCUAGCCCUUAGUCUCUAUUUAUAGUGAAAAUAACAAAAGUCUUAGUAAAAUAAAAAAUAGCCGAAUAAUGAUAUUUUAAUAGGAAAACAUGAUUACUACUAGGAGUGUGUUACAAGGGGCGGUGAAACCCUCUUUAGAACUUAGGGUUUGCUGCCCCUUCCCUUUAAAUCAAGCCUAUUAGGCCUCUUCAUGUAUUGAGUCAAUUAUAUGUGUUAUCUAGUCUUUAAAUCAAUUCAUAUAAUUUAGUCAAUCGCGAUAAAUGUAUUUCCUAUGCCCAAAAUACAAUUUAUUCAUUUAAUUAAUUAAAUUAAUUAAGUUAUUUCCUCAACCCAAUUCUGUUUUCGUUAAAAUCAUGACGAUUUUACCAUAUUAGAAUCUAUGAGCAAAUUAAUUUAAUUAACUUGUUCUCAUGAAACUACGAUGACUUAAUUAAUUUAAUCUCCACUUCGAACUUUAAUUAUUUAAUUACAAAUUAAAUAAUUAUUAGAAGAAAUUAAUUUAAUUCUUGAGUCAUCCUUUUUUUAUAGUGAAAAACAUAUUCAUUAUUUAUAGUGAUACAUGCAACCUAUUUCUCUUACUUCAUUGUUUCACAAAUUUUCAUUUCAUCAAUUAAUGCAAACCAUCAAGGUUAUAUCGAGUUAGGGGAGGGACCGAUUGGAUAUAUAAAGUUAGAGCUCAAAUAAUUUGUAAUUAAGUUACGACCCUACGUCUAUUAAUAACAAUGUUAUUUAGCCGUGGAGUUAUUCACAAUUUUUUAUUUCAUCAAUUAAUGCAAACCAUCAAGGUUAUAUCGAGCUAGUGAAGGGACCAAUUAAACAUAUAAAUUUGAGAUCAAAUAAUUUGUAAUUAAGGCUCAAACCUACGUCUAUUAAUUACAGCAUUAUUUAGUUAUGGAUUCAUUCCACUAAAGUGUAAUGAAUGAGUUCCCCCUUCCAACCCUCUAGCUCCACCAUUGAUCUUCCUUCAUGAAAUAUCAAUUACUAACACAUAGCAAUUAAAUAAUUCAUCUUAGGACAAAUGUCCCGUGGCCACAUUACUUUCCAUCUAUUAUGUAAUGUCAAUGAGAGGAUAUCAUUUACCUUUUAUUGGGAUAUGAAUUUCACUAGUGUAACUGAAGUUAUGUCAUGCAAAAGUCAAAUACCCAAGUAACAACUUUUGGCUCUAUUACCAAUUGAACUCAAGCUAUCAAUACAUCAAAGUAUAAGAGUCAUGCACACAUAGUUCAUCACUUACUCAAGAUUUAGGCAAGCCACAUUAUGAACAUCACAAAUGAAUAAUUCAAUAAACGGAUCUAGGAUUUAUUUUACUUGAGUCUUGUCCAAUGUACUAUCAGUCCAAUCAGUCACGUAUGUCUUUAUAUUCUAGGAGUCAUCCACUCUGAUGCCUAAGACGGGAUAUCUCUCCGUUUGGACUAAAUAGACGACAUAUUAUUCUUUUAACUAACCUGUUCAAUUUCAAUUAGACUAAGGACUUAUUUAGAUUAUCUAUUAAUACAAAAAGAUAUAUCUUCCUGUAUUACGAUCCGAACACGUAAUGCAACUUAGUGUUAGUUAAACACUAAGAUAAUCAAUGAGCAAUAUUUGUUUUCAUUUUGCUUUGUAUGUAAAAAUUGUUGAGGACAAUAUAUAAAAGAUAUUAAUGAAAAUAAUAGUUUUAUUUAUCAAUUUAUUUGAAAAAUUACAAGUACAUAAACAUAAUCACUACACUAAUGACAUUAGAUCCCAACACUUUUGGGGGUGAUUCACUACUUAAAUUUUAGACCUUCUAGUUCUCUUUGAAAAGGUUUUUGAAUUUCUUUAUUUCGUGCACUAUAGCUCGAGAUAUGAUCAUUUUCGUAAGGUAGUGUGAUUUCCUAUAGGAAGUUCAAGAUUAAUUGUUGGGUUUCGUUUGGGUUACUUUGGCUUGACUUUCUGAGAUCAUCUAACCACAUUUUGGGGUGAUUCUUGUGUUGAAAUUGUAGAUUGUCGAGUCUUCUUUGAAAGUUCAAGAUUAAUCGUUGUGUUUCACAAAGGUCAAUUGGACUUGACUUUCCAAAACCUUCAGACCACCUUUUGGGGUGAUACCUAUACCGAAAUUGUAGAUAUUCAAGUCCAUUUUGCAAUGAUUAUUGAAUCACUAGAUUUACAUAUAUGUAGCUCAGGAUAUGACCCUUUUCCAUAAAGAAGUGCAGUUCCCCGCAAACAGUUCAAGUUCAAUCACAAAUCAACUUCUCCAACUUGUUAAAUUAUACCAGAACACAACUAGGUACUAAUGUCAUUGGCCGCAGGUCGAAGCCCAUGAUGAAUGCACAGAAAAUGUCUUAUGAAUGUCAACUAAUUAAAUGGGGCUCAUUUGACUAAUUUGAAUUGGCUCGAUUCGUGAAACGUAUGAAGAAACUCAUCUACUUGAAGUCUUGGUGGCCCAGUGGAACACUCCAGUAAAACCUGAGUUGUCAUGAUUAAUAUUUGUAAUCCUAAGGGAUAAUAUUGUAUAGAGUUUAAAUCUCUUAGGACUCUUAUCUUGUAAAUAGGCUUUGAUCUUGACUGUCGAUGUAAUUUAAAUUGUACCGUUAGAUUUGGGGGGCUCAACUAUAAAUAGAGACAUUCUCCCUCAUUUGUAAUCACUCAAUUGUAUUCCUUCAAAGUAAUAAGAACAAUUAAAAAGUAUUUACUCAAACACUUGGUGUGCAUUACUUUUCUGUGGCUUUUCUAUUCGUUCAUAGCUUCUUUUUCUUUCGAGUAUACUUAUGCUUUAUUUUAGCGCCCUAGAGAAUCUCCUUUGUACUUUUGAUAGUAAGGUUAACUUAGGCAGAUUUGAAACAUAUGGAUCGCCUAAGGCCACUCGCUUUGCCAAACUAAUCUAGCCCCAUCACAUUAGAUGAUUGAUAUUCUAUUGUUUUUAACUAUUUGAGUUGAUCCUAGAUGCAUAAAAAAAAUUUAAAUUUUCACGGCGCACACGUUCCAUGUUUUCGAACUUUGGUCUCACCCACAUUGAUUUAGUUACUUACAUGGAUUAGAUCAUUUGAAACUCUCUCUUUUUGUGUAUGGAUUCGAUUGAUAGAGGGUGACAUUCUAGGAUCUUUUGCAUGUUAUCAAAAAUAUAUGUGAAUGAAUGUUGAUGAAUUAUAUAAUUGUUAUUAUGUAAUUUUGUCAUGGUUGUGGUACCUAAAAUUCGAACAAUAUUCUAAGAUCUUUUGCAUGUUAUUGAAAUACAUGUAAAUGGAUGUUGAUGAAUUAUAUAAUUGUUAUUAUGUAAUGUUAUCAAUGUUGUAGUUACAAAAAUUAGAAUAAUUGUAUUUAGGUUAGUUAUGAAACUAAACCGUAGACUAUCAUUUUCACGCAAGUAUUUUAGUUUAUUGCAAUUAGAAAGUCUUGUUAACUGAAAACACAUUAAGAAUCUUAUAACAAAACAGGAACUCUAAACUAUCUAGAAGAAAAUCUAGGCACCCUCCCUGGACUUGGAUGGUUAGAGGGAAAAUUCAAAUCUAAAGAAAGUGGUUAAAGAGAUGAACAAAACCUAUUGUCAUAUAUUGUUCGUGAGGAAGGUUUUCGGCUCUUCACUACCUGCUUCUAUUAUUUAAAUAUUGAUUAGAAUGCAAAUUUUUAGAAUGGUAGCCUGCCUUUGUCAUGCUCAACAAGAAGGUUGGACAUGAUGACUACUUGAGACACUCAAUUCAUUAAAAGCUUGUGUCAUGGAACGAGACUUUAGCUCCAGCCACAUGCGAUCUUAGGCUUAGUUUCUACAACAACAAGCCUCAGACAACGAGAAAGAAUUUGGGAGGAUCUGGAAGUAUAUUCGCUCAAGCACAAGAGAGAACAAUAAAGAAUUAAGUGGGGAAUGAACUAAAAGUCUUCCAAGUCAUUUCAACAACCUCUGGCUCAUUUUUCUCGUGUUUGCACUGUUUCGAACUCAUCGCGGGCAGACUGAGACACUCGCACAUGAUCUAAGCAAAUAUUCAGCAAGUUGGACACCAAAAAAGAUUGCUUGCAGGCGCUUUGCAUCCUUCAGAUCCCCUAGUUCAGUCUUCAGCACUUUUAGCAUCAAUUAAAUCCGCUUCUUUAAUAUGGUAUUAGAUUCUACUUUGCUUUAGCUAAUGCAUCAAAUAAACUUUAAUUAUGGCUUUUGUGUCCACCCUCUAAAAAAAAAAAAGAAAUUUGACUUGUAUUGCGGUUUUCAAAAUAAAUGAUCUCAUUUGUGGUUGACAUGCUGCUCAUUGAGAAUUUUAAAAUUCAAUUAGUAUCCAGUAUACUAUAGACUAAUAUCAAGAAUACUUCAACUUAGCCUAAAUCUACAUUCAGCUGAACAAAGGGAUGCACAAACAACGCAUUCAUUCAGAAAAAUCCAUGCUUAAAAACAGCAAAAACAAUCAUGUUGAAAUGGAGUUUCAUAAUGUUGAAAUGGAGUUUCAUAUUUCAUCCCAUUAUGCUUACAAUCUUCCUUCACAAUCACUUUAUUGAAACCGAAGAAAUUAACAAAAGACAUUUGGAACAACAUCUGCAACAGCAAGCCUGUAAUCAGAUAAUCUUCCUGUGCCUAAACACAAUCCGGGAGUCACUGAAGUGGAAAACAAGUUUCUUUCAUGUCACUCUGCACUCUUAGGACAUGAAUAUAAAUAUACCCAAACAUAAACUAAAAGCACCAAUGAAAUUAGCAACAGACAAAUUAAAAAAUGCCGGCAAAGCAAAUGAAUGCUAAAAUCCUAAGGCCUCCUAACAAAGUAACAAGGAUAGGCGAAUAGAAAAAUCAAGGAAAAAAUAUCUAAUAAUAAUGCUAGUUCUCGGUUUUUCUCUCCUCUUUUAUUGUAUCAAUCCUUGAACCUUGUGGAUACACAUGCAAAUGAAAUCAAUUACAUGCCAUUAUGACAGAGACAGGCCAUAAUUCCUUAAAGUUAUGUAGACUUGGAGCACAAAAUAUAUAGGCAUAAAUAAAGUAACAAUGAAUUGGAGUUUCAUAGUAACUCCGAGUAGAGGAAAAAGAAUCAAGUUUUCAAGCAUCAAGAAUAAAUGACCUCCCUCUUAGUUGUGUUCGAUUAACCUCUUAUAAAUGCAAAAUAUGCAAAAUCAAAACUCAACAAAUCAUACUAAGCAGAAAGAAAAACUGUACCUAAUGCUUAUCUCCAUGACCGUGAGAAUGAUCAUCAUGGCCCUCCCAAGGGUGUCGCCAACCCUAAGAGCGACAAAGUCAGUCCGGGAAUGAAAGCAAGUUACUUCAGAUAAGGAUUGAUUAUGAAGGCAACUGAAAAGAGGAACUUCUUACCAAUACAACAGGACCAUCUUGCUUAGCCCUGUACAAGACCCAAAACCUGAAACACCAGAUUCAAGGAACUUCAAAAAAUCCAUCAGCAUUGCAAUCUAAUCUUUAUUAAUGUUUGCAAGCAACCUGACUUAUAUCAUCUAUGAAUCACAAGGAUAAUACAGUGACAAUGUACACGGCCAUCAGUAUCCAUGAUCGUUAAUGGAAAAGCUUGCAGAUAAUAAUUCUAAAACAUAAAACCUUCGAGCAUCAACUAAUUUGAUCCAAAUUCAAGCCUUCACUGCACAUCUUUCAAACUAAACCCCCAAUUUUUUUAUAAAUUAAAUUUCCACUUUCAAGGCGUAUCCAUGAAUUCUUUUUACAGAUAUGCUAAUUGAAAUUGCACCAAAUUCCCAAAUGUCUUGGCACAACAGAAUCACUAGAUAAACUAAAUCCAAUAAACGUCAGAUUGGUAACAAAUCAGGAUACCGAUUAAUUCAAACAAAAAGGAAAAAUAAAAAUUACCACAUAACGGCACACAAGCCUUUGCCGGUGACAACAUGCCAUCGCUUUGGAUGAUGCAAAGUUAGACCUUUGUAAGUUGUACUCUCUCCAUGGCCUCCUCCCAUCUCUCCCUGUAACCAAACCCUAAACACCAGAAAUGUUCCCAAGUGUUCGAAGGUGGAUUAAUCACUUGCCGGUUGCUUAGAUUUAAACCGAUCCUGAACCGUUGGAUGCGAAUUUGACCAACUGAAGGUGUGGUUCCCAUAUGUGCUGGUUUCUUUUCGUUGUACCAGGCCUUUUUCACGAAAUCGGCUAAGCCCAAGCCAUUGAUCCAUAAAUCUGAGAGUUGAUGUAUUACAGGGAUUAGAUGGUUGUAUUAUUAAAUGAAUCAAAUUAGUCCUAUAUUAUUAAAAAGUAUCAAAUAGAUUUAACAUUUAAUGUAUAAAAAAUGGUCUUUGAAAAUUAUUUUUUCAAUUGUAAUUUAAUUCUAAACAGAAUAUUUUAUUUACAAAACCAUAAAACUUUUAAAAAUAUUAGCUAUGCUGAAUAGUAAAUGAUACUUUUUUAAAAUAGUAUAUGUUAAAUCUAUUCUAAUUUAGUUUUAGUCAAUUUUUUAAUAGUAUAAGGACUAAAUUAAUUUAUUUAAUUAUAAAAAAUAUUAAUUUAAUCAGAUUUUUAUAAUAGAGGACCUCCCCAUUUCACUAAAGGAGAGGAAAACAAAAUUCAUUUCACCCCUUUCACUUGUAGUUUAGUUUAUUUAAUUCUUAAAAUUGUAGAUUGUUUUUUAAUAUUUAUUUAUUUUAAUUUUAAUAUAAUUUAUAUAUUUUAAAUUAUUAUUAAUUAGCACAAAAUAUAGUUUUAAUUAUUUAAUUUAGAUUUUUAUUAUAUUUUAAUUUUACUUACCAAAUAUAUACUUUUUAUUUUAUAUUUCAUUAAUUAAUAUACAUAUAUUUUUAAUGAUUUUAAAUUAUUUAUUAUAUAUAAACACAGUUUAAUUUAAAUAUCUUUAAUGGUUAUUUUCUAUUCUUGUCUCUAUUGUUAUGUUUUGAAUUUAAAUAUAGCUAUUGCCCUUGGUAAAUUUACCGAAGAUGAAAAUGAUUUAUUUGAUAUUAUGUAUGACUGGUUAUGUAGGGACCUUUUCGUUUUUGUAGGUUGGUCCGCCCUAUUGCUCUUUCCCUAUUCCUAUUUCGUUUUAGGGGGUUGGUUUAUAGGUACAACCUUUAUAACUUCAUGGUAUAUUCAUGGAUUGACCAGCUCCUAUUUGGAAGGUUGCAAUUUUUUAACCGCCGCAGUUUCUACCCCUGCUAGUAGUUUAGCACAUUCUUCGUUGUUACUAUGGGGUCCUAAAGCACAAGGAGAUUUUACUUUUUGGUGUCAAUUAGGUGGUCCGUGGACAUUUGUUGCUCUCCACAGUGCUUUCGAACUAAUAGUAUUUAUGUUACAUUAAUUUGCACUUGCGUGAUCUGUCCAAUUGCAACCUUAUAACGUAACUGCAUUCUCUGGUCCAACUACAUGCACAAUAUUUUGGAAUCUACAUCAUGUUUUUGAAAACGUAAGAAUUCAAAGUAUCUUGGUCCUUUCUUAUGAGUUGAUCCCGAAGGAAAUUAAUUAGAAAUUUUUUGGUAAAUCGUUAAUUUAUUUAAUAUUUAACUAUAUUUAUUUAUAAGUUUACUAGAUUGAAAUUUUAUGAUGUAUAAAAAUUUAUAGACCCCAUGUUACAUUCAGUAAAAAUUUAUGAUACAAGUAUUGGGUGUACUCAACGUGUCUAAGCCUGCUCCACCGAUGUGUUAGAAAUGAUUCCUUGCAAUGGAUGUAAAGCUAAGUAGAUUGCUUCCACAGUCUAACUACUUAAUUGAUUAAUUUCUUUACCACCACUAUUUUCAAUCUUAACAAAGUCAUUUCAUUGUCAUAUAAGUAGAAAAUGUAUGUAUUUUGAAUAUUGAUAGGUUGUAACACCCCUCACCAGUAUUCAAUGCCGGAAUAGGGUUACAGAGUAUUAUUGAACUUAUAAAACAAUUAAAAAUUCAUUUAGCAUACAUUUUCACAAUUCAUGCAUUCAUCAUUCAAUCUCAAUCAAUUUGUCCCUACUACGAGACUUCGAGGCCCUACCUUAUAUCCAAAGUACUAAUAUCAUGGCCCGAAGCCAAAUCAGUCGAUAUUCACGACCGGAAGCCAAAUCGGUAUAACUCGCACCCAAAGUACUAAUAUCAUGGCCCGAAGCCAACUCAAUGUAUCCCCUAAUGACAUGUCACUAGUAUCCUAAACUAUUCCUAAGGUUCAACUGGGAUUUCGAAUGCCGAAUUGCCAUUAAGUCAUGUCAAACUUAUCUGAAGUCUCGUAUUCAAAAUUUAUACAAUAUCAAGCAUUUAAAAUACACUUAUAAUGAAAUUUAUCACUUACGAACUUACCUCGAAUGUGAAAACGAUGAAAUAAGUCGAUUAGUCGAUAACUUUAGUUUUCCCCCGAUCUAGAUUUGAAUUCCGCUUUUCUUGAUCUAAAUAUAUUUAAAAUUAACUUAUUUAAUAAUAUCUCUAUUCAAUUUAAUCCAAAACACACAUUUAAGCAUGUUUACACAUUUUCCCCUAAUGUUUCACUACUUUUACAAUUUACUCCUUAUUUCAUAAAAUCACAAAUUAAUGAAAUUAAAAAUAAACCCAUGCUAGCCGAAUUACUAUUAUGCCUCUAGCAGCCCAUAUUUUUCAUUUAUUUCACAUUUUAACCACAAAGUUUCAGCAUUUCUCAAUUUAAUCCCUAUUUUGCAUUUUCACUAAAAAUCACUUAACAAAACUUGUAUAUUUCACAACAAACAUUCAUAAUCUAUCAUCAAACAUCAAAAAACUCAUGUAUUCAUCAAUGACAUCAUUCAAACUCUUUAACAAUUUUGCAAAAUAGCCCUGGGCUAGCUAGACCUAGUUGUAACGAACUCAAAAACAUAGAAAUCAUUAAAAACGAAAUAAAAAUGGACUUACAAUUGAGUAUCAAAGUAACCGAAAGUUUCAAGCCCUAAAAUGGGUUUUCUUCAUGCUUCAUUCGGCCAACGAAGAUGAUUAUAAAAUAAAUUUUUUUGUUUUAUUUAAUUAACCUUAAUUGAUAAAUUACUAAAUUAACUUUAAUGAUAAAACAUUUAUAUCAUCUAUUUCAUGUCCAUUAUGGACCACUUACUUUAAUAAUGGUCCAUUUAUCACUUAAGGACUUCCACAUUUAAUAUUCAUAGUCAUUUAGUGCAUUAAAAAAUAGAAUUCAACUUUUACACUUUACGCGAUUUAAUCAUUUUUACCAAAUUAAUCAAUCAAACGAUAAAAUUCCUUAACGAAAUUUUCAUACAACUAUAAUAUCAUGCCAUAGACAUUAAAAUGAUAAUAAAAUAAUUAUUUUAACCUCAGAUUUUUUGUCCCAAAACCAUUAUUCUGAUUUGACUAAAAACGGGUUGUUACAACUCUCUCCCUUAAGGAUUUUCGUCCCUAAAAAUCUUACCAGUGAAUACGUUAGGGUAUUAUUUUCUCAUAGCUUCCUCGAGCUCCCACGUAGCCUCUUCGACACCGUGACAUUGCCUCAAGACUUUCACUAAAGCUAUGCGUUUAUUUCUCAGCUCUUUAAUCUCUCGAGCCAAAAUUCUGAUCAGUUCUUCGUUGUAUGUCAUAUCGGGUUGAAUUUCGAUCUCUGACGGAGAAAUCACAUGUAAUGGAUCAGAUCUAUAUUGGCACAACAUCAAUACAUGAAACACGUUAUGGAUUUUCUCUAACUCAGUCAGUAAAGCUAGCCGAUAUGCCACUGGUCCUAUUCUUUCAAUGAUCUCAUAUGGUCUGGUGAAGCGUGGACUCAAUUUGCCUUUGUAACCAAAUCAUAGUAUUUUCUUCCACGGAGACAUUUUCAAAAUACUUUAUCACCGAUUUGAAAUUCAAUGUCUUUCCGUUUCAAAUCUGUGUACGAUUUCAUCGAUCUAAAGCUACUUUCAAACUGUCGCAGAUUACUUUCACUUUUUCUUCUGUUUCUCAGAUCAAUUCAACCUCGUGAAUCUUUUUCUUACUCAACUCUAUCAAAUACAAUGGAGUUCAGAAUUUGCGACCAUACAAAGCUUCAUAUGGUGCCAUUUUAAUACUUUAUUGAAAGCUGUUGUUAUACACGAAUUCAACCAACAACAAAUAUAUCUCUCAGUUGCUUUCGAACUCUAAAACACAACAGCGAAGCAUAUCUUUGAGAAUUUGAAUUACUCUCUUGGACUGACCGUUAGUUUAUGGAUGAAAUGCAGUACUAAAGUUUAACUUCGUACCCAGAGCUUCUUGCAAUUUCUUCCAAAAUCACAAUGUAAAUCUCAGAUCUCUAUCCGAAAUAAUCGAAAUUGGUACCCCGUGCAAUCUAACAAUCUCAGCAAUGUACAAUUUAGCUAAUCUAUCGAAUGAAUAGUCUAUACGUACUAGUAUAAAAUGCGUCGAUUUCAUCAAUCUAUCAACUAUAACCCAAACAACAUCUUUCUUUUUUAGAGUCAGGGGUAACCCCGAUACGAAAUCCAUCGUAACUUUAUUCCAUUUCCACUUAGGUAUCAUUACUGGUUGCAGUAGUCCCAAAGGCACUUGAUGUUUGGCUUUCACUUGUUGAUAGAUUAAACAUCUCGACACAAACUCUGAAAUAUCUCGUUUCAUGCCCGACUACCAAUAUAACUAUUUCAAAUCAUUGUACAUCUUAGUACUUCCAGGAUAAACGGAUAAAAAACCACUAUAUGCCUCGUGUAAAAUUUUCUGAAUCAACUCUGGAUUUUUCAAUACACAGAUUCUACCUAGGAACAUCAGACAAUCAUCGGCUCUAAUUUGGUACUCUAAAUCACUAGUUGACUCGCAUUGCAUUCUUUUAGCUUGCAAUUUACUAUCACAUUUCUAACCUUCGCAAAUUUGCUGAAGAAAUACUGGUUUAGCCUUUAACUCAGCUAAAAUCGAAACAUCAUCAGAUAACGUUAACUGAGUAUUUAUUAUUCUCAAAGCAAACAACGAUUUUCUACUCAAAGAAUCAACGACUAUAUUAACUUUUCCCGGAUGAUAAUUAAUUACUAAUUCAUAGUCUUUUAGUAGCUCAAGCCAUUUCCGUUGUCGCAAAUUUAAAUCUUUUUGAGUUAUAAUAUACUUUAAACUUUUAUGAUCAGUGAAGAUGUGCCAUUUUUCACUGUACAAAUGAUGACACAAAAUUUUCAAUGUGAAAAAAAUAGCAGCCAACUCUAAAUCGUGCGUCGGGUAAUUCUUUUUAUACGGUUUCAACUGUCUCGAGACAUAAGCUAUCACUUUUCCCUCUUGCAUCAACACACAACCUAACUCGUUUAAUGACUUGUCACUAUAAAUCACAAACUCUUUACCCGACUCAGGUUGAACCAAAACUGGUGCUUUGGUUAGCAAUUCUUUCAAUUGUUCAAAACUCUUUUGUCAUUUUUUAGACCACUCAAAUUUUACAUCUUUUAGUAGUAACCUGGUCAUCGGUGUAACAAUCAUUGAGAACCCUUUUACAAAACAUCGAUAGUAACCAGCUAACCCCAAAAAGCUUCUGACUUCGGAUACAUUUCCCGGUGGUUUCCAAUCAACAACUGCUGAAAUCUUACUCGAAUCAACUUUUAUACCUUCCGCGGAAACAAUGUGCCCCAAAAAAUUUGACUUCUCUGAGCCAAAACUCACAUUUGCUGAAUUUAGCAAAUAGUUAAUUGUCUCUUAAAGUUUGCAACACAAUCCUCAAAUGCUUGGCAUGCUCAGACUUAUCUCGAGAAUAGAUCAGAAUGUCGCCAAUGAAUACAACAACAAAUCUAUCUAAAUACGAUUUAAAGAUCCUAUUCAUCAAAUCCAUAAAGACUGCAGGAGUAUUAGUUAAUCCAAAAGGCAUAACAAGGAAUUCAUAAUGUCCAUACCUCAUUCUAAAUGCAGUUUUCGACACAUCUAAGUCUUUAACUCUCAACUAAUAAUAACCCAAUCUCAAAUCAAUCUUCGAAAACACUAUUGCCUCUUUUAACUGGUCAAAAAAAUCAUCAAUUCUCGGCAAAUGAUACUUGUUCUUUAUCUUAACCUUAUUGAGCUAUCGAUAGUCAAUACACAUUCUCAUUGAUCCAUCUUUUUUCUUUAUGAACAAUACUGGCGCACCUAAGGUAAAAAACUAGGUCGUGCAAAACCUCUAUCUGUUAACUCUUGCAACUGAGAUUUCAACUCUUUCAAUUCUAUCAGAACCAUUUUGUACUGAGCUAUGGAUAUCGGUGAAGUUCCUAGUACUAACUCGAUAGCAAACUCAACCUCUCUGAUCGGUGGUAAUCUAGGAAAAUCUUCUGGAAACACAUCCAGAAACUUACAAACUAUCGACACUGAUUCAAUCUUCGAUUCAGACACUCUUGUAUCCAGUAUAUAAGCAAGAUAAGCUUCACAACCUUUUCUCACAUAUCUCUAAGCUGACACAGACAAAAUCACAGCAGGCAAUCCAUUCGAUUCAUCUUAUUCAAUUCGAAGAAUUUCACUGUUCUGACAUUUCAAUUCAAUGAUUUUCUGUUUACAAUUCACAAUGACAUCAUGCAGAGUCAACCAAUCCAUUCCCAGAAUCACAUCGAACUCAUCAAACAGAAAAAGCAUCAAUUCAACCGGAAAACAGUAACCUCGAGUCAUUAAAGGACAGUUCUUGCAUAUUUUAAUCAACUAGAACAUACUUGCCUAAGGGAUUCGAUAUUUUAAUCACAAAUUUAGUAGACUCAACAGGCAAACUCUUACUAAACACUAAAUUCAUACAAAUAUACAAAUGAGUCAAUCUAGGAUCAAUCAAUGCAGUUACAUUAGUGUUAUAAAGAGAAAAUGUAUCGAUGAUAACAUCAGAUGAUGACGCUUCUUUGCGAGCGCGAAUAACGUAAGCUCUAGUUGCUACUCUAGUAUCGGAUCUCACAGCUGAAUCUCUAGUUACAUCUUUUCCACUAGACACAUUCCCCAUAUUUCUCGGGGGCCUCCAUCUCGCAGUCGUACUGCUCGGUCUUAUAUUCUGAAAUUUAUCUCUCUCAGAUAACUCUGGGCAAUCUUGAAUAAAAUGAUCUGGCGAUCCACGUAUGAAACAAGCUUUAUUACUUUUAUUCCAGCAUUCUCCAAAAUGUCGUCUCCCACAAUGUUGACACUCAGGUUGAUUGUUUCUUAUACUGCCAACGCUUGAGAUGGAAGUUGCUUGAGCUUUAGGACUCACAUAUUGUAACAGCCUGGUUUUAGCUAAAUCGGAAUAGUGGUUUUGAGACCAUAUAUACGAGGUCAAAAAAUUAUUUUAAUAUUAUUUUUUGUGUUUAUAUAAUGUGAUUAUAUAUGUGUGAAAAUUUCGUGAGCUAAUUUUAUCGUUUAAUAACUCAAUUUGAGAAAAAUGACUAAAUCGCGUAAAAUGCAAAAGUGAUAUUUUAUAUGUUAAAUGUGUUUAAUUGCUAUGGUUGAUUAAAUGUGAGGUUCUUAUGUUGAUAUUAGACUAUUUAUAGUGGAAUUUUACAUAAAUGGUCAUUAAUUGAAUGUUUUAAAUGGUUUUUAAUUACGACUAAUUUGGUAAUUUGGUUAUUAACGUUAAUAUUAAUAAAACAAAUAAAAAAUAAACCUUAUUAUCAUCUUCCACCACUAAUUAAUGAAGAAUGAGAAGUUUUUUUUGGUGUUUUAGGUUUUGGCUAGCAUAUAACUUGAUUAAGGUAUGUUUUGAGCUCGGUUUUUGACGAUUUCUAUGUUUUGUAAUCGUUGCUUUGUGUUCUAGCUAGCCCUUACCCUAAUUUUUGAAUUUUUUAAUGAUUUUGUAAAAUUCCAUUGAUGAUCUCUUGAGUUUUUUGAAUGUUGAUGAUGGAAAAUGAAUAAUUGUUGAUAGAUUUUAAUGUUUUGUAAAGUGAUUUUUGACAAAAAUGUCAAAUAAGGAUUAAAUUGUGAAAUUUGCAAAUUGAAGAGUUGAAAUAUGAAAUAAAUGAAAGUUUUGGGCUGCUAAGGGUCCCUAUGAAAUUCGGCUAGCAUGUAAUUGGAUUUAAUUGUGGGAAUUUUAUGUAUUUUUUAAAUAGAGACUAAAUUGUAAGAAAUGUGAAAGUUUAGGGUCAAAGUGCAAAUUGGCUAAAAUAUGUGUUUGUGGAUGAAAUUGAUUGAGUUGAUGAUUAAAUGGGUUAAUUUUGAAUACAAAUAGAUUAAGAAAGAAAGAAUUCGAAUUUAGAUCUAGGAAAAUUGAAGUUUAUUGAGUAAUCGAUCCGAUUCGUCAAUUCUAAGUAGGAGGUAAGUUCGUAUGUGGCAAUUUCAUUUUAAAUGCAUGUUAAAUUCUUUGACAUCGCAUAAACUAUGAUAAUGAGAUUACAGAUAGUGUUGAAUAGUGAAAAUGACUCUACGAAUGCAUUCGAUGAUAGAAACGAGAGGUGUGAAAGCUCGGUUGAACCUUAGGAAUAGAAUUGGAUAUUUGUGAAAUGUUAUAAGUUGAUUUGGCUUCGAGCCAUGCAUAUCAGAUGAGUUGGCUUCACGCCACGAUAUCGGCACUUCAGGUGCAAAUAAUACCUUGAUUUGGCUAUGGGCUAUGGUAUAGCUACUCUGAGAUAAGUUACCUUGAUUUGGUUAUGGGCCAUGGUAUAGGUACUUAUUGAUUGAUAUCUGAGUAUCUGACUUUUAAUCCAAAUGGUUCAACAGGUAAUGAAUGAUGUAGUUGAGAAAAAGGUUAGUACGAGGUGGUAUAGCUACGUACGGAACUUAUUCAAAUAUUACAUUGAGAAAGUUCAAUGAGAUUAUAUUGGAUCAUGUUUAAGACAUGACAAAGGUUUGUAGUUAAUGUGAUUUUGAUUUGGUAAUGUGAAAAUGGUUGAAUUACAUUUAUUUGAUAAAUUGAGUUAAUCACUUACGAGCUUACUAAGCUAUGAAGCUUACUAUGUGUUAUUUGUCUAUGUUUUAUAGAUUAUCGAAGCUAGCUUGGACUCGGGGAUCGUCGGGAAACGUCAUUACACUAUUGAACAUUUUGUUGGUACUUUUGAAGCUUAGUAUAUAUGGUAUAUGACAUGUAUUGGCUAGUGUCAUUAUGGUACAUUUUGUGUAAUGAAAUUCUAGCCAUGUGAUUUGGCUUGUAUUUGGUAAAGUUGUGGGAUGUGAAUUUUACUUAUUGAAUGUGUUUAUAUAUGCUAUGUAAUGUGAAUGGUAUGCCUUGUCAAUUUAGCCUAGUAUGGUAUGAGAAUAAGGUAUUGAAUUGGUGGUAUUUUGAAAUUUGAAUUAGAUGAUAAGAUGAUGAGUAAAUGCAUUUGGAACUUAUGUAAGUUUUAAUGAUUUUGGCAUAAUGAUUUGGUAUGUUUUGAAUAUGAAAUUUAGUAGUUGAAAUGAUUGAGGAUAGUUUGCAUGAAUUGGCAUAUUUUGUCUACCUAUAAAUGUAAUGAAAUAGGACUAUUUUGGUUGCUAGGUGUGCAUGAGAAAAGGGUGGCAAAUUGGCUUGGCAAAUGGCCUAUUUUUGUCCACACUGGCAGAGACACGGGCGUGUGUCUCAGCCAUGUGCAACACACAGUCACGUUACACGGCCGUAUGUCCCCUAGGUUCCCUUUCGAAUUAAGUCAAUAUACCCUACAGGUUUAGCACGGCCUAGACACACGGGCUGGCACAUGGGCAUGUGGUUGACCGUGUGACACAAGUCAGUAACCCCUCUAAUUUUCCCACUGUCAUGGCACACGGGCGUGUCCGGCCGUAUGAUGCUAGUCAGUAUGUAUGCCCUAUUUUCACACAGCCUAUGACACGAGCGUGUCUGGUGGCUGUGUGAGGCACAUGGCCUGUUCACACGGGCGUGUAACUCUUAAAUGCAAGAAAAUUUUCUAUGUUUCCUGAAGUUUGCUAAUGUUAUUAGUUUCAUCCCGAACUUCUUUUAAGCAUGUUUUAAGGUCUCGUAGGGCCUUAUAAGGGACAAUGUGAAUGUGUUGAAUGAAAUUUUAUUAUGAAUGCAUAUAUGUAUGAUUUAUGUUGUAAUAGAUAGGUAAUGCCUCGUAACCCUAUUCCGGCUAUGGAUACGGGUUAAGGGUGUUACACAUGUUGAUUUCCACGAUCUCUAUUAUGGUAUCCCACAGAUGCAUUUGAUCGACUAUACGAAUCUCGAGAUUUCUUUGAUGAAGAAUGAUAAGGUUUAUUCGUCGGUCUUUUUCUCGAAUAUCUAGCCCAUGAAUCAGCUUUCAUCUUUUCUAGGCUAAAGCCUUUGGCUUUACAAGCCUGGUCAACUAGUACAACAAAUUCUUUCAAAUCUAAAAUCCCGACCAGAAGUUUAAUGUCUUCAUUCAAACCGUUAACAAACCGCUUGCACAUGAUCUCUUCGGUAGAAACAUACUCUCGAGCAUAUUUACUCAACCGCACAAAUUCUAAAAACUCUUUGUGUUUUUUAUCUAGAAACUGUUGGCUUAUAUAUUUCUUCCUAAACUCAGUUUGAAAGAAUUCUCAGGUGACUCGUUCUCUAGGUACCACAUAUACUAAUGUAUUCUACCAUUGAUACACGACAUCUCUCAAUAAUGAAAUGGCACACUUUAAACUCUUAGCUGGAGUACAUAACAGUUCAUCACAUACCCGAAUAGUGUUUUCAAGCCAAAAUUCAACUCUCUCGGGAUCGUCAUCCACGGUAGCUCUUAACUUCUCAGCCCUGUACUUACGGAUUUUAUCAACUGGAGGCUUAUUUAAUCGUGGAAAUUCCACAACUUAAGGGGCUAUAGGGAUCGGUUGAGGAUUAGGUUAGGGUGGAGGUUGUUGAGCAGCAGGAUUUGUCCGGACAUACUGUGUGAACCUUUCGUUCAUCAUUUGGAAGAAGGCUUCUUUAGCCUCUCCUCCUUGGCUACCCGAUACGAGUCUAGAUUCUGAAGACACUGUCCCUCGAGCGGGAGCUGGCGCAUUACUUUUAACCUCAUCAACUACAACUCGAUUAAGAUCCAUUUACUAUACGAAAACACAUUUUAAAAUGUCAGGAGUCAUCACGCUAUCACAAUUUAUAUAUGGCAUGUAUAGCUAAACUCUCACAUACACUACGUUAGUCCUAGAAUCGACUAAACCGUAACUCUGAUACCAAUAAAUGUAACACCCAUCACCCGUAUUCAAUGCCGAGAUAGGGCUACAAAGUAUUACCGAACUUAUAAAAUAAUUAAAAAUUCAUUUAGCAUAUAUUUUCACAAUUUAUGCAUUCAUAAUUAAAUCUCAAUCAAUUUAUCCCUAAUACGAGCCUUCGAGGCCCUAAACAUGCUUUGGGAAUGGUUCGAGACUAAACCAAUAACUUAAGAAACUUUCAUGAAACCUAGAAAAUUUUUCUCAAAACAGAAGACACACGCCCGUGUGGUCCGCCCGUGUGUCUCACACGGCCACCAGACACGCCCGUGUCACAAGUCGUGUGGACAUUCGAAAUGGAAGCACAUGGCCGUGUCCCAGCCCAUGUCUGACCCCGUGUAACUCUCUAACUUGGGUCACAUGGCCAAUACACACGUCCGUGUGCCUUAAAAAUGACCAUACACGCCCGUGUGCCAGCCUGUGUGCUAGGCGGUGUAAUAGCCCAAAUUUCAACGAUGUCGGAAAUAGUGGUUCGAGACCACCAAAUCCAAAAAAUGAACUCAUAGAUUAUAUUAUUUAAUAUUUAUGAGCCAAAUGUAGCUUUUAAAAUAUUUUUGAAAUAGUAAAUUAUAUUUUAUAAAGAUUUAUUUGGUCAAGAAAUUGAUAAAAAAAAUUAUCGAGAUCUCGGUGUUAUAAACCAAGCCAUAAAUAUUUUUAUAAAUAUUUAAAGAGUGUCAAUAAGGUAGUAUUAAAAUUUUGUUAGAAAAUUUUGACAUUUGGGUGAUUAGUUAAAUAAAAAGGACUAAAUUGAAAAAAAGUGUAAAAGUUGCUAGAAGGAUUAAAUAGCUCAAUUGUCAAAUGAGGAAGGACCUAAAGUGCAAAUAAUCCCAAAGGAGAUAUUUUGGCCAGCAAUAGCUGAGAAAAAUCAGGAAAUGGGUGAAAUAAGGGCAAAAUUGGAAAAUUGACAAAAUUAGCUAAAUAAAAAUGGGACCAAAUUGGAAUAUCUAGAAUUCUCUUCAUUUUCUCUUCAUUUUCAUCAGCUGAAAAAUAGCCAUGAAAGAGGGUUCAAGUUGGUUUUCAUACUCUAACUUCAUGUAAGUUUAAUUCUUACUUUCUCCUUGAAAUUUCUAAGAUUUUGGACUUUUACAAUUGGGUCCAACUUACUAUGUCAUUAGUUUUUGAUUCCAUGGCUAAUUUUUAAAGUUGCUAUGGAUGAGUGCUAGAAGCGAUGAUGAAUAAAUAUAGAAUUGAAGCUUUAAUUUUGAUAUAUGAUGAUUUUAUCAAGUAAAAUUGAUGGAAAUUGAUUUUAAGACCUAAUUAUGAAAGAGUUUGGAAUUAAGGUCUAGUGCUAAAGUUCUAAUUUUCAGGGGUUAUGAAGUAGUUUAAAAUGAUAGACUAAAGUAUUAAUUGAUAAAAAUUAGCUCAAUUUAGGGGUUAAUUGAGCAAGGACUGAAUUGUAUGAACUGUAAAAUUUGGGGUAAAAUGGAAAUCAACAUUUUGCAUUAAAAUUGUUUUGGACAGCAGCAAUAGUCUAAUUUUGAAAAAUCACCAAAAAUUGUAAAAAUCGAAUGAGAGAAUGAAUAAAUAUGAAAUUAAAGCUUAUUGAGCCUAGUUUCUUAUAGAAGAAAUGAUGUAAGCAAUGGGAUUGUAAAUCAUGAGAUAUAAUAAAUUUUGUGAGAUAAGGUCAGAAUGAUUUUGGGUUCCUCUAUUCUGACUUUGGAAAAUCAUCAAAAAUUGAAAAAGAAAAUUAGGGCUUAAGUUCAUAUUUUUAUAAUCCUGAAUGAGUUUAUUUUCAAGAAAAACAAACAGGAAAAGUAUUCGAAUCUUGUACAAGGAGAUAACUAAUUUUUAGUGAAGAAGGGUCGGAACUAUCAGACAGUAGAAUAGGGGUGAUUUUAAAGAAUAAAAUGUACUUAUUGGCUAAACCAAAAAUUCUAAAAAAAAUUUGGUAAUAAGAUAUGCAAGUCUAGUUUCAGGGAAAAUUAGCGGAUCUUAAUUUGGAGCUCUAUAGCUCAAGUUAAAAAUAAUUUAGUGACUAUGACACGGAUGGACAGCUUUGGAAUAUAAAUAUAAGUAAAUAGUGAAAUUAUAGAUAAUGUUACUUAUAAGCGUGUUAUAUACAUUAAGGAUGUGGAAUGGAGAGGAGGAGGAGGAAAAUAUGUGAGUGACUUAUGCAUAAAUCAAUUACAUGCUCGAUUAUAUUUGGUAAAUGUUAAACUUUCUUAAAAUGAAAAAUGUUAUAAAUUCAUGUUUGAAUUAAAUGUUAUAAAUGUUAAAGAAUAAUUUGAAUAUUUGAUAUUGCCUAAUAAAUGAAUAUCCGAUAUUGCUUAGUAAAUGUUAAGCCAAAUAUAAAAAAAAAUAUGUUAUAAGUGAAACAUGUGUGAAAGAAUGUGGUAAGUAUUUUCAUGGUUAUUAUUGAGCUCAUUCACAUGAAUCUGUCAUUUGAAAUUGUGAUAGACAGGAAGAAAUAGUGAAUGGCAUGCUUAUGUAUGGUUAUAUGUAUUUAUCUAAAACACAAGAAAAUGAUGGCUAUAUUUUUUAUAUAUGGAGACAGGAGACAUGAGACUAUGAUAUAUGAACAUGGAAUAUAUUUUAUAAAUGUGUUCAUUCAUAAUUAUAGAAUCCUGCAACUCAAGUGUACUAUUUGUAUAAUGAUAGUAUUUCAAAUGAUUUGAUGAGUAAAGCUCCAAUGUGAGAUAGUCUGAAAUCAAGACAAAUUGUUAUGAAAGUGUAUUUAAAAUACAUAGAUAUGAUUGUUAUAAGUUAUGUGAGUAAAUGAUGUGUAAAAGUAUAUGCAUAUGAGAAAUUUAAUGAAAGUUGAGCCCAUACAUGUUUCUUGAUAUUUAUAUGAAUUAUAUGACUAACAAUGUGAUAAGAAUAGGCAUUAGGGCUCAUGAUCAAUUCGAAUAAUUAUGCUUUGCAUAAUUAUGUUGAAUAUAGAGAAGCGAUAAGUUAAUUACCAUGUUAUACGAAUUUAUUAAAUAUUACAUGUUUACUUUGUUUUACUUUUUCCCCUAAUUAAUAAUGAUUCGAUAAGCUCCGAUAAUGCCUCGUACCCUAUUUCAAUGACGGAUACGGGUAGGGGGUUCUAUAGGCCGUGCCAAACCUGUAGGGUAUACUAACUUAUGCCACACGGCCAAGUCACACACCCGUGUGUGAGGCCAUAUGGAGCAUACUAACUUGAUUUUAAUUUCAACACCAGGGAACACAUGGCCGUGUAACAUAACCGUGCGUCACACACGGCUGAGACACACAUCCAUGUCUCUGCCCGUGUGGACAAAAAAAUAGGGCAUUUACCAAGCCAAUUUGCCACCCAAAUUUAUGCAUUCCUACAUCAAACCAAUUGGUACCAAUACAAGACAUAAAUAAGCAUUCAAUCUACUUCAACCAAGCAUCAUUUAUUCCAUUUCAAUAUAAACAAUUACAAGAUUUACCAUACCACAAUAUACAAUUCAAAUACAUAUCAAAUUUUACCCUUUUCAUUCAUCAAUAUGGUCUUUUUCAAACAUGUAUCAAAUUAUCUAAACUUGUAAGCAUACUAAUUACCAAUUCAUCAACCAUUUGAUAUUCACCAUAUCCAUUUUCAACAAGCACCAAAUACCAUCAUAACUAACAUUUAUAAGGAAAUUACUAAACUCAAACAAAGGCUAUUUGCACACUUAUAUACAUUAUCAAAUUCACCAUUAUAAGCCAACUCACAUGAUUAUAUAUUUACAUACCAAACCUAAUAUUUACAAGCCAACACAAAUGGCCAAAAGAUAUAUACUAAAAAUACCAAGUCCCUAUACAUGCCAUAUACUUAAAAUACCAAAGUUCAUAGGUACCAAGUGAUAUAUGGAUAGUGUGAAGCGGACUCCGAUGAAUCUCCGAAUCCGAGCUAGCUUUGAAUUCACUAUAAAACACGGGAAAAAUAAACAAAGUAAGCUAUAAAGCUUAGUAAGCUCUUAUGAAAUAAACUUGAUAUAAUCAUAUCCGCAUAAUCCAACAAUUGAUAAUAGAUACAUGAAUUUACAUCAACUAACAAACCUUUCAAUUACUCAUUUACAAAACUAUAUACUUUCUUCACCAUUUCUUCGAUUCAAAGCUAAUAUGGUUUAUGCACAUACUUUUACCAUCUUGUACCAAUCUCAUUCUCACCCACAUCAUUCAUUUACCCAUUGAACCAUUCAGAAUAGAAGUCGGAUACUCAGGAGUCUUACACAAUAAGUACCUAUACCAUGACCCGAAGCCAAAUUAAGGUAACUUAUAUCCGAAGUACUGAUAUCAUGGCCCAAAGCCAAAUCAGCCAAUAUUCAUGGCCCAAAGCCAAAUUGGUAUAACUCGCACCCGAAGUGCUAAUAUCAAGGCCCGAAGCCAACUCAAUGUAUCCCCUAAUGACAUGUCACUAGUAUCCUAAACUAUUCUUAAGGUUCAACUGAGAUUUCGAAUGCCGAAUUACCAUCAAGUCAUUGUUGAACUUAUCCGAAAUCUCAUAUUCAAAAUUUAUACAAUAUCAAGCAUUUAAAAUGCACUUAUAAUGAAAUUUAUCACAUACGAACUUACCUCGGAUGUGAAAACAACGAAAUAAGUCGAUUAGUUGAUAACUUUAUUUUUCCCCAAUUCUAGAUCCGAAUUCAGCUUUUCUUGAUCUAAAGAUAUUCAAAAUUAAAUUAUUUAAUAAUAUCUCUAUUUAAUUUAAUCCAAAACACACAUUUAAGCACAUUUACACAUUUUCCCAUAAUGUUUCACCACUUUUACAAUUUAGUCAUUAUUUCAUAAAAUCACAAAUAGUGAAAUUAAAAUAAACCCAUGCUAACUGAAUUACUAUCAUGCCUCUAGUAGCCCAUAUUUUUAUUUAUUUCACAUUUCAACCACAACGUUUCAGCAUUUCUCAAUUUAAUCCCUAUUUUGCAUUUUCACUAAAAAUCAUUUAACAAAACUUGCAUAUUUCACAACAAACAUUCAUAAUCUAUCAUCAAACAUCAAAACACUCAUUGUAACACCCCAAACCUAGCCUAGAUGUUAUGGCCGAAUCUGGCAAUGUCACAUGGAAUGGGAUUCGAAAAUGAGUUUGUCGAGUUAAGCCGUUCCAGUUAAUUAACUUGUUAUGACUAAAAUCGUAUCUUUUUAGCGGAAGCUUUGGUAACGUUUAUUUUUUUGAAAAAUUGUUUGGGUUGAAAGAAACCUUUGUUUUAAGAAAAAUCGAGUUUUUACUGUCUAGCCAUACUAAAAUCGUAAAGCAGUUUAAAAAAUCCAAAAUUCAAAACCCAAUAGUCCAAAAUCCCAAAAUUACACAAGAAAUACCCAAAAUAAUGUGUAUUCUGAAAACUGAAUCAAAGCAGUACGAAACAAUGGUGGUCGCCGUCGAGUCUUCUGCCGCAUCGAUCCAUCUAAGACUGGGGAUUACCUGUACAUAUUAACUGAAAUCGGGUGAGUUUUCGUAAACUCAGUGUGCAAUUCCCACAGAAAAUAUAUAUACAGAUACACAUAAGAAUACAGUCAAGUUCAGUAUGGGCCUGAGCCCAUUUUAGGUUCAGUUUGGGCCUUAGCCCAGUCAGUUACAGUUUCAGAUAUAAAUUAGGGCCUUUGCCCAUCUUAGAUACAGUAUGCAGUAACAGAAAUCAGAGUCCUACCCACCAGCCUUUACACACCAUCUCCGUCCAUCCCUACACACCAUGUGGGGUUAAAAACACUCACUCAUCCCUACACACCAUGCUGUACCGAAAUGCGGCACAUAUUCAGUAAUUUGUAACUGAGCUGCCAGAUAACAGGCUUGAAAGCCUUUCGAACACUUCCUCUAAAUAUCAUCAACCUACCCCGAUGCAAUGCAACAAACAAUAAAUGACAUGCUAAUAUGCGAUUAUUAGUACAUACAUUCAAUUUAGAAUACAUGCUUAGUAUUAUCAGGCUCAGUACAGAUAUCAUACAGAUAAUUUAUAUAUAUAAGGGUCUAAGGAUUGCUUACCGACCCUACAUUAGGUUCACAGUCGACUUGGGCGACCUGUGCAACCUUAGAAACUUUUCAGUUAAAAUGGGCUCACACGCCUAGGUAGCCUGCCCGUGUGGGCCCACACGCCCGUGUGGCCUAUACGGCCCAAAUUGGCCUUGGUCGUGUAGAUCACAUAGUCUGGCCCAUAAUCCCACAUGCCCGUGUGGACUAUCCAUGUAGGCCGACACGCUCGUGUGGCCCACACGGCCCAAAUCAGUCUAGUCCGUUUGUCGCACACGGCCUAUCUGGCCAUUACACGACCGUGUCUGUUGUGCACGGCCUGUCCUCGUUGAUCACACACCCGUGCUAUAGCACACGGCCUACCACACAACCUACCACACGGCCAUGUGACAUCGAUAGAAUGGUUUUUAGCUUUCGUCAAAACCUCGUUUUCUGUGUUUUCGGGUACACACCUGGUUUGUUUUCGACGCGUAAGCUGUUCGAAGCCUCCAGAACCUAAAAAUGGACCAACGUAACACUUAAUUAAACACUUGUUUCGCCAUUCAAUUAAAAAUCUAUCAAAACCUAUCAUCGACAAUAUAAAUAACCCUUUGUAACACCCUAGACCCGGCCUAGACGUUAUGGCCGAAUCUGAUGAUGUCAUGUGGUAGUGCUUUUCGAUAAAUAUGUUGUUGCUAAAUCUCCUUUUUCAUUUUCUUAUGUUAAUUUCAAAUCAUGUCGUUCGAUUUCCAAACAUUAAUCAUUUGUAAUUCGAUAGUCAAUUUCCAAAACGUUUUUCAUUACAGAAGCUUUUAAACAGUUUGCGUAUUCGUGGUAUUUUUUAUAAAACAUCAUUUUCAUUUGAAAACUCGAGUUUUAUCUAACACUAGCAGAUAUGAAUCAUUAAACCGUAUAAAUCCAAAUUUAAACCAAAAUCCAUAAAAGCCAUAAUUACAGUAAAAUACUCCCAAAUAAAAGUAAAAUCAUGAAUAGAUAAUAAAAUAGGGUAAAAGAAGUCGUGUGGCCACCACUGAGUCCUCCGCUGCACCAACCCGCCUAUAUUUGGGGAUUUCCUGUACGGAUUAAACAUAAGGGGUGAGUUUACGUAAACUCAGUAUGUAGUCCCCAUACAAAUGAACAGACAGUAACCAUAUAAUCACAGUCUGGGCUUAAGCCUUUUUCAGUAUCAGUAUCAGACCAGUUUGGGCCUUAGCCCAUCUCAGUACAAAAAUGGUCAUGCAGUAGGGCUUCAACCCAUCACAGUAUCAGUAGCAGUAACAAAUAUGCAGUCAUAGAAAUCCUACCAAUCCAGCCUCUACACACCAUCUUCGUCCAAUCCUACACUCCAUGUGGGGAUAUAAUCAACCCACCCAUCCCUACACUCCAACUAGCACCGAAUGCAACACUAGACAGUAGUUUGCAGCUGUGCUGCCAGUAAAUUAGGCUCGAAGCCUUUCAGUACACUUCCUCCGAAUAAUAUUAACCCCCAACCCAAUAGAAUGUAAUAUAUAAAUAUGACAUGCUAUAACAUAAUAUCAUGAAUGUAAUCAAGGCAUACAGUAUCAAAUCAGUGGGACAUCAUCAUACUUUUUCCAUAUUAGUCAUAUAGUCAUUUCAGUUAAUUAGGGGUUUAGGUAAUGCUUACCGACCCUACAGUAAGUUCACAAUUGACUUGGGCUACCCGUGCAACCUUAGGAAACAUCUCGGCAAAAUGGGCUCACGCGCUCAUGUGGCUUGCCCGUGUGGGCCUACACGCAUGUGUAGCCCACACGGCCCAAAUUGGCCUUGGCUGUGUGGAUCAGACGGCCUGGCCAAUAUCCCACACGCCCGUGUGGGCCCACAUGCCCUUGUGGCCCACACGACCCAAUUUAGUUGAGCCCGUGUGUUGCACACGGCCUACCUGGCCAUCAUACGAUCUUGUUUGGUGCGCACAGCCUGGCCUAGUCGACCACACGCCCGUAUUACAGCACACAGCCUACUACACAGCCUAUCACACGGCUGUGUGGCGUUGACAGAAUAGUUUUUGACUUUCGUCGAAACCUCGUUUUCUGAGUUUUCGGGUACACACCUGGUAUCGAAUUGAUGCAAUAGCACUCCUAUAAAGACCAGCACCCUACAACGUUAUAACAACUUCUAAAAUCAGUCACAAAUCUCGAUUAAACUAAAACCUCGAAAACGAAAAUAGCCCAAAUAGGGCGUUUAUCAUUUACCCUAAACACUCCGAUUGAUUCCCACUAAAGUUCCACCAAAGAGGAGCUCCGACCUUCGUGAAUCAUUGCUGCCAAAAUCCAGAAUUAAACUAAUGAAAAUCAAUGACACAAUAACGAUAUAAAAAGAAAAUCCCCCCUUAAAACGAGUAAAACCUUACCCACACUACCGAAGCACAGGCAGUUGGAAAGCCGGAAAACUGGAGUUGAACAACACCAGAAAGAUGAAGAAAUAAAGAAAAGGAAGAGACAGACGCCCGGGAGGCUGCGAAUUUUUAGUAGAGAGAGAAAAAGAAUUAGCAAAAGAACAAUCAAGGGAUAUUCCCUCAAUCCCUUAAUCCUCUUCACUACCCACAGAACAGAUAACUUCCACAGAAUUUUGGUUUAACAGAAACUCUCACCGCAACACUGGGCAAAAAUAAACCCCCUUGCAGAUAUUCGAACUCAAGACCUCCAGCUCACCAAAAUUUCCCCCUAACCACCAGACCAGUAGGGCCAUUCUAAUAUAAUAUUACAAGCAUUUUAAAUAAAAGCCUACUGAACAAAGUUAAGGCUUUACUCAGAAAAAUCCAAAAUUUUUCCAAAGACAAGACUUGAACUUAAGACCUCUCACAUACACCCAGAACAUUUAACCACUAAAGUAGAUACACAAUUGUGUCACAAACACACAGAAAUAAAUAUACAAACUUUAGGGUGUUACACCCUUAUCGUUAACAAACCGAAGUCGCAACUCUUAAUUCUUUGUAGCAACACCGAUCAAAUAUUGCCCCUCGCCUAAACCAGGAGUAACAAAACAAUUUUUCAUCAAUCAUCAAGUCGAAUAACAAAAAGACUUAUAAAAAAACAGAACUUACUGAACGAGGCAGUCAAUGUUUGCACAAAACUAACUAGUUGAAUCCAGAAAAAGAAUCGAAAAGAAGGUUUUCUGCAGUGAAUUUCCUUUGGGAAAACAUUUUUACUCAAAUCCCUAGAUUCACUUAACCACUCACCCACUACUUAGAAUUCCUGUUUGACCGAAACUCUCUCGGUCAAACGAGCAAAAAUAAACUCCUAUGCUCAAGCAGGGAAUUAAACUCCAAACCCCCAACACACCAACACAUAUCUUAACCACCAGACCAGCAGGCCCAUUCUGAUAUAGUUUAAUAAAUAAUUCAACAUAAGCCUGUUGAGCUAGCACAAGGCUUAAGUUAGAAAAAUACCAAAAUUUGCUAAAGGCAUGGCUUGAACUUGAGACCUCACACACACAUACCCAGAACAUUUAACCAUUGAAGCAGAUACUCAAUUGUAUCACAAAUUCACAAAAAAACAAAAAUAAGAAUUUUGGGGCGUUACACUCAUGUAUUCAUUAAUGGCAUUAUUCAAAAUCUUUAACAGUUUUGCAAAAUAGUCCCUAGGCUAGCUAGACCUAAUUGCAACUAUCUCAAAAACAUAGAAAUCAUUAAAAACGAAAUAAAAACGUACUUACAAUUGAGUAUCAAAGUAACCAAAAGUUUCAAGCCCUAAAAUGGCUUUUCUUCGUGCUUCAUUCGGCCAAGGAAGACAAUAAUGAAAUAAUUUUUUAUUUUGUUUUAUUUAAUUAACCUUAAUUGACAAAUUACUAAAUUAACCUUAAUGAUAAAACAUUUAUUAUAUCAUCCAUUUCAUGUCCAUUAAUGACCGCUUACUUUAAUAAUGGUCCAUUUAUCACUUAAGGACCUUCACAUUUAAUAUUCAUAGUCAUUUAGAGUAUUAGCAAAUAGAAUUCAACUUUUACGCUUUCCGCGAUUUAGUCUUUUUUACCGAAUUAAUUAUUCAAACGAUAAAAUUCCUUAACAAAAUUUUCACACAACUAUACUAUCAUGCCAUAGACGUUAAAAUAAUAAUAAAAUAGUUAUUUUAGCCUCAGAUUUGUGGUCCCGAAACCAUUGUUCUGAUUUGACUAAAAACAGACUGUUACAUAGGUAAAUCAAAGUAGAUGAGAAAUAUGGAGUCAAAUCAAGGAUGAAUUUAUAACUUUUAUAACUUUUCUUCAAAAUUUAACAAAAAGUAAAUAAAAAUAAUAUUUUUUUACUCCUAAAUUAAACAAUUAGAUUCACUUUGGUACUUUUAUCUUUUACAUCCAUUUUGAUAUCUAAAUUUAACAAUUAAAUAUAUUUCAAACUCUAACAGGGAAAACAUAAGAACACUAAAAUGGGUUCACUGUCUUCACUCCUAGACCUAAGAUUAUUUGUAUUCAAACGGUUAAUCAAACUGAAUUAGUAUUAACCAAAUUAACCAAACUUUUUAAUCAUUUAACCAUUAAUUGUACCAAUUUUUUUUCAAAAAAAUUAACCAUACCGAAAUAUUUCGGGUAAUUCAAUUGGUUAACUGAAAUUUAUGUUUUUUUUUGUUAAAACAAGUAUAAAAACAUAUCAAAAUAAAUAAAUUAAUAAUGUUCAUUUGACCGAAUUAACCGAAUUAGUAAGAGAUUGAUACAUAUAAUAUAUAAUAUUAUUUAUUAAGUUCGGUUAAUCACUCGAUUUCAAAUCGAAUUAACCGUUAACCGAAAUUUUAAAAAACUUUUAAUUACCUUUCAACAAAACUAAAUCGAUUAACUGAAUUAAAUCGGUUCAGUCAAUUAAUUCGAUUUUAAUCGAAAUUUGUAAACUAGAGAUUGAUAUAUUUGAUUAGGGAUGAGCAUUCGAUCGAGUUGAGUCGAAUCGAGUCAAAAAAUUUUGAGUUAGUCGAGUUGACGAAUCCUAUUUUAGCAACCGAAUUCAAUUUGAAUUUUUUUUCAAAUCAGAUCGAAUCGAGUCAAAAAAUUUCGAGUCGAGUUAACGAAUCUUAUUAUUUGUACUCAAUGUUGCGCUUUACAUGAACCGAUUAUUUAAAUAGGAAACGAAGUAUAAAAUUAUUUAACAACAUAAACAAUAUAAUGGUUUUGCAUUUUAACUUAAUUAGUAAACAUUUAUCAAAACAACAUAGUUUUACCUUUUUAAUUUAAUGGUUUUGACUUUUAACUUUAGAAAGGUAAACAUUCAUCAAAAUGACGUAGUUUUGCUUUUUUUUAUACGGAUUUUUGAAUAACUCGAAUUGUGUAAUUCACAUUCGAAUUAAACUAAAAAACUUUUUUUAUUCGAGUUGACCUAAAUAACUUGAUUAACUCAAAUAACUUAAAAUAUUUAAUUCAAAAUUUAAAAAUUUUAUCAAAUUUUUCGAAUCGAAUUAAAUUUUUCUCACUUCUAUAUUUGAUUGUGCAAGUCCAAAGGGUUGAAUAAAAGAAUCGGGACAUCUUUAUUGCUGAUGAUAAAAAAUUGGAAAUAGGGUGUGCGUGGCAAACAUUGCCCUGACGUAUAGAAUUAUUAUUUAAUAUGCCCUGACGUAUAGAAUUAUUAUUUAACAUCGCUUUUGUCAGCUUUAUGGAUAAUUUUUUCAAACCCAAAAAUACUGAAAUAAUGGAAAAUAAUUGCACCAAAUCCACUUAGAAAAUGCAUUAAUUGCUAAAGCUGUCAUAUGUACUCAAGGGGAAGAUCUUAAUACUAAAAUUUUUCAUAAUAUUAUUUUUUGAUAUAAUUUUUUAUUUAUAUAAUUAAUAUCAAUUUUUAUAAUAUUUAAAUUUAUAAAAAAAUUAUAUAAAUUUAAUUUUAAAAAAACUUAAUACUAACUUAUAUCCCUUUUAUAACUAUUUUAAUAUUGACAACUUUAUAAAAAACAAAGUGUAUAAAAGAUUAUUAGUUUUGUUAUACAUUUUAUAAUACAAUUAUUAUUAUGCUAAUAUUGCAAUAAAUGAUACCGUGUCAUUUUAAUUAAAGUAAAUAUCUAUUUUCAACAUAUUACAUAUGUUAAUUAAUUAUUAGUUUUAUUUUUUAAAAUUAAACUAAUAAUAAUAUUUUGAAAUAACUAUUUAGAGUAGAUAUUAAAUUAUUAAAGUAAACACGUAUUUUCAACAUUAAUAUAUUAUAUAAAAUAAAUAAUGUCAUAAAUAUAUGUGAAUUUUCAUGUAAAUUGUUACAUAAUAUUAUUAAAAAAAUUAAAUUUUCGUUAAUAUUAUCAUUAGAAAAAAUAAUUUAACUUAUUUUUUAAAGAUUGAUGAUAAAAUUUAACUAGAAUAAUAACAAAAUCAUAAUAAAUGUUAUUAAUAGCGGAAUUUGACAUUAUGCUAGGGAUACCACAAUAGGCAGCUUGCAAGUGAUCACAGGGUACUGCUCUUAAUCUACAUAAAAAUGCGAGAAAGGAAGUAGCAGAGGAAGAAGGUUAGUGAGAGAGAAUAAAACCCCAAACCAUUAUUAUGGCUGAAAUUAGCAGCUUAAGAAUCGAUCCCAAGAGUGGGUUUUGUUCUUCCAAUUCUACUUUCUACAGCAAACGCGUUCCCUUUCCACUUCCAUCCAACCAUGCCCUUGACAUCACCACUUUUAUCUCCUCUUACCCUCACCAUGGCAAAACCGCCUUCAUCGACGCCACUACCGGUCGCCACCUCUCCUUUUCCCAACUUUGGCAAUCAGUUGACUCCGUUUCCACAUGUCUGUCCGAAUUGGGUAUUCGGAAAGGAAACAUCGUCAUCAUCAUCGCACCAAACUCCAUUUUCAUACCCAUUGUUUGCCUCUCUGUGAUGUCUCUUGGAGCUAUUAUAACCACUAGCAACCCCCUCAACACGUCUCGUGAAUUCGCGGUACAAAUGGCUGAUUCAAAGCCCGUCCUCGUCUUCACCACUUCUCAAGUCGUCCCAAAAUUGGCUGGAUCACCUCUCCCCAUCGUACUUCUCGACGAGCAAGUGGCGACCGAAAAAACAGGCCAAGUCAAAAUAGUUACUACUAUUAGUGAAAUGUUAAAGAAGGAAACAAAGGACAAGAUCCGAGUGAGGGAUCGAGUGUACCAAGAUGACGCGGCAACUCUACUCUAUUCCUCGGGCACGACGGGUGCCAGCAAGGGAGUAAUAUCAUCUCACGGAAACCUCAUGGCUCUAAUGCAAAGUUUUUCACAUUUGAGCAAUCCAGACGAAGGGGAGCAAACCCAUAUCUGCGCCGUUCCCAUGUUCCACAUCUACGGCUUCGGAGCUUUUGCCAUCGGGAAACUCACGCAAGGAUCAAAAGUAGUUGUUUUAUCAAAGUUCGACAUGAAGGAAAUGCUGUCGGCAAUAGAGAAGUACCGUGUCACUUGCCUCCCCCUGGUGCCACCUAUACUCUUGGUAAUGGUGAAGGAAGCUGAUGAGAUACGAAAGAAGUACGAUUUGAGUUCGUUGCAAUCAAUAGUGUGCGGUGGCGCUCCGUUGAGCAAGGAUUUGAUAAAUAGGUUUAUGGAAAAGUUUCCAAGCAUUGAUAUUCGGCAAGGGUACGCGAUGACAGAAUCGACAGGAUUUGGCGCAUCAAUGCAAACGCCGGGGGAGUGUCUCAAGUAUGGCAGUGUAGGGUUGCUAUCGCCGAACUUGGAAGCCAAAAUUGUAGACCCUACAACUGGUACGGCCUUGAAGGUCAAUCAGAAAGGGGAGCUUUGGCUAAGGGGUCCCUCCAUUAUGAAAGGUACGUAAUUUAUGAUCAAUCAAUUUUAGGUGGAGACAGUGAGUGUGUCCCCAUAUUGCGUGUAUUCAAGACAAGUCCAAAUAAUUUUAUCAAAUGCAAAGAUCUUUGCUUUGAUUUUGUUUUCGGCAUGUUGUUAAUUUUUAAUCCCAGGAGAAAGAUCUUUGCAAUUAAGAAGAAUAAACAAGAUUUGCCUGGCGAGUCCCCGGGAAAGAAUAACACGAAAUCCACUUAAAAAAUGCAUUGCUGUUACAUCUAAUUAUGUAUUUUUCUAAUAUUGAUAAUUAUUUUAUUGAAUGUAUAUAUUUUGCUGACUAUUUAACCAUUUCAAUUUCAACUAUGGGAGUAAAUUAUUAAUAUUAAAAUUACAAAAUAAUUAUUUCAUUAUUUUUAAAAUGUUCAUAACCCCCUUAAAAUACCGUUUGAAACACAUGUAUAAUAUAUUUAAUAUCCACGUAAUUAUCAAAUGGUAUUUUAUAGAUUUUUAAAAUUUAAUAAUUAAAAUGUGAAUUUAUUAAUAAUUUAGUCACCUAAUUUGUAUUACUUCACUUAUAUUUAAUGAAAUUGAAUCCAAGUAGACUGAAAUUUCAAUUUAUCAAGAUAACAUAAGAAAAAUAUGGGAUUAUCCAAAGUUUAAACAUUAUGAGCUCAAGGGAAAGUUGUUGAAUCAUAUAUUCUAAUUUAGUAAUGAAAUCUUACAUCCCUAUCCAGAGCUUCCUAAAUUUUAUACUAACAAAAAAAUCAUAAUUUUUCUUAAUCUAAGCCCCCAAUCAGUAAUGAACUCUAAACUUAUAUAGUAGGAUUGAUAUAUGUAAUAUUUUAACAUGAAAUUUGGAUAUCCUGAAAAGUUAGAGAUGUGUGUUGUUGAUUGGUGGGCCUGCUGCUGCUGCUGCUGGUAUUUUAGGUUAUCUGAAUAAUGCAGAAGCCACAGCAGCUACUCUCGAUUCACAAGGAUGGUUAAAAACCGGUGAUCUUUGCUACAUCGAUGAUGAUGGCUACGUCUAUGUUGUUGAUAGGUUGAAGGAGCUGAUCAAAUACAAGGGAUAUCAGGUCACCGCAUAGUUCACAAUUUGCUUCAUAUAUUCUAUACAAAAUCACAGGUUAACCAUUUACACUUACAGGCUUUAUUUAUAUUUGUUUUAGGUUCCUCCUGCUGAAUUGGAGGCAUUGUUACUUUCUCACCCACAGAUUUCUGAUGCUGCUGUCAUACCGUAAGUUUAUAUAGAGCUGCUUCCACUUGAAACACCCUUUGUUGCACAAGAUUCAGAGAUAUUAUUUGGUUUGCGAUUAGGUUUCCGGAUGAAGAGGUUGGGCAGUAUCCCAUGGCGUAUGUGGUUAGAAAAAGUGGAAGCAAUAUAUCAGACACUGCACUCAUGGAUUUUGUAGCAAAACAAGUAAGCAAUUAUAUACAUACAUACAUACAUAUAAUAGUGUUUUAAACCCAAGAUUGCGAAUGGGUAUGAUGAUUUAGCUUAAGCUAUGAAAUGAACAAAAUAGGUUGCACCAUACAAGAGAAUUCGGAAAGUGGCAUUUGUAACUUCAAUACCCAAGAAUCCAUCUGGGAAGAUUCUAAGAAGGGAUAUCAUCAAGCUUGCAAUUUCCAAAAUUUGAGGGCAUCUCGUUUGCAGCUCUAUAAUAAUAAUAAUAAUAAGAUGAUGAAUGCAUUUCCAAAGUAAAGUUUCACUUCUUUGAUUGUUUCGGAGAUGGGAGUUUUUCAUUUCUCAUGUCUGGUUCAUCAAUGUGGUUCUCAAUAAUUUCAUUUUUAAAAUUUAAAUUUGUGUUGUCCUAAUAAAAGUUACAAUAUACUGUAUCAGCACUUAAUAUUUGUUGUUGUCUGGAAUAAAUUUUAAGUGGGACAAUGAUUGAUCUGAUAAAUUUGUUUAGCGUUAUCAUUGCUAUUCCCGUCUGUCCAAGGCAUUCAUUCGGCUUUAUGCUUUUUGUUUGAUCUGAUAAAUUACAUUAAAAAUAUUUUUGAUUGAUAUAAUAAUAUUUAGCUCCUAAAAUUAAGAUAUUCUAUCAAUAUAGUUUCAAUUUAAUAGAUUUAAUUUCGACAUUUAAUAAUAUAUAUUAAGGGUUAAAUUUGUUAAAUUUUUUAGAAUCAAGAUCAAAUUGACAAAAUAUGUAAAUAUUAAGGGUUAAAUAUGUUUAUAUACCAAUCAAAUUUGUGUACAAUUAACGAAAUAUAUUUACAAUAUAAUUGAUUACCUUUAAUUGCUCACUUUUAAAAUUGAUAAAGAUUAAAAUACUCCAAUCUUUUUAAAAAGAACUAAUUUACUUAAUUUUAAAAAUAAGAGGUAUUGGAAAGGUAUUUUUACCAAGAAAUUAUAGAGAUGUUGUUUAAAAUUUUUUAUGUUAUAGUUAUUCAAAAUUGCAUUCAAUUUCUAAGCCUCUUCUAUUUGUAUCCCUUAUUAUCAGAAAACAAAAUCCUUGCAUUAUGAUAAUGGCAUGAUUGGUACUCGGCCAUUUCGAAUUAUUUAGUUUCUCUAUCACAACACUGUGCUUCUUUUUAAUAAUAUAUUUUUAUAAUUUCAAAAUAUAUAUUUAUUAGUUAAUGAAAAUUGGUGUAAUUUAUAAUAAAAAAUUCAUUAAUUUUAAAAAAUAAUGGAAAGAAUAAAAUAAUAUUAAUAUGCUAUCAUAAUAAUUAAUAUUAUCACACUAAUUGUAACAUCCCUACCCGUAUCUGUCACCAGAACAGGGUACGAGGCAUUACUGGAGUUACAAAUUUAUUUAUCAGACAUUUUAUUUCAUCUAACAUUCAUAGUUGGGACCAAUCAAAAUCAAACAUAUUGCCCCCUAAACAUACUUAUUUUCCUUGUAUCAACGUAUAAAAAAUAAUCACAUAUUUACAUGUCAUGAUAAAUAUCAUUCUCUUGCCGUUUCUUCAUAAACAUAAAUCAGUUAAUUCAUUAUAUCAAUAUUUCAUGUACCAUCAACUCGUAUUUCCUUAUAUCACAUAAUUAGGUUUCAUGAACUUAUCUGGCUAAAUUGCAAAAAUACCAAGAUUCAGGGGCAUUUCGAUAAUUUUAUAUUUUCCUCGAUUUUUCAACCAAUCUUGACCUAAAUUAAUAAUUUCAUUCAAUUUAUAAAUUUAGACAAUAAAAUAAUUCAUUUCACUCAAUUUGGUCAUUUUUGAUAUUUUUACAAAAUUGACCCUAAAGUUUUACUUUUAUUCAAUUUAGUCCCGAGCCUAAAACAUGCAAUUUAACCACUUUAAUGUAACCCAUGAUAACUAAAUAUUCAUAUAUAUUUUCCUCCUCCUCUCCAUUCCACAUCCUUAAUAUAUAUAAUUCCACUAUUUUCUCAUAUGUUCAUAUCAAGCUGUCCACUUGAGUCAUAGUCACUAAAUUAUUUAUAUCUUGAGAUACAAAAUUCUAAAUUAAUAACCGCUUGAUGUUUCUGAAACUAGACUCAAAUAUAUUUCUACCAUAAAAAUUUCAGAAUUUAUAAUUUAGCCAGUAAGUACGGUAAAAUCUUCAAACUUACCCCUAUUCUACUGUUUAACAGCUUCGACCUUUCCUUACUAAAAAUUAAUUAUCUUUUAGUACAAAAUUUGGAUGAUGUUUCCGUUUGUUUCUAUUGAAAAUAGACUCAUUAAAUAUUUAAACAUAUAAAUUUAAUCCCCUAAUUAUUUUUAUCCAAUUUUUUUUAUGAUUUUCCAAAGUCAAAACAGAGGAACCAGAAAUUAUUCUGACCUUGUUUCAUAAAAUUUAUUAUAUCUCACAAUUUACAAUUCCAUUGCUUACACGUUUCUUCUAUGAAAAACUAGACUCAAUAAACUUUAAUUCCAUAUUUUAUUCAACCUCCAAUUUGAUUUCCACAAUUUUUGGUGAUUUUUUAAAGUUUAACUACUGCUGCUGUCCAAAACUGUUUUAGUGCAACAUAUUGAUUACUAAGUUUAUAACACUCUUAUUUCCAUUCUCUACAAUAUUUCCCACCAUUUUCUCUUAUUUCCUUUCACUAAUAUAUCAAGAACAUAGAACCUUAUAUAAGAAAACUUUACCUUAACAUUAUUUUCAUGCUUUUGAUAUUACCUUACAUGAGAAACUCUACUUAAAAAAUAUUGAUGAAGUCUUAAAGUUUUUACCUUGUCCUAUUGAUUUUAAUCUUUAAUUUGAUUUUUCUCUCUCCUCCAACUUCUAUUUCUUGAAUCCAACUUGAUAUUCUAACUCCCCUUAGUCUCCUUAACAUUUUUAUCUCUUGGUAGCUAUGGAAAUUCUUUUGAUUUCUAGGUGAAAAUGGUAAAUUUUUGGUGGAAGGACUAAUUUGUAAAGAAAGCAAAACUUUCUUUCUUCUCUUCUCUUCUAACGUGAAAUGCAUGGAAAGAUGAUGGAUGGUGUGUGUGGGGGGAAAUUUACUAAAAAAAUCCCUUUUAUUUCGUUAUUUACCAAGAUGGCCCGACUUUUUGAUUAUUUGCUGGAAAUGACCAUUUUCCCUAAAAGCGCGUUCACGUCAGUGCGAAGUCAGGGGACGUGUCAGCAAAACGCUCUCCCAGGGAAGCGUUUUGCCCCCAAGGGUCACAUGACCGUUUGAACUCCAAACUCCAACAGUCAAAAAAAAAUAUAAAAGGCCCCUCCCCCUUUCAUUUUUUCACACAAUAGUCCUUUCACAAUUCUCUUUAAAUUCUUUCUAAAUUCUCUCAAAUUUCUCUCCAAUUUCAUCAAAGCUGUCUCUAAUUUUUGCAAAAAAGCUUUGUUAAAAUUUAUUUUAAAGUAGUUUUAUUUUAUAGAUUACAAAAAUAUCCGAUCGUAUUAGCAAUGGCCGGAGAAUUAAUUUGUUUCGAUACGAAACAAAUUUCCGUCGAUCAAAUGACAAUGGUAAGUGAUAAGUUUAAUUAAUUUUUGAAUAGUAUUUAAUUUUUUUCAUUUAUGUAAUUUUAAUUAAUAUUUAUUUUAUAAUUUUUUUAUAACAGUCUGUAGAUCGGGUGUUGCAAUGCUAUAUCCGUAAUAUGUCUGGUCCUCCAUCGCCAUUGAUAGAGAAUUACCUGCGGGAAGCGGGUUUUUGGCACGUGGCCACGAUAGGCCGGGGGUGUAAGUUGGACUCGAAACUAAUCAGUGCAUUGAUAGAGAGGUGGAGACCCGAGACACACACUUUUCAUCUUCCAUGUUGAGAGUGUACUAUCACUCUAGAAGACGUGCAAUUGCAAUUGGGAUUGCCGGUCGAUGGAUACGAAGUCACUGGGUCCACUCAAUCUGCUGAUUGGGGGGCCAUAUUCUAUGAGCUUUUGGGUGCUAUUUCGGAUAAUAUUAAUAGAGGUAGGAUCGAGAUGGGCUGGUUACGAGACACAUUUUCGGAGCCGGAUAAUGAUUCGUCUGAAUUAGAAAGAAUACGAUAUGCUUGGGCAUACAUUCUUGAGAUGAUUGGAGGUUAUCUGAUGCAGGACUUGUCACGAAAUCACGUACAUCUGAGAUGGCUGUUGAAACUCGUUGAUUUUAGAGCAGUAGGUGAAUUAAGUUGGGGGUCUGCUGUGUUAGCAACAUUGUACCGGGAGAUGUGCGGGGCGACACGACCGAAUAAAGCCAAAAUCAGAGGAUGCCUAUCACUACUGCAAUCAUGAGCACGGUUUCGCUUUCCAUUUUUACGUCCUCGAGUGAACCACCCAUAUACAUUCCCACUAAUUGUAACAGCCCGAUUUUGGGCAUAGUCGGAACAGUGGUUUUGGGACCACUAUUUCGAGGCCAGAGAAAAUUAUUUUAGUAUUAUUUUAUGUGUUAUAAUAUAAUUUUAUAAGUGCAUGUAAAUUUUGGUAAGUUAAUUUUAGCGAUUUCUAGUCCAAUUUCGAAAAAAGACUAAAUCGCGUAAAAGGUAAAAGUUGUAUUUUAGUGCCUAAAGGUGUUAAUAGACUAGAGAACUAAAAUUGGAGGCCUUUAAAGGGCAAUUGGACCCUUUUAAUAAAAUAAAAAUAGGAUGAUAUCAUCCCUUUUUCAUCUUCUCUCCACCGAUUUUUCCAGCCAAGAAAUGGGUUUUGAAAGCUUCAUAUUUUCAGCAACUUUGAGGCUUAGCAAGUAAAUGAUUUUAAUGUCUUUCUUGAAGAUUUUUACAUUUUUGUAACCCCUAAAGCAUGAGCUUUCAUAAGAGGGGACUAUUGUGCAAAAUGAUGAAGAGUCUAGGGUUUUGCCAUAAGAGUAAAUGUGUGGUUUGUUGUGUUUUUAUGGAAGAUUAUGAGUUCUAGUUGUCUAAUAAACAACUUUUGUGAAAGAAAUUGCAUGAAAACACCCUAAAAAGGGCUAGAUUGCUAAGUUGUAAAAGGAGUUAUAAAUAUGUGAAAUAGUUGAAAUUAUGAGUUGCUAUAGUUAUGAAAAUGGUUCAUCUAGACUCAAGGAGUAAAGAAAUGUGAUAAAAAUUAUUUUACGAGCCUAGGGGUAAUUUGGUAAUUUUGGUAAAAUAUAGGGGCAAAAUUGUAAAAAUAGCCCAAGUGUGUCAAUGGACUAAUUUGAUCAGUACAUUGUUUUAAUAAGUUGAAUGUGAUGUUUUAGAUGAUGAAAAUCGAGAUUUGGACCUAGAACGGAAAUAAAUCGAUUAAGGGAUAAUUACGUCUUUUUUUUACCUUUGUGGUAUUGAGGUAAGUUCGUAUGUAAACAAUACCAUGUUAUACAUGUAUUUAAAUGUUAUCCUUACAUGAAUUGUACAAAUAUUAAUGUGUAUGUGAUUAAUAGAAAUAUGAUAAGACAGAGCCUUAAUAGACGAGGAAAAAUCCCGUUUGAACAUUUGGAAUAGAAUAGGAUACGAGUGACAUGUCACUAGGAAUUAUGAGUCUAGAUGACUAGCUCGAGAGUGAGCAUUGAAAUGUCAUAAGAUAUGAGGUAGCUUUAGCUACAAUUGAGGCACUUAUGUGCAAAGGCUUUUCCGAGUAUCCAAUUAGUAUUCCAAGUGUUCAACGGGUAAUCCAAGGAAAGAGUUGAUGAUGGUCCCAAUGAGGUAAGUCAUUGGUGAGUAUGCACUUGAGUUAUGUUACGAGUUGUGCAAGUAUGUAUACUAAGCCUAUGAGAAUGCCUUGAUAUGUGAUGAUCUAUGAUGCAUAAUAUGUGUUCUUACCAUGAUGGAUGAAAUGAUGUUGUAUUAAUUUUGUGAACAAUGAUCAUGAAUGAGUAACUUAGCCUUGACAGAUUUGAGUUACUGCAGUAGUGUAACUUUGAAAAUACACUAAAAAUAGCGGAAAAUGAGUUAGAGGCAGAAUAAAAUAUGGGAUUAAAUCUUAAUGAGUCUUUUUUCACAUGAAAGAAACAGGGGAAGAAAAAUAAUUCUAUAUUGUGUGAUAUUUGAAUUCUUGUAAAACAGGGUCUGAAUGAAUUCGAGAUCCCCUGUUCUGAUUUUAUAAAUUCACCAUAAAUUGUAAAAAAAUUAUUAAGAGUCAUAUCUUACAUGAAUGGAUUCCUUAUUAAGUCUAUUUUUACGCGAAAUAAACGGCAUGGUCAUUGGAAUUCUGUACAGGGAGAAAUUCAGUUCGUAGUGUAGAGGGGUCAGAGUAGUCAUACCCCGAAACAUGGAAUACUUUAACUAAUAAACUGUACUAAAUGGCUUGACCAAAAAUUUUGAAAAUUUUAUGGAAGAAAGAUAAAUGAGUUUAAUUUCAGGUAAAAUUUAUGGAACUUAAUUCGGAGUUUCGUAGCUCCAGAUAUAAAUAAUUUAGUGACUGUUGUGCAGGAAGACAGCUUGUCUUAAACUUGAGAAUAUGUUGUAAAAAUUGAUAAAACAAGUUAAUGAGUUGCUUAUUGUUUUCAUAUGAACUUACUAAGCGGAAGCUUACCCCCUUCUUUUCCAUGUUCUCUAGGGUUUCCAGGUUUGUUCGGGUUGGAGUUCGUCGGAGAUAUUAUCACAUUGUCAAGCUAAUGUUAUUGGUGUAGUGAUUUCAAGUACUUUGAGUCUAUGGCAUGUAUAGGAGUUUAAAUAUUAGAGUAUGUGAUAUGGCUUUGACCAUAUGUGUUGGCCUAUUUUGAUUAUGGGAUUAUAAAUUCAUUUUAAUUAUUUGAGAUUUCAUGGCUCUGUUUAGUAUAGAAGUGUUAGUAAAAGUUAGGUAGCACCUCGAACCCCGUCCCGGCGUCGGAUGCGGGCGAGAGGUGUUACACUAAUAACGAGGUAAAUUUUAUAUUAGAUUUUACAAUUAUUACAUAGAUUAAAAUAUAAUUGUAUGCUAAAAAAUUAUUUAAUUAGGUGGAACCAUUCGGCCAGUUAUAUUGGAAUACCCACAUCUCUUGAAGAUAUACAGCUUCUAUUAGACCAACGGUCGGAAGCACAAGUAAGUAUUAAAAUAAAAUAUAUAUAUACAUAAUAAAAUAGUUGUUUCGUAUUUAAUAUUUAGUAUUUAGUAUUUAGUAUUACCUAUAUAACUAAUAUUUUUAUCAUGUUCAUAUAGUUUCAAUGGACACCAUACGAGGAUCCGGCAAUUCGGGCAGUAAUUCGGGAUGAAUUUUUUUAAAAUCCGAACAUUUGGCAUGUGAAGUUCCCAUUGGUCAACUAUGCUAUCGUGGAGAUGCACCAGUCAGAUAGGGUAUUGCGGCAAUUUGGAUUCCGACAACUGAUUCCCGUGGAACCUGAGGUGCUCGAUGAUGAGCACAAAGUCGACUUACGGCUAUUGAAUACGGAUUGGCCGAGACACUGGUCAGGAUAUAUCGAAAUAUGGGAAAAUCAGUAUGACUAUAUAGCUACUCGAGAAUCGAUAAUCGUUCCUAAGUUAGCAUGCGUGCCAAAAUACAUGCCAUGGUUUAGGAUCCAUGGCAAGCCAUAUUUACUAUCGGAAGAGAAGAGGCGACGGCAAAUUCCUGUGCAAAGGAAACGACGAGACCCUUUAAAUCCAAGAAGAAGGGAUGAUGACGCGGGCCCAUCAGCAGCCUUUUCAGAUUAUGCUAGGUACGUAUCCUAGCCAUUAUAUGUAUCUUAACCCUUUUAUGUUUCCUUUUUUUAGUCCUAUGGCAGGUUGAAAUGCAUGGCCCGGUUCAUCUCCGUUCCUAAUUACUCCAAGUCAACCGUCGAUCAAUAGGCCACUGUCGCAAGAGGGAUCGCACGAGGCGCCGUCGGGGAGCUCUUCUUUUUACCAUUCCCCAUCGCCUUAUGGGAUUCAAACACCUUUACCAUGGGUGAUGCAAACACCUCCGCAUUCAUUAUUCUAUCAAGGUGGGUGAUCCUCCCAACACCCACAACCAAAUCCCCUACCGGAGGAACCACAAUCCCCACUGGAGCAACCACAACCCUCGCUGGAAGCUGAACUAAAAAGGAAUUCAGCGCGUAACCGUCGACGACCCCCAUGUGACACUGAUUUCUACCGACACCAACAUUGAUUUUUUUAAUAUAUUUGUAGAAACAUUUUUAUAUAGUUUUAUAUAAUAAAAUAAAAGUUGUUUUUAAUAUUUUAAUUGUACUUUACUUUUUUUAAUUUUAUUAAAAUAAAUGUUCUUUUAAAUUAGCCAAUAUUUUUAUUAUUUUUAUGUUUAUUUUUAUAUAGUUUUAAUUAAUAAAAUAAAUUUUUUUUAAUAUUUUAAUUGUACUUUAAUUUUUUUAAUUUUAUUAAAAUAAAUAUUCUUUUAAAUUGGCCAAUAUUUUUAUUAUUUUUAUAUUUAUUUUUAUAUAGUUUUAAUUAAUAAAAUAAAAGUUGUUUUUAAUAUUUUAAUUGUACUUUACUUUUUUUAAUUUUAAUACAAUAAAUGUUCUUUUAAAUUAGCCAAUAAUUUUUAUUAAAAUAAAUGUUAUUUUGAAUACAGCAAUAUUUUUAAUAUUUUUUAUAUUUUUAAUAAAAUAUAAAUAAUGCAAAAUAAUUUUAUUACAACAACUAUCAGGUAUUCCGAUUUGGACAUGAUCGAGUUAUAUGGCUUGGGUUCCUACACCAUCCGCACAACCUCUGUUGGUUCGUUGCUUCUCAGGUAUCCAUAUUGUUACAUAUUCUAGUUGAGCAAGGUCGACCCUUUGGUUUGCGAUGCAAUUCUCUAUCCGGUAACAACUUAAACGGAGAAAGCAGUACAGGCGGCCACUUACGUUCAUCUGUGAUCGGUGGGAAUACGUGUCUCCACAUAUUGUACAUGUAUUCUAUUUUGUACACUUGGUCAACAUACGUUAUGGGAUCCAGACGGAGAUUCUGACAAGCUGCAAUUACAUGAGUGCAUGGAUAACGUAGUGCGUCAAACACUCCACAGUUGCAUGUCUUAUUUCUCAAGUGUGCACGAUAUUGCCUAGCAAUAAUACCUUGGUUCGGUCUGUCAAACUCCGUCACACGAAACCAUAGGUUGUCGCGAUCAUGACACACUAUGUGCAUGGUGUUGGCUCGUGCCUUCGCCUUGUUAAUCUCUCGCAACACCUUCGCGUACCAUACAUGGCCUCCCUGCAUUUGGCCUUUAUAACUCGCUGCUCGCUUUGAAAAUAGUGCCGCUAAACGAAAAUAUGUCUCUCAUACAACGACUGUUAUGGAAAAAUGACACGUUCCUUUUAGAACAGAAUUUAUGCAUCCAGCCAAGUUUGAGGUCAUAUGAUCAUAUCGUAGGCCGCCGUUGUAUGCUUGUGUCCACUGUUCGAAAGGUAUGUUACAAAGGUAGUCUGCGCCUUCUUCGUUAACUAAACACAAAACCGCUAACUUUUCAUGAAAACGGUCAUUACAUAUCUCAUACCCUACCAAUAUAAGUUGAUAACGAAAAUUACAUACCACUCUUCCAUUCAGAAUAAAUUGAAUAUUACAAAUAAAAUUAUAUUAAUAGAGAUUAAAUACCCAUGUUGGUUACUUACCGUCGUUCAGUUGUAUAUCGAUAUUGCCCGUAGUAGUUGGACGCAACGUGCCUUAGGCAAUACUGAUGGUGUGUGCGAUGCCAUUGGCUUCCUUGUCGCUCAAUUGUGGCUUGUAUUCUAGUGCCCCGAUCUGAUAUAAUGCAUAUAUCAGGUUAGGGCCAGACAUGCUUCCUUAACCUAGAAAGAAAGAAAUCCAGUCAUCAGCUGACUCCCCCGAUGUUAUUGCAAAUGCAAUUGGAAUGAUUCUCCCACUGCUAUCUUGUGCCACAACUAGCAAUAGUCGAUGGGUAUAUCUACCAUACAUAAAGGUACCAUCAAUUUGUACCAAUGGUUUGCAGUAUAUAAUGUGUCCCGACAUUGCUUAAAGCUCUAGAACAGAUGCUUGAACACUUGGUAUGCACAGAGCAAUUGGUCGUUGUAGUACGCAGGUGCUGUUUCAAGGUCUGUUAUGCAACCUGGGACAUAUCUCUCCAUCACCUGACACCACUGCCAUACUUCAUUAUAUGAAGCGUCCCACCUACCAUGCAUCUUUUCCAACGCCUUCUGCUUAGCUAUCCAAACCUUGCGGUAAGAGGACGUGUACUUCAAUUGGCUACAAAUAUUAGCAAUUAAAACCGUCACUGAAGUCUUCGGAUCUGCCUUCAGCGUCGGUAGUAUUAAGCUAGCUAACAUAUCUGAAUCCAUCUUGGGAUGAUCUUGUGAAACGCAUGUCAAUGAAGUAUGUUAAAUAAUGUAACAUUACGUAAUAACAGUUUUAUUCAAAAACCUUAAACACCUAAUGAUACUUUACCGCCAACACAUGUAUAUGGACCUUUGUACUUUUUAAUCUCCCACAAGUUUGUCUUUUUCCUCAAUGAGGCCAUGCUUUUUCAUGAACAUGUACCGUCUUGCACUGCACACUUGGCCUCAAACUUAUCGGAUUUGAAUUUAACCACGUUGUAGUUAACCCCGUUCAUGAUGUUAUGUUGUUUCAAUGCAGCAAGAAAACUAUCCUUAUUGGAAAACUCCCUACCAACUUCAAUUUCACCCGAAUCUAAUGACGAACUUGUACGAUCACACCUUCUGUGUGGUAGAUCUAGAAACUCCAACGCAUCAUCUUGAAAUAGAUCGACAUUAUGCAUGUAGGCUGAAGGCGAGUACGCCCUGAAUUGCGGAUCUUCUUCAUCUUCAUCUGAACCCACUUCAACAUCUUCAAGUAUUGUUGGAACAGGCUCCGGUUGAGAAAAUAAUCCAACUUCUACACCAUCGGGGCCGGGCUCUCGAGGUGGAUCCACAUUGGAUUCAUCAUUCGACCCACCAUCAUCUGCAACGAACGAGGUCCCCUCGCCGGUGGAUGUUGUAGGGAGUACAUCAUCCCUUCUUCUAUAUGUUUCAUAAUGUCCUCAAUCCGAUGUGGAUUGCCAACCACUAGAAGUUGAUGUCAUUCCCCAGUAUGUAUUUCCAGUAUCAAACAUCGACCCACUAAGGUGCAUGUCUCAUCCACAAAAGGAGUGUCGUGCAGGGGUUGUGUAUUCCAUACUGCUACCAAACACGGGCGCUUCCGUGUUUUACCACCCACUAACGUAGUGUCAGGCAGGAGUCGUGUAUUCCUCUUGAACAGCAUUAAAUUUUGAAGUCGCAAAUGCAUCAUUUGGCGAUGAAAAUUGUACAUAUAACUCAAGAUAAGGUGAUCCACUAGCAAGAUAAGUCUGCACCAUUGCCUCCAAGCUAUGAGGACUUUUGAUGUCGAAUGAGACAUAUCUCAUGGGAUCAACCGAAGUACAAAAUCAAUACUUAAUAGACAAAACUUUCAUUGGCGUCGUUCCGAAGAUUUUACGCCUAAUUCUUUUACGAAGUUCUGUCAAAUCUAUGUUCUGGUUAAAAACCAGUCGCGCUAUGCUCUUCAAUAAAAAAAACAACGCUGUUUUCAGUGUCAUAGACCUCACCAUCAUAGAAAAUAACAGCACUAAUACGUUCACUAAUCUUCAGUUUCUAUUUUACUUUAGCCUCAAUUUCUCUUGUUGUAACUUAUGCAACCUGAGAAUGAAAUCUGGCUCAUUUAUAGUCUAAGGCGUUUUCAGAUACUACUGUAGCAAAAGAGUGUCCACGUGGGAGCUUUUUUCCGUAAUUUUGCUGACAGUGCAUCAUUCUUAAAGCAUUUUUGACACUAUUUGUUCAGAAACAUCUUCUCAAAAUUAUUUUUUCAAAUACUACUGUAGCAAAAUAGCAUCCAUGUGGGAGCUUUUUCCUGUAAUUUUACUGACAGUGCAUCAUUCUUGAAGCGUUUUUGACACUAUUUAUUCAGAAACAUCUUCUCAAAAUUAUUUUUUCAGAUACUACUGUAGCAAAAGAGCGUCCACGUGGAAGCUUUUUUCCGUAAUUAAUAGUUAAUUUAAUUAAUAAACCCUAAAAAAUCCUAAACCCUAAUUUAAUUAUUUUUUAAUUUAAUAGUUAAUUUAAUUAAUUAACCCUCAAGUCUAAUUAAAUUAAUUUUUUCCUUAAAAAAUACUAAAAUCCUAAACCCUAAAAACCAUAAACCACUAAACCGUAACCUUAAAAUAAUAAAAAAACCUUAACCCUAAAACCCCUAAACCCUAAUUUAAUUGAUUUUUUUUAAUUUCAUGGUUAAUUUAAUUAAUUAACCCUCAACUCUAAUUAAAUUAAUUUUUUCCUUAGAAAACACUAAAACCAUAAACCCUAAAAACCCUAAACCACUAAACAUUAACUUUAAAACAAUCAAAAACCCUAACCUUAAAAAACCCUAAACCCUAAUUUAAUUGAUUUUUUUUAAUUUCAUAGUUAAUUUAAUUAAUUAACCCUCAACUCUAAUUAAAUUAAUUUUUCCCUUAAAAAAUACUAAAACCCUAAACCCUAAAAACACUAAACCACUAAACCCUAACCCUAAAAAAAGGGUCAAAACGCUCCCCCAAUGAAGCGUUUUGCUGACACGUCCCCUAACUUCACGCCAACGUGGACACGCUUUUGGGGAAAAUAGUCCUUUUCGGUAAAUAAUCAAAAAAUCGGGCCAUUUCGAUAAAUAACGAAAUAAAAGGGCUUUUUUUUAGUAAAUUGCCCGUGUGUGUGUUGUUUUUUUUUCCACACACACAUAUAUAUAUACUAAAUAAAAUAAAAAAAUAAUCAUAAAUAUCUUAUUAAAAUAUUAAUAAAAUAAUAUUUAUCUAAUUAAUUAAUUUAAAAUAUCAUCAACAUAAUCAUUACAUUCUAGAAUUCCCUCUCUUACUAAGUGACCAUUUUGCCCUUCAUAAUCUUUUAAAAUUCCAUCAUUGAGUCAUCACUUAAUUUGGGAAAAUUAUGAUUUAGUCCCUCAUAAUUCUUCACCUAUUCGAUUUGUUCCUAAUUCAUCUAUUUUCCUUAGUUUCUAGUUUAUUCCACCCCUAAAAUAUUUGCACUAUUGGUCCUUCAAAUUUUUCAUAUUUACACUUUAACCCCUCAAAUUUUGAGUAUUUACUCUUGGGCAACAAAACUUUUCUUACUUUUACAAUUUAGUCCUUUCUUUAAUUAAUAAUGUAAUAUAUCAUAAUAUACUUCCCAAUGUUGACAUAAUAAAAUUUCCCUUUUUGUCACUUUAUUUCCUUACUUAACUACAUCAAGGAUAAUAUCUUACUUUCUUACUGUAGUAAUUUUCAGGGUAUUACAUUUUUCUCCCCCUUAAAAAAAAAUUUGUCCUCGAAAUUUCCUUGUUUUCUUUUGAUCAUAAACUUCAUUAUAUUCUAUAGUUCCUUUCUGUAUAUAUAUCUAGUUUAUCAUUUAUAUCCAUUCUCAAUCCAUUCGUUUCACAAUUUAUUUUUAAUUCAAAGAUAAUUCCUUACCUUGUAACAAAAAUUAUUUAACUUUCUAACAGAGGCGCAGUAAAUUGAACUGAACAAUUUGGAUAUAAGGAACUGAUACAGAGGUGCAUUAUUAUGCACUAUUAAACAGAGAGUACUGAAGUGCUAUACAGAGAGCAUAGAUGUGCUAAGCGGAGAGCACUAAUGUGCUAAUAAUCAGAGAGCACUAACGUACUAAUAAUCAGAUAGCGCGCUAGAGUUCCUUAAUGUCAUGCCACUAAUAUCCUAGUAGUUCUAAAUUUCGUCUACUUCAGCAUUAAAACUGAAUUUCAUACAUUUAAAUACUUUACAAUUUAAUCCUUGUACCAAUAAUCCAUACAUUUAUAUAUUCUCUAUCUUUGAUACAUGUAAUAUAUUUCAAAAUUCACUAGUCGUUCGUAAUUUACUAAUAAUUCUCAUCAUGUACUUCAUAUAUCACUUUUCAAUUCCAAUUUCACUUUCAUUUUAUUCACAACUCAAUUUAAUUUCACUUUCUCAUCAAUAUACAAUUAAACACUAAUAUUUAUCCAUCACUCAAUUCAAUUUCCAUUCAAUUCAACAAUAACACUUACCUUCUACUUCACUUACCAUACACAUAAUUUAAAUUUAACAUUUAAUAAUAAUUAAUUUGAAUUGUAGUAAUACAACCAUACGCUGAAUAUGUCUAUAUUCAGUGGUAUUACCAUAAUUCAAAUUAUAAAAACUAUAAUAAAUAAUAGACAUCAAACAUGUAACAUUAUAAGUCAUAUGUGUUAAUUUAUGCUUUAAUUUCAUAUCUCAACAAUAGUCUUUCAUCAAAUGGCAUCAUAUAUAAUCUAUAUUAUCUUUAAUCAAAUCAUGAACCUUUGGUUCAAGCUUUCAAUCACAUAUCUCAAUUUCAAUUCACAUUUCAAUUCAUAAUUCCACUUUUUCAUACUUUCAAUAGUUCAAUCGAUCAAAUUCAUUCAAUUUUCUCAUUUCAUUUAUUCAACUGAUUUCAAUAUCAACAAUUUGAUAUUUUAGCAAAUUCAUGAACCUUAGGUUUAUGCUUCAAAUCUCACAUCUCAAUUCAAUUCACAAUUCAACUCAUAAUUUCUUUCUCAUAUUUUUAAUAGUACGAUCAAUCAAAUUUAUUUAAUUUUCUCAUUUCAGUUAUUCACCCUAUUAACAAACUUGGACUUUGACGGAUACAAGGAUUCCAAUCCAAACACACCAGUACGACACAUUGUACCGAAAAUGGUACAUAGUACCUGAUCAGUAUAGGACACAUAAGUGCAUGAAACGACACACGAGGUGCCUGAUACGACACACGAGAUGCUUGAAAUACGACACACGAGGUGCCUAAAAUAUGACACAUAAAGUGCCUGAUCGGCAAAACCGAUAAAUCCCGUACUCUUCCAAAUCCUAUGGCAUGCCAAUUAUAUCCGACUAGCCUGACAAGUUAAUAGGGUAUUCAAUUUUCAUUUGAAUUUCACUUAAUAUUCAUAUUUACCCCUAUUAACAAGACUCGGACUUUGACGGAUACACGGAUUCCAACCAAACACACCAGUACGGCACUUAGUGCCUCAUCGGCUUUGCCGAAGUAAACAGUAACAGUACAGUACUUAGUACCUUAUCGAAUUAAACCCAUGUAACAGUAGCAGUAUGACACACAUGGUGCCUCAUCGACUAGAUGUUGAAGUAACAGUACGACACUUAUAGUGCCUCAUCGACUCAAGGUCGAAGUAUCCCUGAAUACUUCCAAUCCUAUAGCAUGCCAACUAUAUUCGACUUAGCCCGGUACAGUUAAUAGGGUAUUCAAUUCACUUUCCGGUUUCCAAUCAAAACACAUUUCAAUUAAUCACAUAUAUUCUCAAUUCAAUACAAUUCAAUUUACUUUUCAAUAACAAAUAUUCUAAUUUCGUAAUAAUCACAUAUUCAUAUCAAUUUUAUCACUUUCCCAAUCAAUAAAAUUUUCAAAUAUAACAUAUAUCCAAUAUUCUAUUUCCACAUCAAUCACAUAUAUCUAUACAAAUUCAAUUCAAUAUUGAUACUUACCUUAAAAUUUUACUUACUAUACACAUAAAUUUAAAUAUAACAUUUAUUCAUACCUUUAUGAAUUCCGAGUCAUCAUAAUCAACUUUUACUCAUAUACUUGAGUAUCGCUUUCAACAUUAUCAGAAUUAGCUCGGUUAGGAAAGCAUCUCUAUCUUUAAGUAAAACAAAUCUCAUCAGAGUCGGAAGAUAUCAUAUUAUCACAGGUUAUAUAAUGACAUGUAUUUCUAGACUUCACAUAUGUUACGUUACGUCUGAGAACCGACUAAACCGUAGCUCUGAUACUAAUAAAUGUAACACCCCCUACUUGUAUCCGUCACCAGAAUAGGGUACGAGGCAUUACCGGAGUUACAAAUUUAUUUAUCAGACAUUUUAUUUCAUCUAACAUUCAUAUUUGGUACCAAUCAAAAUCAAACAUAUUACCCCCUAAACAUACUUAUUUUCCUUGUAUCAACAUAUCAAAGAUAAUCACAUAUUUACAUGUCAUGAUAAAUAUCAUUCUCUUGCCAUUUCUUCAUAAACAUAAAUCAGCUAACUCAUUAUAUCAAUAUUUCAUGUACCAUCAACUCGUAUUUCCUUAUAUCACAUAAUUAGGUUUCACAAACUUAUCUGGCUAAAUUGCAAAAAUACCAAGAUUCAGGGGUAUUUCAGUAAUUUUAUAUUUUCCUCGAUUUUUCAACCAAUCUUGAUCUAAAUUAAUAAUUUCAUUCAAUUUAUUAAUUUAGACAAUAAAAUAAUUCAUUUCACUCAGUUUGGUCAUUUUUUAUAUUUUUACAAAAUUGCCCCUAAAGUUUUACUUUUAUUCAAUUUAGUCCCCGAGCCUAAAACAUGCAAUUUAACCACUUUAAUGUAAUCCAUGCUAACUAAAUAUUCAUAUAUAUUUUCCUCCUCCUCCUCUCCAUUCCACAUCCUUAAUGUAUAUAUAAUUCUACUAUUUUCUCAUAUGCUCAUAUCAAGCUGUCCACUUGAGUCAUAGUCACUAAAUUAUUUAUAUCAUGAGCUACAGAAUUCUAAAUUAAGAACCCCUUGAUGUUUCUGAAACUAUACGCAAAUAUAUUUCUACCAUAAAAAUUUCAGAAAUUAUAAUUUAGCCAUUAAGUACAGUAAAAUCUUCAAACUUACCCCUAUUCUGCUGUUUAACAGCUUCGACCUUUCCUUUCUAAAAAUUAAUUAUCUUUUAGUAAAGAAUUUGGAUGAUGUUUCUGUUUGUUUCUCUUAAAAAUAGACUCAUUAAAGAUUUAAAAAUAUAAAUUUAAGACCCUAAUUAUUUUUCUCAAAUUUUUUUUAUGAUUUUCCAAAAUCAAAACAGAGGAACCCGAAAUUAUUCUAACAUUGUCUCAUAAAAUUUAUUAUAUCUCACAAUUUACAAUUCCAUUACUUAAACCGUUUCUUCUAUGAAAAACUAGACUCAAUAAACUUUAAUUUCAUAUUUUAUUCAACCUCUAAUUUGAUUUCCAAUUUUUUUUUUGUGAUUUUUCAAAUUUUAACUACUGCUGUUGUCCAAAACUAUUUUAGUGCAACAUAUUGAUUACCAAGUUUAUAACACCCUUAUUUCCAUUCUCUAUAAUAUUUCCCACCAUUUUCUCUUAUUUUCUUUCACUAAUAUAUCAAGAACAUAGAACCUUAUAUAAGAAAACUCUACCUUAACAUCAUUUUCAUGCUUUUGAUAUUACCUUACAUGAGAAACUCUACUUAAAAAAUAUUGAAGUCUUAAAGUUCUUACCUUGUCCUAUUGAUUUCAAUCUUUAACUUGAUUUUUCUCUCUCCUCCAACUUCUAUUUCUUGAAUCCAACUUGAUAUUUUAACUCCCCUUAGUCUCCUUAACAUUUUUCUCUCUUGGCAGCAAUGGAAAUUCUUUUGAUUUUUAGGUGAAAAUGGUGAAUUUUUUGUGGAAGGACUAAUUUGUAAAGAAAACAAAACUUUCUUUAUUCUCUUGUCUUCUAACGUAAAAUGCAUGGAAAGAUGAUGGAUGGUGUGUGUGUGUUGUUUUUUUUUCCACACACACAUAUAUAUACUAAAUAAAAUAAUAAAAUAAUCAUAAAUAUCUUAUUAAAAUAUUAAUAAAAUAAUAUUUAUCUAAUUAAUUAAUUUAAAAUAUCACCAACAUAAUCAUUACAUUCUAUAAUUCUCUCUCUUACUAAUUGACCAUUUUGCCCUUCAUAAUCUUUUAAAAUUCUAUCAUUGAGUCAUCACUUAAUUUGGAAAAAUUACGAUAUAGUCCCUCAUAAUUUUUCACCUAUUUGAUUUGGUCCUAAUUCAUCCAUUUUCCUUAGUUUCUAGAUUAUUCCACCCCUAAAAUGUUUGCACUAUUGGUCCUUCAAAUUUUUUAUAUUUACACUUUAACCCCUUAAAUUUUGAGUAUGUACUCUUGGGCAACAAAACUUUUCUUAUUUUUACAAUUUAGUCCUUUCUUUAAUUAAUAAUGUAAUAUAUCAUAAUAUACUUCCCAAUGUUGACAUAAUAAAAUUUCCCUUUUUAUCCCUUUAUUUUCUUAGUUAACUAUAUCAAAGAUAAUAUCUUAUUUUUUUAUUGUAAUAAUUUUCAGAGUAUUACAGUAAUAAAUUAUUUUUUUAGCAAAUAAAGCCUCAAAAUAAUUACAUUAUUAUUUCAGGAUUAUUAUGAAUAAACUUACUAUCAAAUCCACAGCUUCAUGCGCAACAAUCUAGGAGAGGUUUUGUUAGAGAUCCUCCAUGUGCAAGUUGUAGGCAUGUUGAAGAGUCUAUUAUUUAUGUUUUGCGAAGUUGUGCCAAUACAAGAGAAAUGUGGUAGUCCCUUUAAGGAUUUGGGGGGAAUUUCUUUAUACUCCAUUGCCAGAGUAGAUCUCGUUGAUUUAAAAAAAAUUAUUAUUUUAAAGUUUAUUUUAUAUACUAUAGAUUAAUUGAUGCAUUAUUUUUCACUUAAAAUAUAAUUUUUUAACUAAUUGAAUUUUAGCUCUAUUAACGUAUGUAUUUAUUAACUGGGAUUACAUUAAAUUUAAGAAAAAAAAGAAAAAGAAAAAAGAGAGAGGAUGUCAUUGAAGUCGGUAUAGAUAAUUACAAAAGCAUUACAAUCAUGACUUAAAGACGUGAGCUUUUAAAAUUAUAUCUAUGAGUUGAUAAGACUUAUUCAAAUAUCUAAUUUGUCGCCUUCUUCCCAUCUCCCUUAUCCAAUUAUAUUUAAUGGUUUUUCCAUUUUUAAUUCCUACAUCCCUUAGAACUAUUAAGUGUAACAUAAAAAAUUAAAUGGGUAAAAUCAUAAACCGGCCACUUGUCCGUGGGCCUCCACUCCAAGUAACGUAUCCCGGGAAAGCGACGAAAAUAAAGUGGAGGAUAAGUUAUACCGAAGCCGAGGCCAUGGGGGCCCUCCACAAUCUCGAACCCUCCUCCUUAUUCACGACGUAAUUCGACACCUUUCUCCAACAAUCGUCUCUUUGUAUGGGCCCCAUUCACAGACCAUCGGGUCCCGCUAUCCACGUGUCACUAUUCCAGUGGUACCAUGCUCUCAUGAUAGUGCCACACUGAUUUUUUAAUUUCUUUUUCGUCUUUUGACUCUUAUUUCACACCAAUAAAGCAUAUCUUCACUCGCUUUCUUUGCUUGACACGUAGGAUCAAGGACAGGUGUCGAGUAGAGAAAGCGAGUAAGGUAGAAUCAAUUAGGGGUGCCAGAGUAGUGUUGUUAAGACAUAUUUCUCAAAGUUUAAUGCAGAGCUCGGUUACAUGGCGCUGGAUUGCCCAUCCCAUUUAAAUUGCGUUAAUUUUUUAAUGUUUUCUCUUUUCCCUAAACUGCGUCAGAUCCGUGUUUGAAAAUACUAUAAAAACCCAGUUCCUCUCGUUUCUUAAAAUCCAUCAAUCUGUGUAGCCAACUUUGUACGUACAAGUGAAGUGAUCCACAAUCUUGAUACGGUAAUACGUUAGGUAGCUUUCAGCAUACUUGUUUUGAGUUUAGUGGUUGUAGAUAAAGAAAAAAUGGCUGAGGAGCAUACCAAGGUUGGUGGUGAGGAAGCAGUGGAGAGCAAGGAGCGAGGGAUGUUUGAUUUCUUGGGGAAGAAAGAAGAUGAGAAGCCUCAACCUCAAGAGGAGGUGGUCGCCACCCAGUUUGAGAAAGUCAAGAUAGAAGAGGAACAUAAGGAAGAUGAGAAGAAACACAGUCUCCUGGACAAGCUUCACCUAUCCAAUAGCAGCUCCAGCUCUGUAAUUACUUUUUUUUACUUCCUUGCUUACUAUUCAUAGUUCAAACAGUCAAAUCUUUUUCAUAUAUAUUAUAACAUGCGUUGUAUGAAUGUUCAGUCUAGUGACGAGGAAGAAGGUGAAGGCGGAGAGAAGAUGAAGAAGAAGAAAAAGGAGAAGGGAAAGAAAGAACAGGACAGUGCAGUCCCAGUGGAGAAGUGCGAUGAGGCAGCAACAGUUCACCACUCAGAGACGCCGAAAAAGAAGGGUUUCAUGGAUAAGAUCAAAGACAAACUCCCAGGACAGCAUAAGAAAGAUGAAGAGGACACCACCCAACCACCAGCUGCUGCUGCCCCAACUGAGAACGACCACCAUGAAGGAGAGACAAAAGAGAAGAAGGGAUUUUUGGUGAAAAUCAAGGAGAAAAUUCCUGGUUACCACUCCAAAACAGAGGACGAGAAGGAAAAAGAGACCACUGCUCCCCAUUAAUGAAUCAAUAUAAUGCAUUUCAAGUAAAAGAUGUGUAGAGAUUGUGUGGUUUAUCAAUUUGUUGGAACUGUCUGUUCUCUGUUUUUCUUUUUGGGGUUGCAUACAUCAUAUAAAUUUCUGCGUCUGUUUUCCUGCUUGUAAGUUAAAAAGGAAAAAAAAGAAAAAAGAAGGUAUGUAUAUUUAAUGUUUUCAAUGUCAUUAUAAUAAUUAAGAAAUGACGGUAUUAUUUCCCUUUUAUCAAGUAGGUUUGUGCACUCUUAAAUGCAAGUUUUAACAAAUAUGAAUUAUUUAAAUAUACAUUUAAUUUUUGAAUUUAACAUUUUUUUUUCUAGGUUGAUGUUACUCAAAUUUUUAUUUCAUUAACUAAAUUAGUAUUAAUUUAAUUCGCGGAAUAAAAAUUCUAACAUUAGAAAAAAAUAAAUAUAACAUAAAUUAUAAAAUGAAGGAAAAAAAAAUUUCGACCGUAGUUAAUGAAUAAUGAUCAAUGAAAGAUCAGUGAAAAGCUAAUUCAUGUAACAAAUUGUUUAUUGGUUUUUAAGCAAAAAUACAAUAAUAUUAGGUGGCAAGCUUUUAAUUGUUUGACAAUUGAUACUCUAUUUAUAUGAACAUAGAAUAUGUUCAAAUACUUUGAUCAAAAUGUUGGUAAAUUUUAUGAUUUAGCGUAAAAAUGAAAAAAAAAAUCAUUUAUGGAUCAAAAUGUUUCAAAAUGAUUACGAAUAGAAAAUAUUUAGUAUAGUGUUGAUAAAGUUUUUAAACUUCAUAAAUAAUUAUGGGUUAAGUGUUUUAUAAGUUUUAGUAAAAUAUUAAAAAAUGUAUAUAUAUUUAAAAAAUUACAAUUUUUUCAAGUCGUGAAAUAAAAAAUAUAUAUUAUCAGUAUAUCAAAUACUAAUUUAUAAAAAAAUCAAUCUCAUAAUGUUUAAAUAUCAUUCAUUUAAGUCAUGAGGUGUGGUGUGGUAAUUGCUCAUCUCAUUUCUCAAUCAUUAGGUCAAGGGUUUAAUCCUUGCUUAUAGGAAUGGAGCACAUUUUAUGGUCAAUCAUUUAUCUUUUUGGAGAGCUCUAAUAGCGAAAGAAUUAGUCAUUACUACUAGUGGUGGAUACUAUAAAAAUAUUUAUAACUUUGUAUAUAUUUAUAUAACAAACUUUUUCCCUUAAUUCAAAGGGUUAAUAGCUAAUUUGGUCCCUGUGUUAUAGUUAAAAGUCAAUUUGAUUUUUUUUAAUUCUCUUAACAAUAAUUGUAAAAGAAAAUCUUAAACUAAAAAUUAAUAGAAAAUCUAUAAAAAUAAUUGAAAAUUCAUAAUUUUUUUUAAAAUAUGGAACUAUUUAAAUAUGUAUAAAUCUAAAAAUUUCUUAAAAUUAAAACCAAAAGAUUUUUAGGGUCUGUUUGAUAGGGGAAAAUAUUUUCCGGAAUUGAUUUUCCCCAUUUUCCAGUGUUUGAUUGGAGGAAAAUAUUUUCCUUUCAGAAAAUCAACUACAAAACACGGGAAAAUGCCUUACAAUUUUUGGGAAAUUGUCUUACCGAUUCAAUCUCCGUAAGACAUUUUCCUAAAGCUCUCAGGCAUUCUUCUCCCUUCAUCCAGUAAGCUCCCUUCAUCCAUUCUUCUCCCUUCCUUCAUUCCUUCAAAUUUCUGUUAUUGAAAGCUUCAUUUUGGUUCAGAACUGGAAACCGCUGCUGGUACGUUGCAAUUCCAUUUCCAUUUUUCGACGGUUACUUCAUUUAUUUUUCAUUUCUUUUUGGCUUUUAUGCUCCGUUUAUUUUUCAUUUCUUUUUGGCUGCUACUGCCGUUGCCAUUUCUUCUUUCAAAUGAUGGGUAAGCUUCCUUCUUCUUUUAUUCUUCGUUCGGUUGUUAAUGCUGGAAGCCAUCUUUCUAAUUUCCACUCUUUCUUCUUCUUCUAACACUAUUGCUACCCACAUCGACUGCCUAAGUAAGAAACCAAUGUCCAUGCCUGUUAGAGGAAAGGGAAAAACAGACCACCGCUUCGAUAAUGUUGAUCAUGCUUUGAGUUUGUUCACUUCUUUUUGUUGUCUCUGGUUUUCUGAGAUUUUGUUUAGUUUUUAUGUUUUUUUUAAUGUGAUGGGAAAUUGGGUUGGAAUUGAAGUUGAGGGUCCUUUUGCAACUUUCAAUUCUAAAGAAGGGGAAAAAAUUGCUUGCAAGUUUUAGAUAUGGACUGACGGUAUCUUUUAGAAGUUGUUCAUGUAGGAAGUUCUUAUUUGAUGAUUCAACUGCAGUUCCCAAUUGAUCUUCUAUAGGAUUAUCCUUGGAUCAUGCUAAAGGAUAUAUCAAUCUGGGAUUUAUUUUGAUUCUAUUGGAAAUUUGUGUCUGAUAUGAUUGAUACUAUUUAAGGUUAUUAUUAGAUUUGUUCUUCCUUGUUCAUUUAGCAGCAAUAGGAAUUCUCAAUAUGAAAUGUCAUGGUUUGCUUUGUCUAUAGUAGGGGUGUAAAGGUGCUUGCAAACUACUUGAAGAAAGACUCGAACUCGGUCGAGCUAUCAAUUGAGUCAAAUUUGAGCUUUGUUAAAUAAUGGCAUGUCUGGAAAUCAUGGACUGGGUAAUGAAGUUAGUUGCUUUGUUAAUUUAUGGAUUAAUGGUUUUAUAGGAACUUAAGUUAGUUUCUUUGUUAAUUUGGGUAAUGAACUUUGUCUGGAAAUCAAGGACUGGUUAAUGAAGUUAGUUGAUUUGUAGUUUUAUUUUUGUUUUUGUAUGGUCUAAUGCAAAUCCUUUUUUAUUAUGCCAUGUCGUGGUUGAUAAUCGCGAGUUGUGUAAUUUUAUGUUGUUCUUUCUCCUCCUUCUUCAGAUUGGAAAAAUUGGGAGCCUUAAAAUGGGACAAGGUAGUGCAUGGAAAUCAAGCGUGGAGGCUUAUCACUUGCAUCUGGCUGCACGCUGGUGUUAUUCAUCUACUUGCAAACAUGUUGAGCUUGAUCUUCAUUGGAAUUCGCCUUGAACAACAAUUUGGAUUCAAUACGUUAUCCGUUCCCUUUUGUAGUGGUAGCGUACUAUCGUCUCUUUUCAUUCAACGUAGCAUUUCUGUUGCUGCCUCUGGUGCUUUAUUUGGCCUUCUUGGAUUAAUGUUGUCGGAGCUGCUGACUAAUUGGACUAUCUAUACAAAUAAGGUAAUAUUAGUUGCCUUGGGUUCCUAUCUACUUAGAAAUGCAAUGAAGGGAAACCAGAGUUAUAGGUGAUUUCUUUUUUCAUGUGGCUUGAAAAGUAAUAGAGGAUAUUGAUUUUUUACCUUAAUUUGUAGGCUACAGCUCUGAUCACACUCACGGUCAUCAUUGUCAUUAACUUAGCAAUGGGGAUUCUUCCUCACGUCGACAACUUUGCGCAUAUUGGAGGUUUCUUAACCGAUUUUCUCCUUGGGUUCGUUUUGCUGCUUCGUCCCCAAUUCGGGUGGGUGGGACGUAAACAUCUUCCUGCCGGUGCUUGUGUAACAUCUAAGCAUAAAGCAUACCAAUACCUAUUUUUGGUGAUAGCUAUGGUUUUACUCAUUGCUGGGUAAGUUCUCUCAACCCUACAUUACUAGUUUAGCAGCUCGUGUUUAUAAUUUUGGUCCCGUUUGUUUAAUCUCCUCUGUUUUCCUUUUUCGAAUGAUGACAGUUUCACAUUGGGGUUGGUAAUGCUGUUUAGAGGAGAGAAUGGACAUGACCAUUGCAGCUGGUGCCAUUACCUGAGCUGUGUUCCUACAUCAAAAUGGCACUGUGGGAACUAAGCAGACCUUUAUUACAUAUCGUUCACUGAUUCUUUUCUGGUUUCCUUUACAUUUUUUACAUUUGUUAAUUUCUUGGUGUUGUUACGUGCCUAUGUGUAUAUAUAUAUACAUACAUACAUACGUACAUGGUUAGUUUUUAGACUUCGAGUUAUUUUAUUCACUGUUGUUAUGUGAUUUGACAUUUUAUACACAACUUGGUCUAAAUAUAUAUAAUAAGCGAUUUUACUUGAAGAAAAUACGAGAAUAUCUUUCAGUUUUUCCCUAUAGUUUUAGCUAAAGGUUUUGGCUUUGCAAUAUUUACUUUCCCUGAGGUCGUAUCUAUAAUCUAACUUUGUCUCUUUGGACAUUAAAGGAUGAAAGUUUAAUUAUUAGAGAAUUAAGCUUUGCCUUUGCAAGUAAUCAAUAUUAAACAUAUAAAUACCUUGUUUGUGAUAUAUUAAAAUGGAAUUAAGUAGACAUUAAGCAUUAAGAUUCUCAAAACUAUUUAUUAUAUGUUACUCAUCAACUCACUAAUAAAUUUCACUUACCAUUUCAUUUUAGCCCAAAUAUAGAUUUAUAGGACAUAAGGAUAUGUGGAUAGAACACUGAAUCACUAGAACAAAUGUAAAAACAACUUUUCCGAAAAAUAUUUUCAAGAAAUCUGUCAAAAAGUAGAAAAUAUUUUACACAGAUUCAAUCAAACACCAGAAAAUAUUUUCCAGUAAAUCAUUUUAUAGAAAAGUAAAACAUUUUCCAGAAAUUAUUUUACGGAAAACAUUUUACUGGCAAUCAAACGGACCCUUAAUUUAAAUCCCAUGUUAAAUAUAUGUAUCACAAGAAUCAGAUUGGAUAAAAGUAGAAUCAAAUUAAUAUAAAAUUUAAAUACAAAUAAAUGUUUUAAUAAUGAAGAAGUAAAAUCAAAUCGGUAUAAUCUACAAAUAGAUGAACAUUUGGAAUUUAAUUAGAUAAAAAACUUUUAUUAAUAAAAAAUUUAUUUAUAAAUAAAUCAUUGCAAUAUGUGUAAAAAUAAUUUAAAAUAUAAAAAUUUAUUAAUAUGUAUAUAAAUUUAUUAAUAUAUGUAAAAACAACUUUUCCGGAAAAUAUUUUCAGGAAAUCUGUCAAACAGCAGAAAAUAUUUUACACAGAUUCAAUCAAACACUAGAAAAUAUUUUCCAGUAAAUCAUUUUACAGAAAAGUAAAACAUUUUCCAGAAAUCAUUUUACGGAAAACAUUUUACUGCCAAUCAAACAGACCCUUAAACUAACAUUUCUUACAAAUUUUUAUUAUAUAAAACAAUUUAAAAUUUUCAAAUUUGUUGAGUAGUAUUUUUCUCGUAUCGUAUUAAGAGAAACACAUGGGGUAUUUAUACAUGUUUCUAUUGCUACUAUUACAGCUCACAAUAGGGCCCACUAUUUUGUCUCAGUCUUUGGGCCGAUGGUACUGACAUUCCCUGUCCCUGGUGCUGGCAUUCCCCUGGGUAUCCCUUGGCUUAUCGGAUGCAUGUCUGCGAAGCACGCAGUCUUUUUUGAUCCUAAGACUGACUCCUCCAGCGAGCCUCGUACCUACUAAUCACAAGCAGGGAUUCCUAGUAGGGCUUGUGAUCCCUUUUGCUGACAUAGCUCGCGACGUCAUUCCUAUGAGGCUUACGUGAGCUCUCCUUACGAGCUUUCCGUGCGAGCUAUCUUUGCAAAAAUCUAGCAUUCCAGUGGGGUCCCCAGCAAACUAUGCCUGUAGGUGAACAUUCUUGUAACACCCUUUACUCGUACCCAAGACCGGGAUAGAGUACGGGGCAUUACCGAGAACAUACAAAGACAUUUGGGAAAUAUGGCUAUCAAAUUUCGUUCGAAAAUAAAAACAUUCAUAAUAUCCCUAAUAUGAGCUUAAGAGGCCCGAAACAUAUUUAGAAACCCAUUCAGGAACAACCCGGGUCCUUAAAAGAAUAAAAAAACCUUCACUAAAAACAGGGGCACACGUCCAUGUAACCUUCACGACAUGGCCGUGCUGAUGGCCCGUGUAUUUCACACGGCCUAAGCACCUAGGGACACGCCCGUGUCCCUUACCCGUGUGGCCAAUUUAAUUCACAAUUUCUCAUAAAUCAAGUGCAGACUUCAUACGACCAGAACACACGCCCGUGUCUAUGGUCCGUGGAGCAUACUGCCAACUUAACUAUAAACAAAAAAAUCACAUGGCCAAGGCACUCGCCCCUGUCUAUUGCCCGUGUCUUUCACACGGCCUUGACACGCCCGUAUCCUCAGCUCGUGAAGCUAUCUGUCUAAAUGGUCAUGGUCUAAAUGAAGUCGUACGGCCUUGUGCUAAAAAUAGGCUAUUUAACAAGCCUUCAAGCCAUCCAUGCCAACAAUAACCUACAUAGCAUUCUACCAUACCAAUAUCCCUAUCAACAUGGGACCAAACAACUAUAAGAAACAGUAAUUCAACUAACUACUAGAACAGUUCAAUUAACCAAGGGGGCAACAACCUUCAACAUAUGAUUCAAUAUGAAUAUUAGCCAUUAACCAUGGCCUUAUACAAAAUGAAUUAAUAACACAUUCAUGAACCAAUACUUUGGCUAAACUAAUGACAUAUACCAAGCAAAAUAAACAAAAGUCCUAUACAUGCCAUUAUACAAAAUAAAAGCUUCCAUAUACCCAAAACGGAAUUAGUUCAAUAGUGUGAUCAACGCUCCAACCGUCUUCCAAUCCUCAAGAGUCCACGAGUACUGUAAAACAGGGGAAAAUAAAAAGGGCAAGCAUUAACAUGCCUAGUAAGUUCGGAUAACGGGAAAGUAAACCUACUAGUUAUUUAGUAUAAAACCAUAAUAAGCACACAAUCCAAACAAGUAUAGGAUAGAUUUCCUAUCACAUGCACUCAACCAUUAAGUUAGUCUCAUAGCAUGACAAAAUAAUAGCACAUCUAGAUGAGCUCAUCACAUCAUUAUUCCCAAUUUACAUCUCAUGUUAGUCCUAUUGAAUUUUUUGGUUUUCCUAUGGAUAUCUCAUUUCCCAUCAGUUCAUAUAAGUGGUCAUUUUGAGUACGCAUUCCCGCGAACCUCGCAUCUUACGGCAGAAUUACCAGAUCAGACUAAAUCCCCCGUAAUACAAACUCAUAAAGUAAAUGUCGGGAUUACCAGUCCAGGUUAAAUCCCCUACAACGACAUAUACUCUAAUGAGCUCGAAUCUGAAUUACUGGUCCAGGCUAAAUUCAGAUCCUACUUCGGAUUACCCUUCCGGGCUAAAUCCUUAAUGUACACAUAUUCUUCGGGAGGCUAGAUCACUAUAGGAUCAUCCGUCUGGGCUAGAUGCUUUUCACCGUCAAUUCAUUUUCGAGAUAUUCCAUUGAAUAACCCUAUUCAUUCAACCUGGGGCAUUCUUAUACUCAUUUUACUCACUUUAUUAAAUCUCAUAAAUUAUCAUGCAAUAAACAUUUACACAAUCAAGAAUAUACAUUUUAAGUACAUUAAAAGUCUACCUUGACUUAUUAGAACUUACCUUGUGAUCGUUUCAGAUUUGAGUUUUGAUCACUCCGAAACCUUUCGUCUCCCUCAAUCGACUUCCAGAUUGUAAUGAACCGAAAGUUACGGUAUCGGAAAUUGAGUCUUGAGUACUGUUUCCGUGAAAUUAAUUCAUGAAUAUUUAUUAGAAAUAUUUAUGAAUUAUAGUUGAAUGGUUAUUUAAUGUUUAAUUAAGUGAAGUAGCUUGAAUUUAGUUUAAAGGACUAAAUUACAUAAGGUAUAAAAGUUUAAUUAUAGAUUAAAGAUUAAUAAAUGGACUAAUCUAGCAAUUAGACCCUAAGUGCCAUGUGUGUGAAUGUAUGAUAUAACAUGUGUAAUAGUUGGUAAAGAUAUUAAAUGUGUUAAAGUAGUUUUUCUUAUAGAUUAAGUUAUUUUAUUAGAAUAAUAUUAUAUUAUUAAUAUUAUUAUAUUGAAUAUAGAUUUAUGAUUAAGUUAAAAAAGAAAGAAAGAAAGAUAGAAAGAGUUACAGAGAGCAAACGUGAGAAAGAAAGAAAGAAAUAGAAAAGGGAAAUUUGAGGAUUAAGGCCCUAAAGCUUGAUUGGUAAGAUGUUUUAGCUUAUUUUCUUAUAAUUUUUAUGUUUAUGGAUGCCUAAUUCAAAGUUCUACAUGUAUGAGGUUAAAAUGAAGAAAAAUAGAAAAUUUUUAGAUAUUGAUUUAGUUGAAUAAAUUGAGGUUUUAUGGGUUAAAUUGAUAGAAAUUGAAGUUAGAAGUGAAAAUUGAGUGAUUUAUUAAAAGAAUUCUAAGUUAGGUUUAAAUAGGGAUUAAGUUGAAUAGAGCUCAAAAUUUAUGUUUUAUAAUGAAUUUUAUGAGUUAGAAAUUGUUAAUGAGUUGAUUAAAAGAGAAUAAGAAGCUUAAGUUAAAGAAAAAAAAGAUUAGUAAUGGAAAAAGGAUGAAAUUAGAACUUUUGUAAAAGUUUGAUAGAAAGUGAAAAUGUGUUUUAUGAAUUAGUAUAUUGAUGAUUUUUAAUUGUAUGAUUGUUAGUAGCAAACGUAGCACCGGAUACGUCAUCGAAGAAGGGAAAAGAGAAAGUGAACGAAGAUAUCGAUUAAAUUCGAUAAAUAGAGGUUUGUAUUUCUAUAAACCGAGCUUAAUCGUUAUUGCUAUAUUUGAUAUUUAUAUUGUAUGAAAAUGUGAAUGAGGUAAGUAUUUUUACCAUAUUGAAAUGAAUGUGAUUUUGAAUACCGUAUUAACAGUGUCGGGCUAGUCGGAUAUAGUUGACAUGUCAUAGGAAUUGGAAGUAUUGGGAUAUUCCGACAUUGAGUCGAUGAGACACUAUGUGUCGACUACUGUUAAAGUUCCGGAUUUGUUCCGAUGAAGUACUUUGUGUACUAUAAUGUUAAAGUUCCGGAUUUGUUCCGAUGAAGCACUAUGUGCUUAUCCCGGAGUGUGGGUUGGAUCCGUGUGUCCGUUAGUGUCCGAGUUAUGUUAAUAAGGGUAAAUAAAGUAAAGAUUAUUAAAGUACUGAUUGAUAUUGAAUAAUAGCAAUAAUGUGUUUGAAUUACCAUGUUUUAAAGUUGAUUAAGCUAUUGUUCAUAGAAAUACAACUGAGAGUAUUCUCAGCGUACGGUUUGUUUCCGUGCGCAGGCUAGGUACGAAAGUAUAAGGACUCAGCAUACAAGCCGAUCCCCGAACUCAAAUUGGUGAAGUUUCUAUCUUUUUGGAAAAUGGCAUUGUACCUAGGAUGUCUUUUGGUCAUUUUGAAAGUAUCUAAGUUGUUAAGUGAUAUUUUGGUAUGUUAUGUAAAUGUUACCAAAACCUUAAGUAUGGUAUGUUUUGAUAUGUUAGUGAAGAGUAAUAAGAGGAAGUGUUGGUAAAUAUUGUAGAGAGAAGAAAUGAAGAUGUUAUAAACUUAUUUAUCAACAUUUUAUACUAAAACAGAUUUGGACAGUAACAGUAGUCCAACUUUGAAAAUAUACCAAAAAUAGUAUAAAGUGAAUUAGAUGAUGAAUAAAAUAUGUAAUUGAAGCUUAAUGAAUCUAUUUUUAUAUGGAAUAAACAAAAUAGGUAAAAAAGUUUUAUUUUAUGAGAUAUUUACAUUUUGGUGAAACAGGGUUAGAGCAAUUUUUGGAUUCCCUGUUUUAACUUUAGAAAUUCACCAUAAAUUUUGUAUUAAGAAUUAGGACUCAAACUUUAUAUUUAUGGAUUCUUUAUUGAAUCUAUUUUUAAUUGAAACAAAUGGCAUAGUCAUUGGAUUUCUGUACAGGAAUAAAUUUGAUUCGUAGUGCACAAGGGUUAGAGUAGCUAAACCCUAAAAUAGGGGAGACUUUUUCUAAUAAAAUGUACUAAUUGGCCUGACCAAAAAUCCUAGAAAAAAUUUAGUACGUAGAUAUAUGAGUCUAGUUUCAGGGAAAAUUUACGGAAUUGGAUUUUGAGUUUCUUAACUCAAGAUAUGAUUUUUUAGCGACCGUGAUGCAGAUGGAUAGUUUACUACGAAAACUAUUUAAGUGCUAAGAUAAGUUUUGUAAUGUCUCCUGCUUGACUCCAGCAACGGUCUCGGGUAGGGGGACGUUACAAUAUUGAUUGGUAUCAGAGCUAAUUAGGUUUAGUCGGUUCUAGGACUAAAUCGAAUGUCAAUGUGAAUCUAGAGGUACAUGCCAUUACUGAGUCAAAUUUGAGUUGGGAUUGGAUGCUGAUAUGUUUGUUGAAUAUUUUUGUUUUAUAGCAUUAAGAAUGUCUGAUAAAAGCAUUGAGGAUACUGAUCAAGAGAUGUAUAGUGAAGAUGAUGAACCGUAUAAUGUGAAUGAAUCGGAGUUUGCAACUCCAAGUGUGAAUCCAGUAGGAAAUCAACCGAAUGUUGGAAGUGAUAAUACUGAAGUCUUUAGAAUAAUCGCCGAUGCCCUUCAAAAAGCGGUAGGAACUAUGCUUGCUACGUCCUCUAUCCCUACUACCCGAAGAGCUCCAAUUAAAGAAUUGAGAAAAUAUGGAGCUACAGAAUUUUUGGGUGCAAAGAGAAUUGAUUCGACUACUGCUGAAAAUUGGUUAAAGACUACAAAGAGAGUUCUGAAGCAACUUGAAUGUACACCACAAGAAAGCUUAGUGUGUAUUGUCUCAUUACUGCAAGAGGAAGCUUUAGUAUGGUGGGAAUCAGUGAUUCAGAAUGUACUUGAGGAACAUAUAAGUUGGGACUUCUUUCAAAAAGAGUUUCAAAAUAAGUAUUUGGGAGAAAUGUACAUAGAGGACAAAAGAUAAGAGUUCUUAACACUGAAAUAAGGUGAGAUGCUUAUAGUGGAUUAUGAACAAGAAUUUCUAAGACUGAGCAGAUAUGCCACUGAGUUUGUACCGACUGAAGCCGACAGAUGUAAAAGAUUUUUAAGAGGAUUACGUGAUGAAUUUAGACUACAGUUGAUGCCUCUUAGAAUCACUGAGUUUGCGGAUUUAAUGGAAAGAGCUAAGAUGAUUGAACAAAUUCUCGGAAGGGAUAAAAAGUCUGAAGUUGCUCGUUCGACUAAAAAACGUCCCGGAAUGGUUAGUUCAAGUUCGUAGCCUAAGCGGUCAAAGGAAUCACGAGGUAAUUGGAGAUUUAGUUCUCGAUCGGAAAGAAGUGAUCGAGGUCGGAAAAGAUAGACUACUGUGUCUACUGGCAGUAUCCGAAGUCCAGUUCAGAAUACUGAAAUUCCAAUAUGUGAGCAUUGUGGAAACCGACACAAAGAGGAAUGUAGAAAGUUGACUGGAGGUUGUUUCCAUUGUGGGGCUACUGAUCACUUUAUUAAAGAUUGCCCAAAGAUAUCUGGAACAACACUGAAAGUAGUGCAAAGAUCUGAAUUUGCUUCCAGAGGCCGGGGAUCAGGUCGAAGUAGUUCGUUUGCUAGAGGUGGUACUAGAAGAACUAGUGAGAGUGCUACACAACAAUCUGAAGCUAGAGCUCCAGCUCGAGCAUAUGUUAUGAGGACUCGAGAAGAGAAAGAUGCUCAUGAUGUGGUGACAGGUAUAUUCUUGUUGAAUUCACCACCCGUUUAUGCUUUAAUAGACCCUGGGUCAUCACAUUCAUAUGUUAAUACGAAAGUAGUUGAGACAAAAAAAUUAGAGUCUGAAUUGUCUAAAGUUAUGAUAGAAGUGUCUAGUCUACUGGGACAAACUACUUUAGUGAACCAUAUAUGUUGAAGAUGUUCAUUAAUGAUUCAAGAUAGAAUAUUCCCUGUUGAUCUAUUGAUUAUGCCAUUUGGUGACUUUGAUGUUAUUUUGGGAAUGGACUGGUUAUCAGAACAUUGAGUGAUUUUAGACUGUUAUAAGAAGAAGUUUAUUGUUCAGAAUGAAAGAGAAGAUACGAUUGAAGUAAAUGGUAUUCGGACUAGUGGAUCAAUUCGUAUUGUUUCGGCCAUUAAAGCUAGCAAGCUUCUUCAUCGAGGUUGUAAUGCUUUCUUAGCAUAUGUGAUUAAUUCGGAUUCAGUUGAAAGUUAGUGUAGUAAAAUUUAGACUGUAUGUGAAUUUUCUGAUGUAUUCCCUGAGGAAUUACCUGGAUUACCCCUUGAUCGAGAGGUAGAAUUUGUGAUUGAAGUCUACCCAGGUACAGAUCCGGUAUCGAUACCUCCGUACCGUAUGGAACCUACUGAGCUAAAGGAAUUAAAAGUACAGUUGCAAGACUUAUUGGAUAGAGGUUCUAUACGACCUAGUACAUCACCAUGGGGAGCUCCAAUGUUAUUUGUUAAGAAGAAAGAUGGGUCGAUGCGGUUGGGCAUUGAUUAUCGACAACUCAACAAAUCAACUGUCAAGAACAAGUAUCCACUUCCCCGAAUAGAUGAUUUGUUUGAUCAACUGAAAGGAGCUUUUGUAUUUUCAAAGAUUGAUCUGAGGUCGGGAUACUAUCAGUUGAAAGUAAAAGAGUGCGACUAUUGAAGACGACAUUUCGUACGAGGUAUGGGCAUUAUGAAUUCUUAGUAAUGCCAUUUGGACUGACAAAUGCCCCUGCUGCUUUUAUGGAUCUUAUGAAUCGGAUUUUUCAGCCAUACUUGGAUCAGUUCAUAAUAGUUUUUAUUGACGAUAUUUUGGUGUAUUCCAAGUCAGAAAAAGACCAUGAGCAACAUCUCCGGAUUAUUUUGUAAAUACUACGAGAAAAGCAAUUGUAUGGAAAAUUGAGCAAGUGUGAAUUCUGGUUAUCAGAAUUUUAAGAGGAUUACAUGAUGAAUUUAGACUACAGUUGAUGCCUCUUAGAAUCACUGAGUUUGCGGAUUUAAUGGAAAGAGCUAAGAUGAUUGAACAAAUUCUCGGAAGGGAUAAAAAGUCUGAAGUUGCUCGUUCGACUGAAAAACGUCCCGGAAUGGUUAGUUCAAGUUCGCAGCCUAAGCGGUCAAAGGAAUCACGAGGUAAUUGGAGAUUUAGUUCUCGAUCGGAAAGAAGUGAUCGAGGUCGGAAAAGAUAGACUACUGUGUCUACUGGCAGUAUCCGAAGUCCAGUUCAGAAUACUGAAAUUCCAAUAUGUGAGCAUUGUGGAAACCGACACAAAGAGGAAUGUAGAAAGUUGACUGGAGGUUGUUUCCAUUAUGGGGCUACUGAUCACUUUAUUAAAGAUUGCCCAAAGAUAUCUGGAACAACACCGAAAGUAGUGCAAAGAUCUGAAUUUGCUUCCAGAGGCCGGGGAUUAGGUCGAAGUAGUUCGUUUGCUAGAGGUGGUACUAGAAGAACUAGUGAGAGUGCUACACAACAAUCUGAAGCUAGAGCUCCAGCUCGAGCAUAUGUUAUGAGGACUCGAGAAGAGAAAGAUGCUCAUAAUGUGGUGACAGGUAUAUUCUUAUUGAAUUCACCACCCGUUUAUGCUUUAAUAGACCCUGGGUCAUCACAUUCAUAUGUUAAUAUGAAAGUAGUUGAGACAAAAAAAUUAGAGUCUGAAUUGUCUAAAGUUAUGAUAGAAGUGUCUAGUCUACUGGGACAAACUACUUUAGUGAACCAUAUAUGUUGAAGAUGUUCAUUAAUGAUUCAAGAUAGAAUAUUCCCUGUUGAUCUAUUGAUUAUGCCAUUUGGUGACUUUGAUGUUAUUUUGGGAAUGGACUGGUUAUCAGAACAUUGAGUGAUUUUAGACUGUUAUAAGAAGAAGUUUAUUGUUCAGAAUGAAAGUGAAGAUACGAUUGAAGUAAAUGGUAUUCGGACUAGUGGAUCAAUUCGUAUUGUUUCGGCCAUUAAAGCUAGCAAGCUUCUUCAUCGAGGUUGUAAUGCUUUCUUAGCAUAUGUGAUUAAUUCGGAUUCAGUUGAAAGUUAGUGUAGUAAAAUUCGGACUGUAUGUAAAUUUUCUGAUGUAUUCCCUGAGGAAUUACCUGGAUUACCCCCUGAUCGAGAGGUAGAAUUUGUGAUUGAAGUCUACCCAGGUACAGAUCCGGUAUCGAUACCUCCGUACCGUAUGGCACCUACUGAGCUAAAGGAAUUAAAAGUACAGUUGCAAGACUUAUUGGACAGAGGUUCUAUACGACCUAGUACAUCAUCAUGGGGAGCUCCAAUGUUAUUUGUUAAGAAGAAAGAUGGGUCGAUGCGGUUGUGCAUUGAUUAUCGACAACUCAACAAAUCAACUGUCAAGAACAAGUAUCCACUUCCCCGAAUAGAUGAUUUGUUUGAUCAACUGAAAAGAGCUUCUGUAUUUUCAAAGAUUGAUCUGAGGUCGGGAUACUAUCAGUUGAAAGUAAAAGAGUGCGACUAUUGAAGACGACAUUCCGUACGAGGUAUGGGCAUUAUGAAUUCUUAGUAAUGCCAUUUGGACUGACAAAUGCCCUUGCUGCUUUUAUGGAUCUUAUGAAUCGGAUUUUUCAGCCAUACUUGGAUCAGUUCAUAAUAGUUUUUAUUGACGAUAUUUUGGUGUAUUCCAAGUCAGAAAAAGACCAUGAGCAACAUCUCCGGAUUAUUUUGUAAAUACUACGAGAAAAGCAAUUGUAUGGAAAAUUGAGCAAGUGUGAAUUCUGGUUAUCAGAAGUUGUGUUUCUUGGUCAUGCCGUAUCAGCAGAUGGAAUUAGAGUGGAUCCAAAGAAGAUUGAAGCAGUUAUUCUGUGGAAAGUUCCUAAGAAUGUAUCAGAGGUACAAAGUUUUCUUAGAUUGGCUGGUUACUAUCGAAGACUCGUCAACGGAUUUUCAAAGAUAGCCUUACCGAUGACCAAGCUACUACAGAAGAAUAUUCCAUUUGUUUGGAAUGAGUAAUGUCAGAAAAGUUUUGAAGCAUUAAAACGAAUGUUAACAGAGGCACCGGUGUUGACUUUACCAGAAUCAGAAAGAGAUUUUGUAGUGUACAGUGAUGCUUCAUUGAGUGGACUGGGAUGUGUACUGAUGCAGAACGGGAAAGUCAUUGCUUAUGCUUCACGGCAACUGAAACCGCAUGAACGCAACUAUCCAACUCAUGAUUUAGAAUUAGCAGCUGUAAUUUUUUCCUUGAAGAUUUGGAGGCACUAUCUUUAUGGUGAAAAGUGCUAUGUUUAUACGGAUCAUAAAAGUUUGAAGUAUCUUCUUUCGUAAAAAGAAUUGAAUCUGAGACAAAGGCGUUGGAUAGAGCUUCUGAAAGACUAUGAUUGUGUCAUAGACUAUCAUCUAGGGAAGGCUAAUGUAGUAGACGACGCACUGAGUAGAAAAUCUGCGAUUGAAUUACGAGCAAUGUUUGCACAACUUAGUAUCACUGAAGAUGGAAGUCUUUUGACUGAAUUAAGAAUAAAGCCAGUAAUGUUUGAUCGAAUCAGAUCAGCACAGUUAGAAGAUGAUAAGUUGUUAAAGAAAAGAGAGAUGAUUCAGAAUGGUACAACAGAAAAUUUUAGCAUUGAUGGAAAUGGUUGUCUAAGAAUUCAGAAUCAACUUUGCAUUCCAGAUAAUUCUGAGUUGAAAGAGUUAAUACUUCGAGAAGCUCAUAAUAGUCCAUUUGUAUUUCAUCCUGGAGGUAUGAAAAUGUAUCGUGAUUUGCGUGAAUUGUAUUGGUGGCUGGGAAUGAAAAAGGAUAUAAAUGAAUAUGUGGCAAAGUGUUUGACUUGUCAACGAGUGAAGGCAGAACAUCAAGUUCCAUCAGGAUUACUUCAACCUAUCAAUAUUCCUGAAUGGAAAUGGGACCGAAUAACGAUGGACUUUGUGAAGGGAUUACCGACGUCUACAAGUAAAAAGAAUGCUAUUUGGGUAAUAGUUGAUCGACUUACGAAGUCAGCUCAUUUCUUAGUUGUGAGAACCGAUUGGUCGUUAAAGAAACUUGCUGAGGUUUAUGUUCGGGAAAUCAUUAGAUUACAUGGUAUUCUAAAACCAAUAAUUUCUGACAGAGAUUCAAGGUUUAUGUCAAGGUUUUGAAAGCAAUUACAUGAAUCUUUCGGUACUCGACUUCACUUUAGUACAGCUUUUCAUCCACAGACUGAUGGUCAAUCUGAACGGGUAAUACAAAUUUUAGAAGAUAUGCUUCGAGCCUAUAUGAUUGAUUUUGAGUCUAACUGGGAAUAUUAUUUGUCAUUAGCUGAAUUUGUAUAUAAUAAUAGUUUCCAGUCAAGUAUACAGAUGGCACCGUAUGAGGCUUUGUAUGGACGAAGAUGCCGAUCACCCGUAUGUUGGACAGAACUGAAUGAGAAGAAGAUGAUUGGACCUGAAUUGGUUCAAGAAAUGGAAAGUACAGUUAAGAAAAUUCGGGAAAGAUUUAAAACUGCUUCUGAUAGACAGAAAUCGUAUGCAGAUUUGAAACGAUGGGAUAUUGAAUACUCAGUCGGGGAUAAAGUAUUUUUAAAGGUUUCACCUUGAAAGAAAAUUCUAAGAUUUGGUCAAAAAGGAAAAUUAAGUCCUCGUUUUAUUGGGCCUUACGAAGUUAUUGAGAGAAUUGGACCAGUAGCGUAUCGAUUGGCCUUACCUCCUGAACUACAGAAAAUGCACGAUGUCUUUCAUGUUUCUAUGCUAAGAAGAUAUCGAGUGGAUCCUUCACAUGUUAUUACGACCGAGAAUGUAGAGACUCGACCUGACUUAUCGUAUGAAAAAGAACCAGUUGAGAUUCUAGCACGAGAGGUAAAAGAAUUACGUAAUAAACGUAUUCCUUUAGUAAAAGUGCUAUGGCGAAGUCACAGUGUUGAAGAAGCUACAUGGGAACCAGAAGAAACGAUGAGAUCUCAAUACCCCCAUCUCUUUUCAGGUAAAUUUCGAGGACGAAAUUUAUUAAGGGGGAGAGAAUUGUAAUGAACCGAAAGUUACAGUAUCGAAAAUUGAGUCUUGAGUACUGUUUCCGUGAAAUUAAUUCAUGAAUAUUUAUUAGAAAUAUUUAUGAAUUAUAGUUGAAUGGUUAUUUAGUGUUUAAUUAAGUGAAGUAGCUUGAAUUUAGUUUAAAGGACUAAAUUGCAUACGGUAUAAAAGUUUAAUUAUAGAUUAAAGAUGAGUAAAGAUUAGUAUAUAACCAUAAUAAGCACUCAAUCCAAACAAGUAUAGGAUAGAUUUCCUAUCACAUGCACUCAACCAUUAAGUUAGUCUCAUAGCAUGACAAGAUAAUAACACAUCUAGAUGAGCUCAUUACAUCAUUAUUCCCAAUUUACAUCUCAUGUUAGUCCCAUUGAAUUUCUUGAUUUUUUGAUGGAUAUCUCAUUUCCCGUCAGUUCAUACAAGUGAUCAUUUCAAGUACACACUCCCGCGAACCUCGCAUCUUAUGGUGGAAUUACCAGAUUACAUUAAAUCCCCCGUAAUACAAACUCAUAGAGUAAAUGUCGGGAUUACCAAUCCAGGCUAAAUCCCCUACAUUGACAUAUACCCUGAUAAGCUCGGAUCUGAAUUACCAGUCUAGGCUAAAUUCAGAUCCUACUUCGGAUUACCCUUCCGGGCUAAAUCCUUAAUGCACACAUAUUCUUCGGGAGGCUAGAUCACUAUAGGAUCACCCAUCCGGGCUAGAUGCUUUUCACCGUCAAUUUAUUUUCGAGAUAUUCCAUCGAAUAACCCUAUUCAUUCAACCUCGGGCAUUCUUAUACUCAUUUUACUCACUUUAUUAAAUCUCAUAUAUUAUUAUGCAAUAAACAUUUACACAAUCAAGAAUAUACAUUUUAAGUACAUUAAUAGUCUAUUUUGAGUUAUUCGAACUUACUUGGUGAUCGUUUCGGAUUCGAGUUUUGAUCACUCCGAAACAUUUCGUUUCCCUCGAUCGACUUUCGAAUUCGGUCUCUUAGGGUCUCUAUGAGAAAAAUAACUUUAUCAAUACAUCAUUUAAUUCCUUUUUGGUCCAUAUCUCAUCCUAGGGAAAAAUAACCAAUUUGCCCCUAAACCUUGCUAAAAUUAUGAUUUUGCCCUUGGGCUUGUAAUUUGGUUUUCAUUACAUUUUCUAAAUGUUUCAAACCUAGCCUAAUAAUAUUUAUACUUAUGGCAUCUUGCAAAUCCAUCUAUAUCAUAUAUUUCAUAGUAAUUUCACAAAUUUUGCAAAAUGGUCCUAUGAGGGCUUUCAUGAGAAAUCCUUUCAUAAAAGUUGUUUAUCACAUAACCAAGCUUCAUAUUCCUCCAUAAAAACUCAAAAAACCUUAGAAAAUCUUACAUGGCAACUCAUUAGAACUUUUACCAUUUUGCAAAAUAGUUCCCUCUAGAGAAAGCCCAUGCAAAGGGGACUUUAAAAGUACAAAAAUUUUCAAGAAAAUCUCUUACUUGUUGAUAAACUGUAAUUUAUACAUAUUUUUAUCCCAUGCUUAGCACAUUUAUGGAUGGUUUCUCCUUAGAUUUGGUGAAUUCGAUGCUCCUAAUUCUUUAAUUUCAUGUUUUAUACUUAGGUGAGCAUAGGAGAGUAAAAAGAGCAAGAAACAGGGCGAAAACGGAGAAAAUGGACCCACAUGAAAAAUCAACACGGCCUGGACUUCCUCACACGGGUAAGUUACACGGCCAUGUCUAUUUGGCAAGAUCGAAGCACGACUUACACGGGUAGACUACACUCCUGUGCCUAUUUAAUAGCCUUGACCACGGUCUGGAGCAAUCGCACACGGGCGUGUCACACGGGUGUGUCCCUGUCGAGCCCAAGUAUAGUCCUAUUCAGAAAAAGCCACUUUUGAGGGCUCUUAGGCAUUCUAAAGCCUAUUUAAACACCUGAGGAGGCACUUAGAAGACACACACGGAGUAGGAAGCAAGGAAUUACUCAAGGGAAGUCGAUUGAUCCAUCUCAGAAGCCGAAUUCAUCGUGAAGACUGAAGAUAUCCUUUCAAUUUCCAUUCAGGGUUUUUAGGUUUUCUUUAUGAUUUGUAUUCAUUAUUCUUCUGAGAUGUUUUCUUUUAUAAUUAUGAAUUAAACCCCCUAAAUACCUAAGGGGAAUGAAACCUAAGAUAGAUCUUGUUAUUAUUAUCUAAAUGGUAUGAUAAAUAUUUGACUUGUUCUUAAUUAUGUGUUCAUAAUUCUUGUCUUAAUAUUCCAAGAUAUUGAUUCAAGUUAAUGCGCUUAUUUAGAGGAGCAAAAGUCCCUGUCUAAGAGUAAAUCUAUCUUAAUUAAGUGGAGUUGAUUGCACGCCUAGAGAUAGGGUAAUAAGAUUUUGUCGGAUUAGGGUGAAACCUAAUAAGGGGAUCUAUAGAUCGAGUUAAUGCAACACUAGGGCGUUAAUUAGAAAAAGAUUUCAAUUAAUCAACCUAGGGUUAGACGUUAUUAGUCUCGAGAGAAAUAAUAAUAUAACUUUGAGAUUUCUACAGAUCAAUUCAAAUGAAUAAAUCGUCUAACUCAGAGUCAAAUAACAAGUGAAGUCUAGGUGGAUUUUUCCUUGGGUAUUGUCUUAAUCAAUCGAGUUUUCCCAAAAGCUUUUCCCCAAUUUCUCUCUAUGCACUCUUAGUUUAGUUAAUUAGUUUAGAUAAACAAAUCCCUUAAUUUUUAGGCUAGAUAAUAAAAAGAAAGUAAUUACUAGUACUCUUGGUUCCUUUGGGUUCGACAAUCCAGUCUUGCUAAAGCUAUACUACUGUUCAAUAGAUACACUUGUCUUCAUUGUGAUAAUAGUUAGUUUUAGGAAUGAUUAAUUAUAAAUUUUUAAAUUCAGUCAUACUUAGUGUACGGUUUUGUUUCCGUGCACAGGUUAGGUUAAAGACAGAUCGUCGAAUAGCAUCAUAAGCCGAUCCCGAACUCAAAAAGGUAAAGCAUGUUAAUUAUCAGUAAUGGCAUGUACCUAGGAUGUCUUAAGUGUGUUAUAUUGGAUUGUGAUUGUAAUGGACUAAAUAAGUAAAUUGAUAAUUGAUAAUGAUACAUGAUAAGUGUUUAAAGUUAAGUAUUAGAUAAUAUAUAAAAUAUGUUUGGAUUGGUUUAAUAUUGGUAUUUGUUUUGGUUGUGGAUUGAAAUUUAUAGGAUUGGUAAAUUUUUAAAAUACAAGGUUCAUUUUGAGUUAACAUAGUUUGUCAUACCAGCAUGUGCCUUGGUUGCCACGGUCGUGUCUUAAAGUCAGUUUAGCACACGGGCAGGCCACACGGUCGUGUGUCAUGGUCGUGUGUAAAAGUCAGUGUUGCACAUGGGUUGAGGACACGAGCAUGUCCCAUGCCGCACGGGCAUGUUAAAUUAGCCAACACGGACGUGUGGUACUGUUGAAAAGAAGAAAAUUUAAAAUUUCACAAAAAAUUUACUAAGCUUUAGGAUCGAAUCCCGGUUUGUUUAAUUAUACUUGUAAAGUAUUGUGGACCCAUUAAAAUUAUAUUUAGAUGGAUAACAUUGCAUUUAUACUUGUUUAUGUGCAAAUGUACUGUAAUAACUGGUAACACUCUGUAAUCCUGUUCCGGUAACGGGAUGGAGUUAAGGGUGUUACAAUCUAGACAUAGAGGAGUAUAGUAACGUGCCUUUAAUUUUAGGAAGGUCCUUUUUAGCAACUGCCAAAACUAUAAUUGAUGUUGGUACAGGUAAACUCACACUUCGUGUGGGAGAUGAAACAAUCACCCUUCAAGCUCGUAAUUCGAAUAACAUAUCAAAAAUUGAAGGUGGUUGUAUAAAUUAUACUAUUAAAACUGACCAUGUGGUGCAACCUACUUUACAGGAAAUAAGUUCAGAGAACACACAUGAGCCAUGUUCGAGUAACGAGAAAGGACCUAUCUAUGAAGAGCGAAAGCUACAAAUCGAGGAACUAGAUGAAUGGUAGACACAUAAACCGAGGACACACGAUAAACCAAAACCACGCCAUGACGAGCUCAAUAUCUCACCAAAUCAACUUAAGGUUGGACACAAAGUACUACUAGAUGCAGCAGACCCUCGUAUUGCCACUUCUGAACCUAAUGGAGCAAUCCCUCUUAAGGCACUCAGUAUUUUCCCAUAUGGUACAGUAGAGGUAAGUUAUCCAUCACAAGGCACUUUUAAGGUAAAUGGACAUCGUCUCAAAAUUUAUAAUGGUGAGAAUUUCAAGACAAUAAAGAGGAGCUACGGCUCCACGAAGUUACCUAAAUAUACCCACAAGGUAAAGUCGAGCUUAGACUAUAAAUAAGUGCGUCUCAGGAGGCAACCCGAGCACUAACAGUGUUAAAUUCUUUAAAUUUUAGUCUUUACCAUUUAAUUUACUAACUGAGCCACUGAACACAGGAUUUCCAGAACCACACGACUAGACACAUGGGCGUGCCGUAGGCCGUGCACAUACCACGGGAGGAAACACGGCCAUGUGAUAUGACCGUAUGAAAAUAGAGCAAAAACGUUUCCCCAAGACUGGAUCCAAUAAGUUGCCAUGGCCGUGCGAUAUAGCCGUGGGCAAUCCUGCCAAAUUAACACCGGCGUGCGACAGCAUGCGCCUGCAUACACGGGCGUAGAAGAAGCGAACGAAGAAAUACACGACCGUGCAACAUGGCCGUAUGCACCAAUGUGCCCAAUUUCUAAAACCACGAAAAGCACGGGCUGAAAUAAGGGUACACGGGCGUUCCCACGGCCGUGUACCCCAAUUUCUUUAUAAACACCUAUUAUUUAUUUUAUUUUUAUCUUUGUAUUUUGGAAUUACUUUUUAUUUCCUUUUAAUACUAUUUUAUCUUGAGAUUUUAUAAUUUUUAUUCGGCUAUUUCUUUACGAGUAAUUAUGCUUCUUUAUAUUUCCUAAAAAGUUCCUGAUUCUAUGACAGUUAUAAAGAGCUCCAAAGCUCAUCAUCACUUAGGAACUAAAAAAAUCCACUGGAAAAAGUUCUCCACGACUACCAUGUCCUGCUCGACCACGACCAUAGCCACUACCAGAUAUAAUAUUCUUUUGGCGCAAGUCUUAUGGACUAAUGAACCUCUACCACCA
Molecule: long non-coding RNA, 119954 nt
Filed under: Gossypium barbadense (sea-island cotton)
Lineage: Eukaryota; Viridiplantae; Streptophyta; Magnoliopsida; Malvales; Malvaceae
Description: long non-coding RNA (GBAR_LNC000304)
Source: RNAcentral